AUAUAUAUAUAUAAAGAGAGAGAGAGAGAGAGAGAGAGAGAGAGAGAGAGAGAGAGAGAGUUGGGCUACUAUACUCUUAUGAGUAUAGAGAUCUUUGUACUCAUAAGUUGUUUUUGAUAAUAGAGCAUCCGAAUCGACGAUCCACUCGUUAAAUAUGAUAUAGAGUAUUUAAAACUUUUGAAAAAUAAAUUUUAUAAUUUUUCGAAAUCAUAAUAAAAUCCAUCAAACGAGCAUAAAAUGAACGGUCGAAAUCAAAUGAUGUCCUAAAAAUGAAUGAUUGGAUCCUUCAAUUUAAGAUCGGGUUAUUGAUCUCUAUCUAGGUAGUGAAUAGAAUUUUUUAUUAAAAAUUCAACCGAUUCCGAUUCUUUUACACCGUUAAACUAGCAAAUAUUCUAUACCGGCCGUUAAAAAUUGUCAAUUUUGUGAGCUUUUGAUCGUAAGGUAAAUGAUGUCAAAAAAUUAUAAAAUUUGAUUUCUAAAAAUUUUAAAUGCUCUAGAUAACAUUUAAUGGUAUGGAUUGUCGAUUCGGAAGCUCUAUCAUCGAAAACGACUUAUGAAUACGAGGGCGAUCGUUCUCAUAAGAGUAUAGUAGCCGAACUAUAUAUAUAUAUAUAUAUAUAGUUCGGCUACUAUACUAUCGAUAGUACCAAGCUCUUGGUACUAUUGAGUUUUCUACCGUUAGACCUACCCUUUGAUCAUUUCCACUCGUUAGAUUAUACUAUUCAACCAACCACCCACUCAACCCUAGAGGACCACUAUUANNNNNNNNNNNNNNNNNNNNNNNNNNNNNNNNNNNNNNNNNNNNNNNNNNNNNNNNNNNNNNNNNNNNNNNNNNNNNNNNNNNNNNNNNNNNNNNNNNNNNNNNNNNNNNNNNNNNNNNNNNNNNNNNNNNNNNNNNNNNNNNNNNNNNNNNNNNNNNNNNNNNNNNNNNNNNNNNNNNNNNNNNNNNNNNNNNNNNNNNNNNNNNNNNNNNNNNNNNNNNNNNNNNNNNNNNNNNNNNNNNNNNNNNNNNNNNNNNNNNNNNNNNNNNNNNNNNNNNNNNNNNNNNNNNNNNNNNNNNNNNNNNNNNNNNNNNNNNNNNNNNNNNNNNNNNNNNNNNNNNNNNNNNNNNNNNNNNNNNNNNNNNNNNNNNNNNNNNNNNNNNNNNNNNNNNNNNNNNNNNNNNNNNNNNNNNNNNNNNNNNNNNNNNNNNNNNNNNNNNNNNNNNNNNNNNNNNNNNNNNNNNNNNNNNNNNNNNNNNNNNNNNNNNNNNNNNNNNNNNNNNNNNNNNNNNNNNNNNNNNNNNNNNNNNNNNNNNNNNNNNNNNNNNNNNNNNNNNNNNNNNNNNNNNNNNNNNNNNNNNNNNNNNNNNNNNNNNNNNNNNNNNNNNNNNNNNNNNNNNNNNNNNNNNNNNNNNNNNNNNNNNNNNNNNNNNNNNNNNNNNNNNNNNNNNNNNNNNNNNNNNNNNNNNNNNNNNNNNNNNNNNNNNNNNNNNNNNNNNNNNNNNNNNNNNNNNNNNNNNNNNNNNNNNNNNNNNNNNNNNNNNNNNNNNNNNNNNNNNNNNNNNNNNNNNNNNNNNNNNNNNNNNNNNNNNNNNNNNNNNNNNNNNNNNNNNNNNNNNNNNNNNNNNNNNNNNNNNNNNNNNNNNNNNNNNNNNNNNNNNNNNNNNNNNNNNNNNNNNNNNNNNNNNNNNNNNNNNNNNNNNNNNNNNNNNNNNNNNNNNNNNNNNNNNNNNNNNNNNNNNNNNNNNNNNNNNNNNNNNNNNNNNNNNNNNNNNNNNNNNNNNNNNNNNNNNNNNNNNNNNNNNNNNNNNNNNNNNNNNNNNNNNNNUUUUUUUUUUUUUUUUUCUAAAGGAAGAGAUGCGAUUGAUUAGAUAUAAAUAAUAUAAUGUGGCUGCUACGUAGUAAACUUUCUCAAAUUUGUACAUGAUCGCUAUCAAAGUUACAACGAAAGGUUCAAAAAAGAAUAAAUUGAACGUUUGGUCCUCGAACUAUGGGAUAUAUGACACUUUAAUCGAAUUGAGCUCCUAUGCUUUUAAAAGUACUAAGACAUUGGUGCUUGUAGAUUUUUAGCCAUUGGAUUAAGAGAUAUGCGGUUAGGAUGAUGUGGGCCCCCUAGGGUUGAGUGGGUGGUUGGUUGAAUAGUAUAAUCUAAUGGUUGAAAAUAAUCCGUAGAGUACAUCUAACGAUAAAAAAUUUACAAGCACCAUAGCUGGACACACACACACACACAUAUAUAUAUAUAUAUAAUUUUGAUAGAUAAAUAAGAUAUUAUUUUUUAAAAAAAAUUAUUUUUUCAUUUCUAUAUCAUAUGUGGGUCCCGGCUCCCCUCCAAUGGCCACAAAGAAGCAACCCCACCUCUCCUUUUAGUCCCCCUUCUAUUUAUUUCCCACCAACACUCCUCACACAAAGCAUAGAGAGGUAACAGAGAGAGAGAGCCUUUGAGACAAAGCCUCAACCUUUCACAACUUUGUUGGAGCUCAAAUACUUAGAUUUUAUUCUCUCUUUGUUUCCUUCAUAAAGGUGGUUGAGUUGAGAUGAGAGAGAGAGAGAGAGAGAGAGAGAGAGAGAGAAAGUUGCUUCUUUUGGCCCAAUGCUUAGACUUUUCAUUUUGAUUUUCUUUGUUUUCAUGUAGUGCUUGUAAUGACAUAUAUAUAUAUAUAUAUAGAGAGAGAGAGAGAGAGAGAGAGAGAGGGAGAGAGAGAGAGAGAGAGUCUAACUUUGUUUGUUGAGUGAAUUUAGCCUUGUUUGGGAUGGGAAAUUAUAGGUUUAAGCUCUCUGAUAUGAUACCCAAUGCUUGGUUCUACAAGCUCAGAGACAUGGGAAACAGAGGAAGCAGCAGCAGCAGAGGCAGAGGCUACCACCACCCAAAAGCAGAAGCGCCCACAACCCCACAAGCGCUCCUCCCCACAUCCCCGCCGCUCCGAAACCAAACCCUCCUCCCCAGCAGAGCCUCCUACUACCACUCCACCCUCGAAACUCAGCAGCAGCAGCAGCAGCAGCAGCAGCUCCACUCCAUACCCGCAGAAUCCCACUUCCCCGUCGACCCGCCGCGCAAAUCUGCUCGACGAGCCCGCAAAAAAGCGAUUCUUAAGCCCACCUCAAGACCCUCCCUCUCCCCUGCUUCUGCUUCUCGCAGAAGCCGCGGAGAAUUCGAGCAAGAUCCCAUCUUUGCGCUCCCACGCGAAUCCGAUAGGUACAGAGUAACCUCCUCUGCUACCGACAUCACCAUCGACGUGGAUCAAAAUGGCUCCUUUACCCAGCAACUCUCCCCCAUCCUCACCAAACCACCGCCCAAAGAAGCGCUUUCGAAGGCCACGUCCAAAGCAAAGCUUCGCAGGGCUCGAACGAGCGCGAGGAGUCCGAGGGCGGUGCGCAGCGGCUUCUCCGAGAAGCAGGGGAGGAGGAAGACGAGGGACCUGGGCUUCUCGGGGAGCUUCGCGGUGGUAAAAUCCUCGUGGGAUCCUCGCAAGGACUUCGCGGAGUCGAUGGUGGAGAUGAUCGUCGAGAAGGGGAUAAGUGCUUCUGGGGACUUGGAGGAGCUCUUGGCCUGCUACCUCGCCCUCAACUCCGAGGAGUACCAUGCUGUGAUCGUGAAGGUGUUCCAGCAAAUUUGGCUUGAUCUUAAACUCUGCACUUACUAAGCUUGGAUUCUAAAGAAGAAGAAGAAGAGUUUUGCUUUGGCGUUUCAAAUAUUGCUGAUGUGUUAGCAUUGAUGGUGUUCUCGACCCAUCAGAUCGUAACGAAGAUCAAUGCUUUGUGUACUAUGUACUCUAUGCAGACUCAAAAGUAAUCGUCGUGAAACGAUUAGAUUGUAAAGAAGAGUAAUGCUCUCUCUGUACUACUAUAGUCUACGUAGUCUUGAAGUGUCGUUGAUGUACCGUCGUGUCGUGACCUGAUUAGAUUGUGAAGAAGAAAAAAAAAUAAAAAAGCCAUCAAUGCUUUGCGUAUGCUUUCCGCAAUGUUACGUAAGAGUGUCGCUGAUGUGUUGACAGUGUCUUAUCAUCAGCUGAUCGAUAUCAGACGUGCCGUGCAUGAUUGAUGGUGCCGUUAGUGGUCUUAGAAAGUAUUUGUAAUUAACCGUCUACCAUAUCCACUGCACGAAUUAUGAAGCAAUGUUGUCUUUUGCUUGACGUAGUUGUUAGUGAUAAACCCUAAAGCCAAUCGGUGACAUAGGCUUGUGGAUAUAUUAAGUAUUUUUCUUAAUUAAUAAAGGGCAAGUUUUAUUCAUAUUUAUUGUUCGCAGUACAAUAUAUAUAUAUGAAUCGUCCGUUGAAUCUUCGUUAAGAAAAUAUAUUCCUAAGAGUUAGGAAUUUGAGAUAUAUAUUUCUUAGUACAAGNCCAAGGUAAUGUAAUCUAAACUUCGGAUUUGUUUAGAUUAGAUUUUUAUUUUACAUUGUAACAUGAGAAUGAUCCGCCGGCACUGGAUUGAUUUGUUUUGUUUUGUUUCAUAUGUGAUAUGGAUUUCGUUUUCGUUUUUCCGCUGCGAUUUUUAAGUGCCGGAUAUUUUUUCUAACAGUAGUAUCACUGAAAUUUCAUAUUAUUACUCGAACGGAGAAGAAGAGUAAUUUUGAUCGUAUCUUUACGUGUAGUUAAAAAUAAAAAAUAUUUCAGAAAGAGAGUUUUGUGCAUUUGGUGAGGCUGUUUACUCAUUAAUAAUAUUUUGGCUAAAUUAUAGAAAAUUUUUUUAUAAAAAUUUGAUUUUUCACUUUUUUUUUCUGUUAUUUAAAAACCUACACUUUGCCUUCUUGUAAAAUGAAAAAUGUGCACUUCACACCCUACCGUUAGUAAUCCGUUAGAGUUCCGUUAUAAAUAUUUUUUAUGCCAAAAAUAUCCCUCCGCCCUCUUCCCUGUUGCUUCGCCUCCAUCCGGCUCGUCGCCUCGCCGCCUCGCCCUCCUCCACUGCUUCGCCCUCGCCCUCGCCCUCGCCCUCACCCUCGCCCUCGCGCACAUUCCCUUCAACUUCCCCUCCUUCGCCGCCUCGCCUUCGCCCUCGUUGCUCUUUGCCUACCUCUCCAUAAACGCCCACCCCGAUUUCCUCCCUACUGUCGCCGAAAUCGAGGGGCGGUGAGGGUGGAGGAGAAGGAGGGGAGCAUGUGGAGAAAAAAAUGGAGAGAAAUCACGGCCGAUCGAGGUGUGAAUCGCAGUCGAUAGAGGCGGCGGCUCAGGAAGAUGAGGGAGAAGACGAAAAUGGUGAGGGGCAAAAUGGUCAUUUUACACAUCGUACCCUUCCUGUGAAUAUUUUUUAUUUUAUAAGGGGGCAAAGUGUAGGUUUUUAAAUGACAGGAAGAAAAGUAAAAAAUCGAAUUUUGACAGAAAAAUUUUAUAUAAUUUAGCCUAAUAUUUUAUAUAUUUUAUAAGGUAUAUAAAAAAGCAUUGGUUGAAAAGGAAAUAGUUCUUGAUGCGUAGGAUUUGUAUGGAUGAGUUUGUUUAACUACGGGUAUGUAACAAUGCAUGUAGAUGGUUUUGUAGUACUUUGGGUGCUCUUACUUAAAUACUAUAGGGUCAUCUUAUCUGGGACAUUAAUGUACGUGGGGCAUUUUAGUCCAAUUGAAGCUUCACCAUAAGUUGAAUUAAACACUAAAUUAUAUAUAAGAAAUGUAAUAGUACUUACCAAAAAAAGAAAAAUGAAAUUCUUAUGGUAGAUGAGAGCAAAAUUUACUUAGGAGGUGAGAACUACAUUAUAUGGAGAGAGACUUGAAAGAAUCAUAGGAUUACAGGGUUCACACGCCUUUAAAAAAAAAAAAAAAAACUAAUCACUUGAAUUGUAAAAUAGUAUAAAAAUUAAGAUAAAAAUGUAUAUAACUUAUCUGAACUAUGGAUGAUUUUGAGUUAACUAUUCUAUCUUUCAAAAUUUGGAUAGUAAAAUUAAAAUUUUAAAAAAUUAAAUAGUGAAAAAUGAUCCACGGUUUAAGUAAGUUAUGCACGUUUUCAUUAGAAAUAAAUUCUCAAGCUUCUUUUGCUUGUUAGAAGAGUCUCUCUACAGCAAAAACAUACAAAAGUCUACACUCAUCCUUGAAAGGACCUGGAGAUUGCAUUUAAUCUGGCAGAUCUGCAAAUAAAUGAGAAUCAUCUGUCACUUUCAGAGGAAAUAAAACCCAAUUUGUUCCUUUGUUCACAUGAGUAGCUCUUCUAUUUUUUAGGUCAUUGUUUCUCUGAACAAAUAAUAAUAAUAAUAAUAAUAAUAAUAAUAAUAAGAAUAGUAUUAUCAACAAUAAUGCAGAUUCAAUGUACAUUAUAUAUAUGAUUCGUCGUUAUAUAACAGUUUAAGAAUUACAAGCACAUAAUAUAUAUUCGGAGGAUUCUGAGUUUGAAUUUUAUCGUAUCCAUCCAUUAGUUCAUUAUUGAUAGAAAAAGUGUACAUGACAUAAGCUUUACUGGAAACUUAAGCGCGUUUUGAAAAGGAUAUUUGAACUAUAAAAAUCUUUUACUCAAAGAAUAUAAAAAUUUAGAUUUUACUAUAUAAUUUUUUAAUUAAUCUCGUUUAAUUAUCUCUCACUUAGAACUUAAGGAUAUUCCCAAAAAAAAUUAACUAUCUCAUUACUCCAUGAAUACAUGGCAAUUUUUUUUUUUCUCUCCAUUAAUUUGUAGAAAUUAAACGUAAUUGAAUUUUUUUUAAAAAAAAAUCAAGAGCAAUGGAAGUUUAUAUAAUAAUUGGAAUUUAUAAAAUUUAGAUAUUUAUUACAAAAUUGGUUAAAGUUUAGCUAAGGUCUUAGGGUGUGUGUGUGUAUAUAUAUAUAUCACGGUUACUAUACUAUCUAGAAUACUGGAGUUCUGGUACUAAAGUCAUGUUUUCAACCCUAGGACAUUCAAAUCAACGAUUUACACCCUUAAAACUAAUUUAGAGUAUUUAAAACUUUUAGAAAUAAAUUUUUUUUUUAAUUUUUUCAACAUCGUUUACUUUAUUAUCAAAUCCAUUUGUUUAACAUUCUCUAUUUUUACCGACCGUCCCUAGAGCAAGUGGCAAAGGACUUGGUGGUUGGUACCCGAGACCCAAGUUUGAAUCCUAGUUGAUUCAUAUUUCCAGCUAAGUUUAUUUCUAAAUGAAAUAAACGAACCUGGUAGCGUGCUACCUAUCUCUCUCAAACAAAAAAAAAAAAAACAUUCUCUAUUUUUAAUCUUCCAAAAUCCAUUUGUUUCAUUCAUUUGCUUUUAACAGAAAAGCUAAUUCAAACAAAGUGCAAAGAACAUUCCUCACAUGUUAUAAUAUUUUCUCUUUCUUUUUCUUUUUCUUUUUUUCCUUUUUUAUCUCGAGUUUCAAAGUACCUUAUCAAUUCAUAUUUUGAAGUUUUAAUGAUUGUUUUUACAAAAUAUAGGGACUAUUUUGUUACAUUAAAAAAUUAAAAGUCAAAAUACAAGUUGUGAAACGUCAAGGAACUCGAGUAUAUAGUAUAUACAACUGCUGAAGAACUAGAUACGCCAUCUAGUUAAAAAUUAGCUUAAACACACACAAGAGAUAAAAAAACAAAAAAAAUAAAAAUAAAAAUGCAUAGAAUUUACUUGAACUUUCACGUGAUUUGAUUCAACUAUCGACCUUUUAAAAUUUGAUUUUAAUACGUAACCUUUCAGUUCAUCUGAAAUAAGCCAUUUGAUGAGUUUUUCGGCACAAAUUUUAGACUCUUUACUUAUUUUAAUAAAAUUAUAGUUAUAUAAAUUAGAAAAAAUUUCAAACACUAUUCAUGUGGUUUUGCACUUUCUCACUUUAGUACCAUGUACUAGUUUAAAAUAUAUCACUUUUGUACCUUGUAAUUUUAUUUUUUUUAUUUUUGUUAUUCUCUUCACUAGCUUUUUUCGUUAAAUAAGUGAUAAAGUUAAAACAAAAUGGUAUUAAAAUAAAUAUUCGAUAAACUAUAGGUAGGUAUUUGAAGUUUUUUGUAUAGGAUUUAACGAAAAGUUAACAGAUGGGCUGACGAAAAGAAAAAAGUAAAACCACAUAAUACUAGAUUGAUACAACUUAAACCGCAUAGUAGUAAAAUAAAAAAGUGUGAAACCACAGAGAUGAUAAUUGAAGUUUACUGUAUAAAUUAUAUAAAAUAUACUAAUCAAACUAAAAAAAAAAAAAAAAGGGGAGAAAAAUAAAAUAAAAAAGCAACACAGCUUUAGAAGCUUCAGAAAACCUGAAAUUGGGUACUAGUAUGUAUAUUGUAAAGUGGGGCUCCAGUGUUACAAAAUCAAUGAAUAGUGUGGAAGGGUCACUGAGAUCUGUGGGGAAUCUAACACACUGUGCACAGACAUUGCAACUACCUGCAGGCAUUUAAUGUGAUCUUGCUCUCUUAACUGACCCCUCUGCACCUCUAAAUUGUGUUUAAGGAGAAAAAUAGCUUUGAAACAUCAAAUCAAAAGCACAAAUUCUAUAGGAACAAAUGCUAAGGUACCUGUACAAAUAGUCUCAGUAGCUGUUAAUGUGCUGAUAUUUUAACAUAUUAUAUAUUAAUUGGCGUGUAUACGAAUGAUUUAGCUUGUCAAAGUGGCUGUUCAUAUCAGAUGGGAUGUCUAAAUUUUUUUCUUUUUUUAAAAAAAACAUGAACAGUUGAUUUGCUUUCAGUGGUAUUUGUGGAAGUAUCUUCUAACAGUGCUAAAGUCUCUAUAUAGAUAGUCUGAAAAGGUAUAUAUGAAAGUAUCUUUUAAUAGUGUUAAGAUCUCUCUAUUGAUAGUCUGAAAAGUUUGUUAAUAUACUGACAUUCUAAUAUAUUAUAUACUGAUUGGUGUAUAUAUGAAUGAUCGAUGUGGUAUAUGUGGAAGUACCUUCUAAUAGUGUUAAGUUCUCUCCAUAGAUAGUUUGAAAAGUUUUUUAAUAUACCGGCAUUCUAUUAUAUAUAUUAUAUACUGAUUGAUGCGUAAAUGAAUGAUUCAGCUCGCAAGAGUGAUGUCAAUAUCAGGCGUGGUAUCUAACAUAUUUUUAAAAAAAGAACAUGAACCACUGAUUUGUUACUAUGUGUAUAUGUUGAGAUACUUUUUAACACCUGUUGAGGUAUCUUACAAAUAAUCUAAAAAGUUGCUAAUGUAUUGACAUUCUUUUAUAUUAUUUAUUGAUUUACAUGUAUAUGAAUGAUUUUGCUCGUCAAAGUGGAAGUCCAUAUCAGGUGCGAUGUCUGAUUUUUUUUUUUUUUUUAACAAAAAGCGUGAAUUAACCACUGAUUUGCUACUAUGGGUAUAUGUUGGGGUUAUGUUUAACACUAUAAGGUAAUCCUAUAGAUAGUCUGAAAAGUUGUUAACGUGCUGGGAUUCCAAUAUGUUAUAUAUUGGUUGACAUGUAUAUGAACUAUUUAGCUCGUCAAAGUGGAUAUCCAUAUCAGAUCCGGUAUCUGAAAUUAGUUAGUAAAAAAAAAAAAAAGUAACAACCUAUUUACUACUGUGAGUAUAUGUUGAGGUAUUUUUUGGAGUAUGCAUGGUCUUGGAGAGAACAAACUGGUUAGGGCUUUUAAUUCUACUGCAACCUGCAGCAUGUGAUGAAGAUUUGACUCAUCAUAUCAGGAGGGCAGUCUUCCAAUUAUGAAGCAAAAAAUUUCUUUUCAUGGAGCAAAUUUUGUUCAUUAAUGCUGUAUUCUAGAAACUAACCAAACUGGUGGACCAUCUCCAAGAUUAUUAUUAUUAUUACUAGGUUAUUUUGGAAAAAUAAAAAUAUUUUACCACUUUUAUAAUGUAAAUUUCUUAUUCUCUUUCCGCAACAUUAGUUAGAUAUCUAAUUUUUAACGGCUAUUAAUUUACUGUUAUCUUCGUUUAAAAGUUAUUUAUUGAAUUAUAAACUAAAUUUGACCAUAUUUAAUGAAUCUGUUAUUUUUUUUUAUAAAUAAUGCUUUGUUAAUAGCACUUCCAAAACUAUCAUAAAAGGUACUAAAAAUAGAUAAAAUUGUAUAGAACUUAAAUAAAUUAUAGUCCACUUUAAUUUGACUAUCCAAUCUCUCAAAAUUUUGAUUACAGCACACAACAUUUCAAUUUGUUUGAUCUAAUUCAUUCGAAGGCCCUUCCGAUGCAAAAUUUAAGCCAAUUGCUUAAUUUUAAUAAAUUUAUAGUUUCAUGAAUUGCAAAUAAAUAUGCUAAUAAAGUACAUAAAGAUGAAUAACACUUUAAAAUUUUAAAGUUAAAGAGUCAUUAACUAGUUCAAAUUAAUUAAAUAAAUUAAAAGGUUAAAUAGCAAAAUUAAAAUAUUUAAAAAUUAGAUAGUGGAAUCCAAAAAGGAUUGUAACUAAGAAAAGUUCCAUAUUUUUUGUCACAUAUAAAAAAAAAAUAAAAGCACCAUUUUUUUUUAUUAACUUAAGUUUUUAAAGAAUAACAGUUAUACAUGUCGUAUAUUUAAUAUGGUAUCAAAACAGAAGAUCUUAAGUUUGAAUCACGUCAGGCUCCUAAUAUUAUUAAAUUUUUUUUAUUUAAUUCAAGUCCAUGUCCUAAGUCUGAAUCACGUCAGGCUUCUAUUUCACUGUUGCAUAAAAUGGGGGCAUCUCAUGAAAAACGUCAGGCUUCUAUUUCAUUGUACUAAACAUGAUCAUAUAUCAAUAAUUUAAGUGGCAUCAAUGGUUCCAUUAGGCUAGGUUUUUAGGUUAAGUCCUUAUCUUUCUUGUUUCUUUAGCAAUAGUUUCCAAAAACCAUGAGUGACUAGUCAAGAUCAUACGUUUAAUGCAAUAAUGCAACCCUUAAUUGGAUGUAUUUAAUUAUAACAACUUAAUUUACGAGGAUAAUAAAGCGAUAAAGCGAUAAAUAACGCAGUCGAUGGGCCGUCGAUUUCCAUGAGAAGUUAUGAACAAUGCAUGUACUAAUCGUCAUUCCUGUUUGCAUAUAUGAACAUCUUGUUCGAUGAACUAUUUUCUUAAUUGGAUGUAUUUAAUUAUAACAACUUAAUUUACGAGGAUAAUAAAGCGAUAAAGCGAUAAAUAACACAGUCGAUGGGCCGUCGAUUUCCAUGAGAAGUUAUGAACAAUGCAUGUACUAAUCGUCAUUCCUGUUUGCAUAUAUGAACAUCUUGUUCGAUGAACUAUUGCAAAAUAAUUAACGACUUAAAUAGUUAAAUACAAAACUAAUCAUAUCUAUUGCAGUUGGCUAAGAAGAGCUUGAUGAUUAAUUAGUAUCUGAAGUCCCAAGUUUAAAAGUCCAAAUAUUUCACCUUUUUAGCUGAGUUUAUUUUUUUAAAAAAUAAACAAAGCAGAUAACUUGCUAAUAAUUCUUUUUUUUCUAGUUUCUGUUAACCUAGUCUUCUAUUUCGCUAAUUUCUUUCCUUGAAUUGUAUCUCAAAGAAUGCUAUUGCAUCUACCUAUGAAGGCUUGCCACCACUCCAUAGAAGUUGCACACUUGCAUAUCGAUUGGGAUUUAUUCUGUUGGGAAUUAGAUGAAUCGUAUAGAAGUAUAAGUUUGCAUCUUAUAUCUUCUUAAUUAGAUAAGACCAAUUAGAAAAGUAAAGAAAUUUAUAAUAAAAUUAUUUAUGUUGUUGCUUCGAAAGAUGCGAACUGCUCAGACAACUAGUCGAGAAUCUCUGCUCUGCUGCUGACCUAGAACCUGACGUAACAUGCAAGCUACGGAACCUUCUCUCUUUGCUGUCAUACACCAAGGAAACCUCACGAGGUUUGUACUGUCGAAUCAUGUAAAUAUAUAUUAGUCUCUUUUUUCUAUAUUUUUUUACUGUCUAAUUUAUUUUUAUUUUCAUACAUCUAUAGACAUCACAUAUGAUAUAAAUAUUAGGAAAAACUUCAAAACCCCCCCUGUGGUUUCGUAGUUUCUCACUUUGCCCCCCUGUGGUUUAAAAUAUAUCAAUUUGUCCCCCUGUGGUUUCUUUUUUCUCUUUUUCUUAUCAAUUUUAUUAUUUUUUUUUCUUAAAUCAGUGAUAAAGUUAAAAUUAAAGGGGACUAAAGUAAAUAUUUGAUAAAUCUAGAUGGGUAUCUGAAGUUUUUUGUAUAUAAUUUAAUAAAAUAUUAACGAAAAAGUUACUGAAAAAAUAAAAACGAAACCACAAGGGGGAUAAUUUGAUACAUUUUAAACCACAGGGGACAAAAUGAGAAACUACGAAAACAUAUGGAGGAAUUUUUGAAGUUUUUCCUAAAUAUUAAUCUCUUCUCUCUAUACUUUUUUACUCUUUAAUUUAUUUUUAUUUUCGUACAUCUAUAUUGAUAUUGCGUAAUCGACAAAUCAACUAAUUUCCAACAUUGCAAAAAUUAUAUCAAAACAUUUUUCGAGGAGCCAUGAUUGGAGAUGAUGAUUAUUAAUUAAUAAAAAUUUGAAGAGAGAAAAAUAAAUAAAGAAACAAGUCUACUCAUAGAGAAAGAAUGAUGGAAAUCAGUGUCAUAACUUUAUUGGACAAGAGAAGAUUACAAAAUCAUGACUAUGCCAACAAAAAAACAACCAAAGUGACCAUGAGCCAUUUUAAUUUAUAUAAUUUUCAUUUUCAUUUUAUUUUUAAAUCUCUUUUACUUGAUUUGAAAAUUACAGGAAAAACUAAAAAAAAAAAGGAAACGAGGAGUCUCGGGAAACAGCAGGGGACUGGUCGAGUAUAGUGAUUGGACAAAUGAGAAAUUUUUUUUAAAAAAAAUACAAAAAAGCAAUGCUCCUCUGAACCGAUGUUAUAAAUAAUAAAUCUUAUAUAUUUUGAGAGAGAUAGGUAGUACGCUAUCCGUUUCGUUUAUUUCAUUUAAAAAUAAAUUUAGCUAGAAAUGUCAGUCAACUAGGAUUCGAACUUGGAUCUCGAGUAUCAAUCACCAAACCCUUUGCCACUUGCUCUAGGGACGGUUGAUAAAUCUUAUAUAUUUAGAGCAAUACUAUUCGAUACAUUCCGUUAGAAUAUGUAUAAUUUAUAUUUAUUUAUUUAAUAAAAUUUUUUUAAUUUUUCAUAUUUUACAUUAUGUUUUAAUACUAAAUUUUUGAAAAAAAUUAAAAUUUUAAAUUAUAAAAUAUAAAAUUUGUAUUUUAUAAUAAAACAUGUAAGAUUAUAUAUAUACAUAUAAACACUAUUAAAUUUUCAACCAUUAAAUUUAACCCUUUGGCAAAAAGUGUUGACCAAGUCUCUGGCCAAGUCAAAUUGAUUGCAAGAUAGCCCCAUGAUUUAGUAGAUUCUCACUGAACGGUCUUAAAAAUUUAUUUAUAUUAAAAAUCUGUCGUUAAGUGGAAAACAAAAGUUUAUUAUUUAUAGGUCACAUAGUAAUAAAGUAAUACUAGUGAAGUUGCCAGCGUAUUGCGGCGGGCUAAUACUAUAGAAGAUAAAAGAUUGAUAAAAUUAAAUUUUAAAAUUUUUUAACUUAUCAUGAGACAUUAAUAGAUACAAAUAGAAAAUAUAAAAUAGAUAUAUACAAAUAUAAUAAAAUUCACUACAACAAAAACGGUCUAUAGCGACACUUUUAAAUAUCGGUAUAGGUCAAAAAAAGUGAUACUGGCUAAAUUACCGACACUUUUAAAAAGUAUUGUUAUAUGUGGGGUUGUUAGAUAUAUAGUGACAGCUAAAGAGUGUCAGUAUAACCUAAAAAGAGUGCUGCUAAUUUACUAACACUCAUUUAAGCAUUUAGCAACCGCUGGAACUCUACCUCGUUGGUUGCGAUGGCGGAGAAUAAGGAGAGGGAAGGGCUCUUCGUCUAGAAUUUCAGUGAAUUGAGUGAGGGGAGAAGGGGAGAUGGUAAUCAAUUUUUCUUUUUUUUUUUCUUUUCUGUUUGUAAUCGGCCUGAAUGGGUUGGGUGGGGUGGGUUGAGUAGAAUAACCUUUUAUUUUUUAUUGGAUUGGGCUUUAUAUUUAGGCAUUAGUAGAUUUUUAUUUUUUUAAGUUUUGAUAUACAUGGGACACUUACACAAAUUUAUCCCAAAUAUGUGUCACUAUAACCUAAUUCUAUUAUAGUGAAACUUACAACAAUAAAUAAAUUAUAUAUAAUAUUAAUAAAAAAAGCAAUAAUAAAUCCUCUAUACGCAUCUUGAUCGCUUUAUCGAGAUCGGAGAGGCGAUUCCUGUUCUCUGUAUCACCUGCACCGCCAAUGUCGGUGUCGAAUUUCUCCUUGAUCACGACCACGUCAAUACCUUACGAAUUUCCCCUCACCCAUCGCUUCUUCCUCCUCAUCGACUCCAAAUCCAUCACACUCCACCUCGCCGCCCCGCCGUGAUCUUCAGAUCCCUAAUCUCAAUCCCCACACAAUUUUAAAAAAUAAAAAAAAAAGAUUAAGAAAAAUAGAAAAAUUGAACCCUUCGUGUGCAAAAAAAAAAAAGAGCAAAAAAAAGUGAUUAAAAAAUGUAUGAAAAGAUCUUACUUUAUUUUUUUUUAUUUAAAGCGAUUGUUUAGAUGAAAAUGAAUUAUGUGAAUACAUUAAUUAGAAAGUGGGGGGUGGAAAGACGAAGCAUCGGACAGAGAUAGGGUGGGAAAGUGAAGCGUCAGGGAGUGGGAAAUAGGGCGAAAGAGUAAUUGCCAUGUGACAAACUCUAUAAGAAAUACUGUAUAAAUAGAUAGAUACAGAAUAUAGAUAUAGAUAUAAACUAUAGAAUAAUAUAAUAAUAUAAUAUUUUACUAACGUACAAUUUGUAUUAAGUCAUUUUAUAGUUUGUAAGAUCUAUUAUUUACUAUUAUAUUUAACAACAUAUUCUGUUGAUAAAAUAAAGACAAAAAUUAAAUAGUAGCAAAAUAAAACUUUUACAAUCAUAUGAUGGCUCAAUAAAAGUAUAUUAAAUCAUAGAAAAGCUAAUUGAAGUUUUGCCGAAACAUAAAAAUAAAAACAUAUGGAGUCCCCGGCAAUUUUCUCUACUAGAAAUAUAGAGAUAUUGGUGCUUUUAAAUUAUUUUUGAUAAUGAGAUAUCUAAACCGAUGAUAGGUUUUAUUAUACAUUAUUUAUUAUUAAUAAUAAUUAGCUAAGUCCAAAUUACUGAUCCAAAAUAUUUAAACACAAUUUCAUUUCUAACAAAUAUAGGACUAUUGAGAUGCCAGAAUCUCCUCCAGUUUAGGUUCCAACGGUCUCGUCAACCCAACCAUACACAUAAUCUAAAAUCACCGGAUAAUAUAAGGCUCAACUCACAUUUUUAACUACUAAGUUAAUUCUAAUACCAAAUAUAACUAUCCAAAAUUAAGAUAUUAUUUUUAUUCAAUAUUAACAAAUAAUUUAUGAGAGCAAUAGUAUAUAUAUAUAGCAUACGGACAAAAAUUUUAUGGGCACCAUGCCCAAACAAUUUGUUUGGGCACGGUGGUUUGGGCACGGUGCCCGGAUCCGCACCCUCAAAAAAAAAAAAUUUGAUGGACUCGAUUUUUAAGAAGAAAAGAAAGAGAGGGAAGAGAGGGUGCGGAUGGGUGCCGCUGCACACGCGGCGCCCAUUUGGGCACCAUGCCCAAACAAAUUGUUUGGGCACGGUGCCCAUAAAAUUUUUGUCCUACAUAUCUAUCUAUUAUGUGAAUUCCGUUCUUCUUUUNUUUAGUUUUUUUUUUUUUUUUUUUUUUUUUUUGGGCCUUUUGUGGUCUAAUCAACUAUAGUUUGAUGAUUUGAUUCCAGUAGUAAUUUCUCACUGCCAUUUUCCUAUUUGCUUUCCAAGUUCUUCUCGUUUGGUCAAACAAGUCACAUCAAUUGUACAACAUAUAAUUGCAAGUAAUAAUAUAAUAAUAAUAAUAAUAAAAAAUUACUACAACAGAAUUAGGUUAUAGGGACACAUGUUUAGGACACUUUUGAGUAAGUGUCUCAUUUAUGCUAAAACUUAAAAAUACAUCUACUAAUGCCUAAAUAUAAAGCCCAAUCCAACCAAAAAUAAAAGAUUACUCUACUCAGCCCACCACACCCAGUCCAUUUGGCUCAAUUACAAACAGAAAAGAAAAAAAAAGAAAAAUCAAUUACCAUCUUUUCUUCUCUCUUCACUCAAUUCACUAAAAUUCUAAACGAAGAGCCUUUACUAUCGUCCUCCUCCGCCACCGCAGCCAACGAGAUAGAGUUUCGGCGGUUGCUAAAUGCUUAAAUAAGUGUUGGUAAAUUAGCAGUAUUCUUUUUAGGUUAUAGUGACACUCUUUAACUGUCACUAUGUACCUAGCGACCCCACAUAUAGCAACACUUUUUAAAAGUGUCGGUAAUUUUAGCUAGCAGCACUUUUUUGACAUAUACCUACAUUUAAAAGUGUCGCUAUAGACCAUUUUUAUUGUAGUGAAUUUUGGCGAUGGCUUUUGAUUAUAAAUGGUACUUUGAAAUUGCAUCUUUUUUUUUCUCAGGGUAAAUUAUGUCAUUAGAUAGUAAUUAAUAAUAGAGUUAAUUUCAUUCAGGUCCAUAUAAAUAUGGUGAAUAGCAAAUAUAUUUCUAUAAAGUUCAACUUUUAUAAGUUAUCCCUACGAAAGUCCUAAUGUAUUCAGAUAUGUCCCUAUGGUUAGGAUUCGUUAGAGAACUGCUUAUUUUUAACGGUAGGCUCGUGAAAUGAUAUUUUUGCCAUCAUAAAUAUGUCUCUCUAAAAAUCUUAUUAAUUUUUUGCCCUUUUCCUCUUUCUCUUUCUUCUCGGGCUGCGGGAGCGGGCAGCGGCGGCGGCGGCGGACGACUCCGGCAACGUCGCGGAGCUUGUCGAAGUUGUGGCCAACGAGGAUGAGGUUGAGGCCCGCAGCAGCGAGGCAGAAGGCGAAGGUGAGGCCGUUUUGGAAACGCUCGUGACGACAACCCACGCGAGGACGAUCGACGACGACGAAAUAGAAGAAGGAAGAGAAAAUGAGGAAAAGGAGGAUACGAAGAAAAAGAGGAAAAAGAAGAAGCAAAAGAGGAAGAGGAAGAGGAAGAAGAGAAAAAGGAAGAGAAAGAAGAUGAAGAGGAAGAGGAAGAAGAAGAAGGGCAAAAUUGUCAAUUCAUCUCAUUAAUUAAUCAUGGUUAAAUAUUUUAACUGUGGUUAACUAAAUUUUUUUAAUGAAUACUAACGGCAGGAACAUAUCUGAAUACAUUAAGUCUUUUUGUAGGGAUGACUUUUGAAAGUUAAACUUUGCAUGAAUAUAACUGCUAUUCACCAUGUUUGUAGGAACCUGUAUGAAGUUAACCCUUAAUAAUAAUAAGUAGAAUAACUAAGAAAGAAAAAAAUAUUCAACCUUACCCCCAAAAAAAGAAAAAAUAAUAUAUAGUUUGAUUAAUUUCACUCAAACAUCAAAGUUGAGAGCUCAUGAGACGCUUGCCUAAGUGGGUCUCAGUAGGGAAAAAUUCUAGAAUGCAACGGGUAUAUUAGUGACGUGGCGUAACAAACCAAUCAAAUUAAUUUUUUUAAGAAUAUAUGUCCCAUCAUGAUUGUAAAAAAGUAUUUUUAUUGUACUUUUGUUUGCAAAGAAGGAAUGUGAUUAGCUUGUUAUUGAUGACGUGGUGCAAGUGUGACAGUGUAGAAUUCCUCCUCAGUAGGACUCUCAACAUAAUUUGGUACGUAGAAACUCUAUCACUCGUAAAAGCUCAGUUGCGGAAAUUUCACACCAGAACUAAGUUAUACGAAGUUGUGAAAUUCGAUUGUACGCGAAGUUUGAAGCUCCUGGGACGCUUUAUACAUUGGUUGCAGCUAAAUUCUGAAACUCAUUGCAUCUUGCAAACAUCGUCGAUUCUCUUGAGUUUCUUGCACCGGAGAGUUCUGUUGUGAGUUCGAGCGAACCAAACACACCCUAAUCUCUAGUAAUACUGAGAAACUCUGAGCCCGAUAGAGACUGGGCACCUGUAUCAUGAGACAAAGUUUAUAACCCAAUGGGCCUAUCUAUAAUGUUAUACUAAAGAUAUUUUUAGCUAUGUUUCCGAUUCAUAGUGCACACCCACACAAAAAAAAGCCCGAAAUUCAUUAAAGAAAGAAAGAGCUAAUUAUGAAAAUAGUUGUCAAAAUUUUAAAUUUAUCAAAUUUUUACCGACUGUCCCUACUGCAAGUGGCAAAGAACUUGGAGCUUGGUACCCGAUGUCCAAAAUUUAAAUCCUGGUUGAUUCACAUUUUCAGUUAAGUUUAUUUAUAAAUGAAAUAAACGAAACGGAUAGCAUGCUUACCUAUCUCUCAAAAAUAGAUUCUGCAAUUGUCUCCAUGUCUGAAGCAAUGUUGCUCAUCUUUUCUCCAAAAAGUAUAAAUCAUAAAUCAUAAGAAAAUAAUUUAUAGUUUUUUUUGAAAAAGAAAUAAUGUUAUACUCACUCACAAAAGUAAAUGAAAGUAGAGUCGAAACAAAUUUACUGAUUUUACCUCCAAUCCUAUUAAAUGUGUUUCGCUUACUAGUCAUAUUUGAGUAUAAAAUAUUUAAGUAUUAUUAAAAAUAAUUAUUUUAUUGAAUAUUAGAAGAGGAAGAUUUUGCAUUUCUGUAUCCCGAAAAAAGCCUUAUAUUAAAAGAUUCGAAUAUUGUUUUCUAGCAAGUAGGAACCUAGGUUUUUUUACAUAAAAGCCCCUAUUAAGUCAAGUCAUAUUUUUCUUAGGCAAGAGCUGCAAAAAUAUAUAUAAUAACAGAACUUUGAUUUGAACGCUCCCAUAAUUUGAGGACUAAAAUGCAAUAUGUGAAAGCUUCCGAGCCGAAUACAACCGGAGUAAUAGUUCGAGGACAUCGGUGUAAUUUAUCCUCUUCGAUACAUUGUUACGCACGUGUGGAAAAUCGUAUCUUAAGAUCCCAUACGGGUUAUCGGGUUGCGCCUUGUCGAAUACCCGUUAACUCAAAUCCGUUUCGUUGGCCCAUCCUCGCCCGCUACCAAACGAACCCCUUCCCUCUCCCUCUCUCUCCCCUCCCCCCUCCAAAACCACCGCUUAAACCCUUCGUCGUCGUCCUCCUCCUCUUCCCCUACACCGUAAAAACCCUAGCGCCCAUAGCGCCUCCGCCUCCUCCCCGGCCGCGCCGACGCGGAGGGCAGCGGCGGCGGCGUCGCCGGCGAGGAGCGCUGCGAGCGCGACCUCCUCCUCCGCGGCGAUCGCGGCGGGGAGAGGCAGCGCGGGAGGACGAGGUCCGGGACGCCGCGGAAGAGGAGGAGGAGGUCGCCUUCAUCGGAUCUUUGGGUUUUCAUGGCAAUGUGUGAAUGAACUGUUGAUUUGUUUUUUUUUUAUUUUUAUAUUUUGGUUGAUUUUGCAGGGAAAUUGAGGGGGUAGAGAGAGAGGAGAGGUAGGCAUGUCCGAUAACGCGUAAUGGUUUUUGGGUUCGUGCUAUCUCGUUGCAAGGUAAAAUUUUGUAUUUUGAAAUUAAAUUUAAAUACAAAGCCAUUUCCACAAAAUUUAUCAUGAAAUUUGACCUAGUUACCAAAUUUUCAUUUUCUAUCAGUUGAUGUACGCUACUUCAUCUCUUUAUUAUUAAUAUUACAUGACGUUUGAACGGAGCAUUCAGUUAAACAAUAAUUGAGGUUUGAUGCAUCGGUGGUAAUGAUUUGAAUUUUUAUGCGUAAGAUGAAAUUUCGCAAUAUGGCUAGUUUGAAACUUUGAAUUUAAAUUUCGUCAUCAACAUGAUUUUUUUUUUGUUUUAUCCUUAAACAUGUUUGUUGAAAUGUUACGAUAACUCCCGUGAGAGUUGAAUGAGUGUGGUUCUGUUCCACUCUAUUUUUAACAAUACUAUAUCUAAAUUUUAAGUUUUAAACAUGUCUUGCUUGUUUAUUUCUUUCUUUGUUGUCGCAAACUGGUAUCUAUCACACAAUCUGAAGAAUUAAAUGGUAAUUUUGGUAGACAACCUGGUUUUAGCAGAAGCUAAUGUUCAAUGCAUUGAACCAUCAAUCGCAGCAGAUUACAAUUUUGUGACUUCAGUGAAAUUUUUGGGAGCUGAGCGAUCAAUACCGUUCAAAUGUUCGACGAAGUGAUUCCAUAUGUUUUAGGUGACUCUUUAAGUUUUCAAUCGAUACUGUUGUUCGAAAGUUAAGCAGCCAAACUAUUGGAGGCUCUAACGAGCAUCAGAAAACAAGCAAAGAGAAAAUCAAGAGACUACAUCUUGUUUUGUUGCUUGGAUAAAAAAUUUGAGGGAACCAAAGAAUAAGAGUGAACAACUCCCGCCAAAGUUCAUUUUCUUUCUUCUCAAAAGAAAAGGGGAGAAUAGUAACAACAGUAUCAAAUCUUUCUCUUUUUUCCUAUUUUUAUAGGUUCAAACGACAUAACAGAGAAUCAUUUUUCUCUCCUCUUUCUCCUUUUUUUUUCCUCCUUUUUUUUCCCUACUGUUUCCUCAUUCUUUUCUUCCAAACAGAGUGCAAAACUGAUUUUCCUCUGAAGAAACAAAACCUGAUGAAAAUUACAAGCACUCGACAUGAGGAAAAUGCAUAUUCACACUGUUAUCCAUCAACAGCAUCCAAGCCCUCUUAGUACCAUAACCAGUCCCCCAGAUAUGGCGUGAAAAAAAAAAAAAAGGGAAAAAGAAAUCUGUAGCUCUACGCCAUCAAGUGCAUCACCUCUUUGGCUUCCUAGUGUCUUCUAUGGCGUGACGAGGAGGAUGAUGAGGACCCAGCGGAACCGCGCGAGGAAGACUUCUCGUAAGGUGGCUGAAACCCGAUGUUCUCCACGGCACCAACGGUCUUAAAAUGUCGUUUAUUCAGCUCCUCCACCAGGGUCCGGUGCAACAGCUGGCUCCGCACGUCCACCAUCGACCGGUUCUUCAUCAUUCUCCGCCCGUCCACCACCGGCCUUUUGCCCCUGCUGCUAGUGCCCAUUUCACGAAAGUGGGGCUCUUGUAGUAUGUUGCACUGCUUGUGUAGUUUGGAGGCGAGGGAGGUCAAUGUCUCUGCUGCUGUAUUCCCUUUGGGGUGGAACCUUAUAAUCGACUCGUGGCUGCUUGGACCGGGCUGAGUCUGAGCCUCUCUCUGGACCAGGGUUGUGCCAAUAUCUUGUUCGUUGGCCGAGUAGAAGUUUAUGGCAGAGUACUUGCCGGAGUGUGUGGAGCUCAUGUCAUCAUCAUCAGGGUGAAGUACAUCUACACAAGAGGUUAAUAGAAGAGGUAAAUGACUUGAUAAUUAUUAUAAUUGGGUGCUUCUGUGGCAUAAUAAAACUUUAUGUAGUUCUGAUUGAAGGAAAAGUGGUCUGAUGCAGAGUGAUGUAUGGGUGUAAGAAGAAGGCCAUUUACCUGGAAGCCAGUUUUCUUUACGAGACUUUCCCUGUUGGCAAAGGAAACCUUGAUAAGGCCCUAUACCAAGUAAUGACCCUUGUGAGGAGGAAGGGGAGGACAUGUAGUAGAAAGGGUGAUUGUUCUCAUCUUCAUCCUCGUCUCCAUAGUUGUAGUCCUCGGGUGGGACGCCACCAUUCCAACCUGGCACCAGAAUGGAGAUCUCUUGCGCUAUCAUCUCUGCGAUCUCCGUCGGCUUCCGAUCAGUGAUCUCCAGUUCCCUUACCAUCUCAUUCGCCACAUCAAUAGGUGUGUCGCUCAUGAUGUCAAAGGGGAAAUAUAUGUUCCUCACUUCACCUAAAUAGACAAAACUAUACCUAGUUAGUACAUUAUGACUCUGAACUUCUGCAUUUUGGUGUAUAUUAGCAUGUAACAAAUGUAUAAAUAUGCAUAUUAGUGACUAAAUAUCACAGCAUAAUCAAGUAAAAGAGCAGCAAUAUUAUGUUUUAAAUGAAUUCAGUGCUCUAGCACUCAUUUGAUGUAAUUUUUCCUUUUUAUUUUUAUUUUAUCUAUCGCUUCUUUAUAUUCCAUAAAGAUCAUGUACACAUCUGCCGAAGCUCUCAACCUUUUUCUUUUCUUUUUUUCCAAAAAAAAAGAGAAGCUUGUAUGUCAACUAUAUUUCAUAAUGCAACCGAUGUUUUGCACCUUGUUCAUCAGCAAUCUGUACUUUGAGUAUGAUGGCAUCAUCAUCCGGAUCCAUCCUGCCUGUGAUUGUCAUGUCAGUUCUCUUCCCUGCUGAUAUAGGCUUACAAACCUCCAGUGUAUGCCCAGGAUUGAUACUUUCGGCCAUAGCGGUAUGCUUAGUUGCUUGAUUUGGCAAGCUCAGCAUAGGACCAAUGUGGCCAUCCAACAAUAGAAAAGGAUCGAGGAGAAGCUCUCUGGCUGACGACCUUUCCGAGGCGUUCGCUAAGCACCGACUGAUGAACCGCUUGGCCUCGAGAUCUUGAAUUCUGUAGUAGGCAUCAGGCAACUUACCCUGUACAUAAAUCGAAAGCAAUUCAGAAUUUAAGUGAUGAAAUUUUAUAGAAGGAUAAGGAUGAAGUAAUUUAGUGACUUACAGAAGUAACUUUCUUGUAGAUUUGUGCAGGGUUCGAGCAUUCGCUGUAUGGGUACUCAGAAGUAAGCAUUUCGAGCAUGCACAUACCGAAGGAGUAUAUGUCCACGAGCUCAUUGUAGUCUUCCUCGUAGAGCUCGGGAGCCAUGAAUUCUGGAGUACCUGCAACAAGGUGAUAUUAGGUGCUAAUGCCCAUGCCCUUCUAAUUGAAUAGUUCAGCUAUGUAUAAGACCAUUCAAUUCUAGUAAUGCGCAUCAUCUAUCAGUGUGAUCAAAACUGAAGCAAAAACAGUUCUAUAUUUCAGAAACACUUUUGCCGAAGCUCCAGGUGACCCAAUUAGACCCUAGAUUAUUAUCAUAAGCUUAGAUAUCAAAAAAUAUAAUUUAUGUAAAUGAGGUAGAGAACAGCUGAUUGAGCUAAAAGUAUAAGGUUUAAUUGCCUAUAACACUGUGUGCAGAUUGUGAACCGCGGAGCACCGCCGCAAGUCCGAGAUCGCCAAUCUUGACCUGCCCGAGAUGGCCGUUGACGAAGAUGUUAUCACAUUUUAAAUCCCUGUGGAUUACUGGAGGAUCGUGACCGUGCAGAUAUACGAGCCCAUGCAGGAUCUGGCGAGCCCAGUUCUUCACAGCUCUGAUGUCGACUCGUCGGUACCUUUGUCGAUACCUGAAUAUCAUCAUUUUGAAUUAUUAUUGAUCGCAAACUUGUUAAUAUGUUACACGCUCUAUCAGAAAAGAAGAGUAAGGUUUGGUGUCUAUUCUUGUAUAUGAAAUAAUACCAAGCUUGUCCACAUGAAAGUUUCGAUAAUGUUUAACUCAACAUGAUCCGGUGAAACAUACUCUCGGAGGGAGCCGGAGGUGAACAUCUCGGUGAUGAAGUUGAAGGUCCGCUUAUGGACGUCGAUCCACGAGGUGUGGAACCUUAUAAUGGACUCAUGGCGGAGAGUGCUGAGGAGAUGGACCUCGGAGUACAUGCGCUGCAACGCCUCAGGUGUUCGCAGAACGUCGCAGAGCUUCGCUUGGUUCCACGCCACCUCAAUCCCGUUGAGCUCGUCGAAUGCUCUGAAGCUGCGGAAACCUCAGUUAAGUAACUCAUGCUACAUAACCCCCAGGAGUAAGUAUCCAAUACUAGUGAUAUAUGUUUGUGAAGAUUAAUUAGAAUGAAUUUUUCUGCGAGAAGGAUACACUGUCUUCAUGGCUCCUUUCCCGAGUUCUUCGUCGAACUGCAAAUAUAUGUAAACAACAUAGUCAAUGUAUGCAUUCUUUCUUCUUCUUUUUUUUUUGGAAAUAAACUGUAUUGAUAUUAUAAUCUCUGUGAAGUUUGAUCAUUGCUCUAAUAUUAUUGACAAGGAUUAUGUAGGACAUGAUUACCCUGGUGCUUCUCCAAAUGAUUUUUAACACAAUUGUUGUAUACUAUGCAUCCAAAAUUUACUAUAUUACUGUGUAAAAUGGAAAGAUGUCCCUACUACUAAAAGUUCCUUUUUUUUUUGGCUCAAUAUCCUCCUACUACUACAAAGUAAAAUUGUUUGUUUGAUUUUGUAUAUAAGUGUGAGCAUCUAUAAUGUGUGUUACAACCAAUAAGAUCAUGGAUAAAUAUUAGUAGUAGGAGAUGAACACUUGCACCCAAAAUGGCUCCCACAUAUCGCAAUCCAUAUCUAUGGUGUGUCCCAUUCAAAUCUUUUAAGCAUAAACUUGUGCUAGCCACCUAUAUCACACCUCCAGGGCUUUUAAUUAGUUUCCUUUUUCUAUAAAAUAUAACUUUACCAACCUCUUUGUGGAGAUGAUAAUUUUUGAAUCUGAUCAAAUUCAGUGACCAAAUAAUAACCAAAUUCAAUGAAUUCAUUGACGAGCAUCAAAAUAAGCUAUUGUAAUUUUCAAUUUACUUCAAGAGUUUAAACUUCAAAUUUGUUUACAAUUGUCGCUUCUUUUCCUCAAGAUGUAAGCCAUGUUCUAGAAGAUCCUCCCACCUACACUAAAGCUAAUAGCGUUGACUAUCAUCGUAUCAUUAUAGUUAUUCGUGUAACGAUCUGGUCCUACUAAUUAUUAGAAUAGUCCCAACCAAUAAUUUUUUAAUGUAAAUUUAACUCACAUAAUCGCGAUAGGGAACUACUCUACUUAAUAACUCACUCAUUCGAUGAUAUUAGUUAGUACUAAGUUACAUAUUACAUGAAACAAAUACGCAAAAAUAAAGUGUCUUAUACAUGAAAGAGAACAAAACCAAGUGGUGAGACCGAGACGUGCACGUAAAAUAUUUCUCCAACAAAAAAAUUGACCGAACAAAGAGAUUUUAAGAACUUACACGCCCGUAUCGGCCGGUCGGAUCGGUCUCGACGUACCCGUUGUCGUCCAUACCCCUCAGUCGAUUAACUCGAAGCUUAUCGCGAUGACGCAAACACGAAGAAAAUUGACCAAAAAAAAAAAAGAAAACGAACUGAAAGCAGAAGCAGGAGCGGGAGCCAGCUGACUACGACAUCGACCGGAGCUCGAUGGAAGGAGAAUUCGUAGGGAGCUCGUGCGCUAGAUUCACGGCUUCCCUUCGUGGUUCGCGUAGGAGAACACGCGGAAGAGGAGCCAGAAGAGCCUCGAGUGGUCGAUCCCCAGCAUGAUCCGCGCCAUGUCGAUGACGAUGACGACGACAACGCGAGAGGUCGAAGAAGCGCCUCGCUAUCAUUUGACGUAAAUCCCGCGUUCGUGCGCAAGAGAUAUAUGGGAGUGAGGAGAAUUUUCCUGGUGGUGGAAUUUGAGUCUAGUAGUGGUGGUGGUGGUGGUGGUGGUGGUGGGGAUAAAAAUGUUUUGCACGUUUUGGGACCUGUCACGUAGGUGGAUAUUAUGGGAAUGAAAUGGGAAAGUUUUGGAGGGAUAUUAUUGCGCGGUGGGGGGCGUUUUGGGAACAAUGAUGUGGGGAUCUGAACUUGAAGACUCUGUGGCUACGCUUUGAUAACACCAUUUGUGGCAAAUAAUGGAAAGGGGAUUGGAAUGGAAUUAAUGAGUGAAAAGGUUCCUCCUCUUUGGAGAUGGUGAAUAUAUGAUAUAGAGAGAGAUAGAGAGAGAGAGAGAGAGAGCUUUUUAUACUAUUUGUGAUGAGAUUAGAGAGAGAGAGAGAAGUAUAAAAGGAGAACUAUUUGUGAUGAGAUUAGAGAGAGAGAGAGAGAGAGAGAGAGAGAGAGAGAGAGGACGAGGAGAAGGAGAAAACUAAAAAGGCGUUGUGACUGGGGAAGGUGGAGAUUUUUGGGUGAGCCGAGUGCGUGUGUAUAUAUGUACAUCAUAAAUUUAUUUAUGAAUUUAUUUAUGUAUCUUUUAAUAUAUUUUGCACUUUUUGUUUUGUUUUGUUUUUUUUUUUAAGAAAUAAUUGCCUAUAUACCUUUCAAAACAUUGAAAAUAUCUUAUUUAUUCCUAUUUUUUUUUCUUUCCAAUUUAUCCCUCAUAUGUUCCUCCGUUAUUCCAAAAUACUCCUGCAGUUACCAUCCGUUAAAUUAAUCAGGUUAAACAUGAGUUAAAUAUCUAUCACAGUUAAAAAAAAAUAAAAUACCAAUUUUGUCUUUAACUUAAGAGUGAGUAAGAAAAGUUGGUGAUGGUAGAAGGGUAUAUUUGAAAAAAUAAAAAUGUAAAAUACUUUUUGUAUCUCUAACUUAAGGGCAAAUAAGAAAAGUCAAUAAUAAUAGAAGAAUAUAUUUGGAAGGGUAAAAUAGUAAUUUCACAGAAAUAACAAAGUUUAUUAACAGAUUUUAACUCUAAGAAUAUCUUAGAAAUAGAUUGGAACGUAAAAAAAGUAUUUUCAAUAUUAGCUUUCUAAGAAGGGUAAAUUAAAAAGUCGGAAAUUUUUCAGGAACAUAUAAGCAAUUGCCCUUUUUUUUUAUGCAGUUGCCCACAUUAUUUAACGUCCCUAUUGGGUUGCAUUUUCUGGUUUUUUUUUCUUAAUUGAUAGUUGAAUAAUUUGGUUUCAAGUUGGAAAUAUUUUGCCAGUAAAUUUGCUGAUACGAAGGGCAUGCUAACAGAUAAUUCUAUAAAAACAUAUGUUAUUCUUUCGAUAUAUUUCAUUUAUUGAAGUAAAAAGUCUAAGAAAUGAAAAGUGAGAUGCUCGAUCAAGAUGCAAUAUUUAUAAAGUAGUCUAUCAGUAUGAUCUUCACCUUUUUGAUUUUUAACUUUUGGGCAAAACUAUUUUAUUAGAUGUUUGAAAAGAAAAUGUUUUGAAAUGUUUCACUAUGACAAAAAAAAAGAAAAAAAAAAGAAAAAAAAAAAACUAAUUUUGAGCUCUCGAUUUUGAGCUCUCGAUUUUUAAACAGACAAAAAAGAUAUAUCGAAUAAGACGUUUAUGCAUCUAAUUCAACAAACCCUCAAUGAUGGGAUGAAGAUUUUACAGAUGAGUUAAUUAUGGCCUUGCUUCGACGGAAUAAGUUAUUCACGACAUCUUAUUCAUUACAAAGAUAUUUUUGUACGGUUCAAAGUAAGAUCUUGAAUUUUUUUUUUUUUUUUUUUCGAAAAAUUUUAGCAUCAACAAUUUGGUUGCGUAACGUAUCUCACCUUCCCAAACAAUGACUUGAGACGGAAUAUAGUACGCACCAUUCGACACAUUUAAUUACACUUUUUUUUAUGUAUCAAAGUACAACAUAACUUUUUGAAUAAAUUAAAAAGGAAAGAUUAUCAGAAUUAUUAUGUAUACACCACAGACGAGGCCUACGUGGCCCAGGUCUAAAUCGUAGGGUGGUGCACCAGGUGCAGCGAAUGAUUGGGCGAGGUGGCGACGUGGCGUUAGAAGCUGGGAAACGGCACUUUGAGGUGUGGGGCCCACCAGGUUUUAACGGGUGUUUGUGGUGGAGGUGGUGGGGGAAAGGAUCCGGUCCAAACGUGACGUGUACUUUUUUUUUUUUUGUUUUUGGUUUUAUUUUUAUUUUAUUUUUGUUAUUUAAGGGUGCUUUUUUUUUUUCCAAUGUGAAAAACGCUAUUAUAUGUAUAUCUAUAGUUAGGAAUAAAUUUUAUAAUUCGAACGUUUAAAAACUCACAAAACUUUUUUUAACUUUUAGUAAAUAAAAUUGACAUAAUAAACAAAAAAAAAAAAAAAAAAAAAAUCACAGAAGCAAGAAAAGGUAAUGAGUCAAGUUUUUACUUUUUGUGAUCAAACAAACUAAUGCAAAGUACAGAAGAACAUAUAAAAGAUAUAUUGGAAAAAAAAAAAAGUAAAGCUUUUGGAUGAGAAGGGGUGUAAGAUUUAAUCUACGAAGGAAUAAUUGCCUAUAUACUUUUCAAAACUUCGAAAAUAUCUUAUUUAUCUUUAUUUUUUUUCUUUCCAAUAUAUCUUUUAUAUGUUCUUCUGUUAUUUCAUAAUACUCCUGCAGUUACCACCCGUUAAGUUAACUUCAGUUAAACGUGAGUUAAAUAUCUACCAGAGUUAAAAAAAUUAAAAUAUCUUUUUUGCUCUUAACUUAAAGAUAAAUAUGAAAUGUUGAUGAUGUAGAAGAGUAUAUUUGAAAAGACCAAAAAAUUAAAAUACUUUUUGUACUUCUAACUUAAGGGUAAAUAAAAAAAGUCGGUAAUGAUAGAAGGGUGUAUUUGAAAGAAUAAAAUAAUAAUUUUAUAGAAAUAAUAGCUAUUGCUAACAGUUUAUUAACAAAAUUUAACUCUAGAAAUAUAUUUGAAAUAGAUUGGAACAUAAAAAUAGUAUUUUUAAUAGGUCAGAAAAAUAAAUUAAAAAAUCAAAAAAUUUUCAUGAGUAUAUAUAAAUAAGGGAAAAUUUCAUCAUUACCCUUCCAAAUAAGUCUAAUAUCAUGAAUGCCCCUAUAAAAAUUGAAAUAUCAUAAAUAACCUUUUAAAAGGAAGAAACUUUCAAAAAUAACCUUUACACUAAUUUAUUAUCAAUUUUGAAUAAACAACAAACAAAAUUCCAACUUUGCCCUUAAUGUCAUUACUAUCUUAAAAUAUUUAAUUGACUAUAAAAUUAUUUAUAUUUUUAUAAACACUCUUUUAAAUUUAUAGAUAACCUAGAUUUAGAGAUAAGUUUUUUGUCAAUUAAAAAAAAAAUAUAUAAUCCUGACAAGUUAAGCUAAAAAAUAAAAAAAUCAAUUGAAAAAAAUUUAGCAAAAAAUUAUUUAAAGUAUCAAUUGACUCCUUAAAUUAAGGUUAAACAAUUUAUUCAAAAUAUAACUUAAAUAUACAUGCAUGAUGUGAAUUAAGUUAUUUGAACUAGCACAAAUUUCUGUGCUUUGGCAUCUCGAAUUUUAAAAUAAAUGAUAUAAAGUAUUUUAUUUUAUAAACCACACAACAGUAAAAUAAUAUAUUUUACUGUUUAUUUUAAUAUAUUAAAAUAAAUAUAUCAUGCUAAAAUACUUUUGUAAAAAAUUUUAGAAGUUAAGGGCAAAAUGAACAUUUUGACUAUAUUUAUGAUAAUCUAAAUAUUUUAUCAUUCUAUAAAGAGAUGAAUAGUAAGGGUAAGGGUAUAUUUAAAACAUAAUAAGUAUUUAUAGGAGUAAUUGUGAUUGAAUCAAAUUUAUAGGGGCAUCCAUGAUAUUUUUGAAGUUUAGAGGGGUACAAAUGAAAUUGACCCUAAACUACAAAUAAUUGUCCUUUUUAUGAAUAUCUCCUAGUCAUUACUUUAUUUGUGUAUUUUUUAAUAUGGAAAAAUAUCUUAUAUACGCCCAUGCGCGUAGUUCGGUUUGGUGAAACCCUUGCGUACCCUUUGAGGACUCGAAUGAAUUUUAGUGACUUAUUUUUUAGCAUAAAUUUUAGUUUCCCUUAUAUAGUUUAGCCUAUAUAACGUAUUUUUAUUUUUAUCAUAUUUUAAUUUAAAAGUUAUAUUUAAUUAUUUUAUGAUUUUACUUUUAUUUUGUGGUAAGAAUUUAUUAUUAAAUAGUAUCGUAGUAAAGCCGCAAAAAUGAUAUAUUAUCAACAUCAACAUGUGAUUUACAAAAAGUGUUGCUUUGAUACCAUAUUUAAUAGUUGGUCCAUAAGAUAAAUUAAAAAUAAUUUUACAUAAUAACUAAGUGCGAAUUUUCUCAUUUUAACAUUCAGAUAAUAUUUUAUUAAAUAAUACUAUACCAUAAUCAAUAAGAUAUCUAAACUAGAAUACUAGAAGAGUCUAAGUGGGUUUGGAUUUUUUUUCCUUUUUAAAAGAUGAGCCUUAUCCAUUUAAUGUGACAUAUAUCACUAUGUUGAAUUUGUGGCACAAGUGAGUUAAAUUGUCUUGGAUGUUAUGAUUCUACCUAAUAAUACCCUUUUGUCUGAGUUUCUGGGUUUUGGCUUAUUUGGUUACUUAAUUAUUUUUAAUCUUAAUAGGAUGGUUGUGUUAAUUAAUUUGGAUUACACUGUCUUUUAGUUUCCUUAAAAAAAAAAAAAAAAAAAAAAGAUUUGUGUCAAACUCAUUGAACAAAAAUUAAAAAAAAAAUCAAGGCCUGAAUAAUCUAUAUAACUAGCCUGAUCCUAUUUUGAAACAUACCUAAGGAAUAGGUCUUGCUUUAGAAUAAAGAUGAAGAAUCAAAUUCCGUAAAUACGCACGUUCUGGGUUCGAAAUUUUCUAACAUCUAAAAUUUUUCUGAAUAAAAUUACUGUAUCAGACGAGUAGAGCUACUAUGCUAUCGGAAGCACAGAGGAUCGGGUGCUUUCGAUUUUUUGGCGCUUAGAUCAACCCCUUUAAUUAUUUCUAACCUUUGAAUUAAUACUAUUAAUCUGUGGGGACCACUCAAUCCUAGGGCUACUACUCAACUCCGGGGGACCGCAAUCAUUCCAACCAUAUAAUUUUUAAUCUAAUAGUUAAAAAGUUUGAAACGUCAGAUUCUCUAUACUUCCGAUAGCAUAGUAGCUCUACUAGUAUUAGACAAUGGUUCUUAUAAGCUUAUAUAAAAUGCGAAACUCAGACACGGAGUAUGAACCCUAAUUUUUUUAUUAUAUUCCAUAUAUUAAUAUUUGAUCUUGAUAUAUAUGCCUGAUUUUAAUAUGCGAAUUGAAUUAUUGUAUAUUAAGUUAACUUCCAUUCAACUGUAAAAAAAAAAAAAAAAGGAAAAAGUUGCUGCUAAGGCCCAUUUGAUAACCCUAGAGAUGUGCCUACUUAUUGAAAAAAAAAAAUUAAAUGAAAAAUGGAUAGCAAAAGGAUUUUAGUUUGUGUCAAACCAUAGUUAAAAUAACCAAAUUAGCCCAAACUAUAAGGUUCAAGUAUAGGUAUUUUAUUUUUUUUUAAAAAAAAGGGAAAUUUUGAUACUCAUUAAAUUCAAAAGUUGCUCCUUAUUAUUUUUUUUUUUUUAAAAAAGGAAAAAGAAAAUGUCCACAUGGGUUUCUCAAACAAAUUGAUAACUGGCAUGAGUGUAUUUGUGGAAAUAAAUAAAUUAGGUCAUUAUUUCAAAGCACCCACAUGACAUAUUCAUAUGUAAGAUCAUGAAUUUGAUCUUUCAUGUCACCAAUAAUUACCACAAACUUUAAAAUUUAAUAUUUGUCCUUUGGUGUAAUUAAGGGCCAAUUAAUUACCCAAUUUAUUUAUGUUCUUUUGUAACCUUUUCCUAAGUUUAAUGUAAAACUUGUUUGAUCUUUUCUUUCUCAUUUUUCGAAAAGCAAAUAUUUCAUUAGUUGCUUUUUUUAAAAAAAAAUAUGAACAUUGAGCUUAGUCGAAUUGUUAAUUUUCAAUAGUUAAUUACUUGUUGAAGUAAAAUAAUAAGAUAUGCGAUCAAAAUAGAGUCUCUGCGAAAAUUAAGCCUACCUUUUGCUUCAUAUAAUAAGAAAAAAAAAGUAAAAAACUUUUUCCUCCUUUGUUUGUGGACAAACACUAUAUAAAAAUGAUAGGAACCUAACCCCAAAUCAUAAGACACUUUAUGCUUUUAAAAAGAUGCCUCCACUUAAAAAAAUUCCUCACCCAAAAUGAACUUUUUCCACUAUUUAUGGGGCCCAUAAAUUCAUUGACAUGAGUGGCAUUUACCAAAAUUACAUAGUUUUGAGGCUCCACUUUCUUGGUCGAAAUUUAAAUAAUUUAUAUAUAUAGAUUUAAACUAUUAUUUAAAAUUAUACAAACUAUAAUUUAUCAUAUUUUAGAGAUAUCAAGUAGAACUAUAUAUUGAUAAAGCAAUAAUGCAUGUAUAGUUUAUACUAUUACACGCACCUUCGUUGAAGAACAUAAAACAGAUGGAUAAAUAACCAAAGCGUGACAAGAAUAUUAAAUUUUAAAUGUUGUGUGUGAGAAAUUAAAUCCAAAAUCUUUUACCUAAAACUAAGUAAUCUAAUAAAUAUAUCUAAUAGAAAAUAGUUUAGAAGCAGUUUUAUCAAACUAAAUUAAAUUAGGAUCGACCGUGUUUAUUUCUUCAUUUGUUUUCGUUAAUAACAAUUGUUAAUGAUAUUUCUAAACAGUUCCUUAUAGAUCAAAUUAGCGAUAAAGUAUGGAGAGCGAGAUGACCAAACUCUCGAUUCCAAAAUAACAAUAAUAAUAGUAGCAACAGUAGUAGGAGUAAUAAUAAUAAUAAUAAUAAUAAUAAUCCUCCGCAAUUCCUUUAUCCCUUAUAUAACACUAAUAAUCUUACUAAGAAAUUAUAUUACGAGGACUAAAAAGCAUUUAUAAACUUAUGAAUUGAAAAUUGGGAGUUUCCUGGCCCACCACGUGGCGGGCGGACGCGAGGGGCGCGAGGGGGUGGGCGCGAGCGGGCGAGCGGACUAGCAGGCGCAAGCGGGGAAGCGAGCGGGCGAGCGGGCGAGCGAGCGCGGGCGGGCGCGCAUGCGCGGCCGUGGGCGCGGGCGCGGGGGUGGGUGCGCGGGCACAAGUAGACCUUGCAAUCUCGACCUAAACCCGCGGAUGCCCGCGGGUUACCCGCAAAUUUGCGGGUAUAGGUACCAAUUUUUUCAACCCAAAAAAUUAUAGGUAAAACGGGUAGGUGCCCAUUAAGCUAUGAGCAUUUGGGUAACCCGCGGGUACCCACAGGUACCUACACAUAUAUAUUUNGAAUAAGCACAUUGUGUACUUAUAAGCUUUAGCUCUUUAGCUUGGGUAAGUUACAAGAUGGUGUGUGUGUGUGUGUGUGUGUGUGUGUGUGUGUGUGUUUUGUACUUAAAAAAUAUAAGAACAAAAAAGAAAAAAAAAAUUACGGGUAACCCGCAUACCCACCCGCCCACCCGCGGGCGGGUAUGAGUAAAGAUGUUGGCUACCAAAAAAUUUGCAGAUAAAUUUUACCCAUGUCCAAAUAACCUACGGGUACAAUGAUCCACCCGCGGGUUACCCAACCCACUCAUUUGCCAGGUCUAGGCGCAAGGGUGGGCGCGAGCACGCCCGGGCGGGCGAGCCGGCACGGACUCAGGCCCACGCGGGCUUUUUUUUUUUUUUUUUUUUUUUUUGCUUUUUUCCUGUGGGACCCACUCCGAUCUCUCUCUCUCUUUUUAGAUUUUUUUUUCUUUUUUCUUAUUGGCCACAUACAAAAAAUAAAUUUAAAUUUAAAUUUAAAUUUAUUAUUAAUAAUUUUUGAAUGUGUUGUUUAAUUUUAUAUAUUUAGUUAGUAUAUUUUAUGUACUUGUUGUAAUUAAAUAUAUUUAAAAAAAACUUAAUUGUAGUGUUUUUUAUAAAAAUAGAUUAUUUAUGUCUAAAUAAUUAUAAAAUUAAAAUUAAUAUUUAAUACAUACGAUCUAAAAUAUUUAAAAAUUAAGCAUAAAUAAUUAUAUAUUUUAAAAUUUUAUUAUAAUUAAAAUGCAAGCUUAUGAAUUUACAAUCUAAAUCCGAACAGGGUGUUAAGAUCAGUAUUAUUGUUUGUAAUCAAAACUUGCAUAUCUGAUAUAAUUGAUCGCAUGUGAAAAUAUUUUUAAACUUCUUUAUUUAAUUAACUAAAAUAUAUUAUUAUUUACUUUAUAAAAAAUAUAUUUAAUUAUUUAUUAAUUAUUUAUAAAAAAGAUAAAUGAAUCCGUUGUAUCGCACGGUUGCUUAACUAGUAUUAAUGGAUCCACAUGCUUUUUUUAGUCCCAUCACUUUUUGUUUGUAAACUCGUAAUUAAUUCAUAGGCUUUAAUUUCUCUAAUCCAUUAAAAGUGUAUGACUUUUCUGAUGAAAUAAUAAUAAUAAUAAUAAUAAUAAUAAUAAUGUAUACAAAGGUUGGCAUGUGAGAAAUUGGUGUAUCUGUAUAUCUCAUGCACUGCAUCUAAUAUUUGAUAUACGAUAUAAUAAAAUAAGUAUCGCACAUUUUAUAUACCACAUAUGAUACUUGAUGUCUAAUAUUAUAAAAUCAAAUUCUUUAUCUGAUAAAUGUGAUUCUCAACAUCUAAAGAGUCCACAUAUAAGAAAUCUUAGGUUCUAAAGUAAUUUUGGUAACAUCCAGCUUCAAAAAUCAAUGGUAUCGGCAAGAGACGUUAAUAUUUUUUUUUUUAACAAAAAAAUUGAUAUUCUGUACUCGUAUACAAAAAAAAAAAAAAAAAAAAAAACUUUGUCCAUUUCAUUUCGUAUUGGGUCUGAAUCUGGAUACUUAAGUUAAUAAUAUACUCAUCGGAUUUAUUUGAACGGAUUUAGAUAGUGACUACUCGUAUACUAUCCGUUUAAAACCGGAUAUGGAUCGGAUACGUAUAGGACGGAUAUAGAUCGGGUAAGAAUACCCGUAUGCAUAUUUUUUUAUAAACUUUAUUAAACAGUUUAUAAGCAAACUAUAAACCUAUCACUAUAAAAAAAACUCGCGUUCUAAUUAGUUGCACCCAGUCCAAUAAAAUUCGUUCAAAAAAAGAUUCAAGCAGUAAACAAACAGCGUUAAAAAAAUGAGUAAAAAAAAAUAAACAGAACAACUAGGAUUUUCACUAUGAUGAAAAUACACAGACCCUUCAUCUAAGUCAGAUUGAAAUUGAUCUCUCAACUUCAUUUUUUUUUUUUAAUUUACUAUCCGGUAUUUCACCAGGCCCGAAUCCGGAUUUUAAAACUCUUCCGAUCCUUACCCAUUAAAAAAUCAGGCUAGUGUCGGUUUCAAGUCAGGUAUAAGUAUAAAGUAUUCAGAUCAAUAUCCGAAACUUUAAUGAAUAAGUUUUUUUUUUUUUUAAGACUCGUACGCUAUUCAUUUUUUAUCGGAUCCGAUUCGAAUCUGGAUAGGGUUCGAAUCGGAUAUGAAAUAUCGAAUAUUUUGGACAGCUUUAGUGCCAAAAAAAUAAGGUCGGUCAAUUUUGUCGCAUGCAAUUAUUGAGUGGGACCCGCAUUUUGUCAAUAAUAUUACCUUUGCGGGCCCCACAAGGCCCAGGAUUGGUGGGCCCACGCCCACGCUUGGGCCUCAGAAGAUCUUCGAUUGAGGAAGCAGAUACGUUUGAUCAGGAUAUACCACACACUAUUUUUUAUUUUUAUUUUUUAUUUAUUUGUGUAUGAAAAAAAAAAACCAUAGAUUUUUUAACUUCAGGAUUGUCCAAUUCUUUUUUUUAUUUAGUUAAGUCCAAUUCACAUCUUAAUUCCUAUGCGGAAAUUUAAAUUUAAAUUUAAAUAAUAUUGUCAAUUUUUGUUGGAAAAGGACUUAGAAAAAUCAUGAUCAUGACAUACUACUGCAUUUGAAAAAAAAAGGGGGUCAAUUGUAAUUUGAAUUGUUAGUCGAAAUUUAAAAAUUCGAAAUAAAGCACAUCAAUUUGUUAAUUACAUUUAAUCAACCAUUAAUCUCUGAAUUUUAUUAUUUUUAUUUUUAAUGAUCACCAAUCACAGGAAAACCAAUCAAUUCAAGUCCCAUGGGUUUUUUUUUUUCUUUUGAACACCUAAAAAAAUUAAUAAAACUCAGAAUAAUUAUAAAAAUAUUGUCAUGUUCUUUUCCCCUCUAAAGCUCCGCAAAUAUAUGAAAUUGUUUGUUAAAUUAGGACGUCUCUGGUUCUCCAAAAAAUUAUGAAAUUUUGUUUUUCAAGAAAAAAGUCAUUUAUGAAAAUUAUUCUUUUGUUUGUAGCAUAGAAAAUCAGUAGGAAAAAAAAAAGACAUUUUCAUAAAAUGUGGAUUUUUUUUUUUUCAAAAAAGUACUUUUUCUUGUAAACCAAACUAGUCAUAGUACUAUUUUUGAGAUUUUUGUUUUUUUUCCAGGGAAUGAAACAUCCCCCUCCCCCUCCUCUCUCUCUCUCUCUCUCUCUCUCUAAUAAUGCAAUUAUAAAAAUACAAUUCAACUAAUAAUUCCCUAUUAUUUAAUAAGCAUGCUCAACUCUUUACUUUAUUACAUAGUCAAAAUAUCUUCAAAUAGAUUUUUUUUUUUUUAAUCAAAUCACACAGCAAUGUCCCCUAGUUCUUAACUUAACAAAAUAUAUGACAAAUUUUGGUAAUUAUGAAUAAGUUGUAUUUCAUAAGCGCAUUUUAGUAGACUCAAUAGAAACUUUUGUUUCACGUUCACAUCUAACUAUCUCCUUAAAUCAAAUUUAUUCAAAUUAUUUGUUUUCUCAAUAAUCCUUUCCACUCUUAUUUCUCUUAUAAGUUUGCAAACCAAAAAAAGAUUAAAAAAAAAUGCAAAUAUAAGCAAAUUUUACUAGCUCAAAACACACCGCUAAAACUACCGAAAAAUACAAGUACGAUGGGAAAAUAAUAUGUUUGUUUUCGUACGUAAUAUAGCGUUCUGCAUUUCACGAUGUGUCGGUUAUGAUAUAUAUUUUUUGUGAUCCUAUCGGAAAACACAGAAACAUAUCAUAUAUGCUUUUACCCCAACUCUAUUUUAUCUAUUAGCGUCGGAUGGAUCUCAAUACCAAACUAAGCCGUAGUGUGUUAUGAAUGAUAAGAGUUGGUGAUUAGCUCGCAGACGACAACUUUGAAUAACUAGAAAUUAGGGUUUAAUUAAUUUUUCCAUCCCCAUCAAUUAUAGAAAUAUAUAGCUUCAUUCUACAUCUACAAUAAUACAUUAAGAUAUUACAUCUCUUGAGCCUCCACCUCAAAUAUUCUAGUAUCAUUAUUGCUACUAAUUUAAUGGAGUUAUAAGCCAAAUACUUAUAUGUCUCCAAGUACUUAAAUAAUAACAUUUGAAACUGUUUAUUAAUUGCAACUGGAGUUAUCUGAGUCAUUUACAAGUACCUUUUGAUAGAUAAUAAAUGAAUAAACAAUUCUAAGGUGGCUAUUUUAUAUAGCUAAUCAUGAGUAUUAAAAUACAAAUGAAACUAGGCCUUAACCGUAAUAAAAAAAUAUGCAACUAACGUUGGAUGGAGAGGUACUCUAAAUUGAUGGAUAGAGUUUUUUUUUCUUUUUUAUUUAUUUAUUUUUUUCGCAUAUAGAGAGAUUUUUUUUUUAGUCAAAUGCAAUGCCAAAAGAAAGGAGAAAGAUGGGAAAUUUAAUUAUUUGGGAAACAUAAAGGUGAGAAUAGGAUUAGACCAAGAAGGGUCAUGGAUUAUAUGUAAUUUCUUUAUAAAGCUUAAUUCUUUACAAUUUUCUAUAGAUCAAUCUUUUGAAUAAAUUAGUUCUUUAGACAGUAAGAAACUAAAAUACUAUACGGAUAAAGAAAUGCCACUUGUACACCGAAAAAUUGGGUGUAAAUUAUAUUAUAUCUCACCAAUUUUGAGCUGGUAGAUAUCCAUGGAAAGAAUAUAAGAUUUACGCCCAAUAUUUUGGGUGUGCACGUAUCAUUGCAAAACAAUACUAAUAUAUAUAUAUAUAUAUAUAUAUAUAUAUAUAUAUAUAUAUAUAUAUAUAUAUAUAUAUAUAUAUAUAUAUAGAGUCCAGCUAUGGUGCUUGUAAAAGCACGAAGCACUUGGUGCUUAUAAGUUUUUUACCGUUAGAUCUGCUCCUCAGAUUAUUUUCAACCAUUAGAUUAUCCUUGUAAGUUUUUUACCGUUAGAUCUAUCAGUAGUAAACGGGCUCCGUUGCCAUCCAUUUAUUUUUAAUGAUGGAGCCUCCAAAUCGACGAUCGGCACUGUUGAAAAUAAUCUACACCACUUGAAGUAUUUAAAAAUCAAAUUUUAUGCUUUUUCGAUAUUAUUCUCUUAUCCAUCAAGUCGGCGUAAAAAUGAAUGGUUGAACAUGCAUAUCCUCUAAAAAAUGAUGAUACGAAUUUUAUAAUCAAGAUCGAGAGUAUAGAUUUUGUUCUAAAUAGUUUAAAAAAUUUUCUAACAAAAAUUUAAUUGAUUUGGAUAGUUUUACACCGUUAAAUAAGAAAGCGCCUCGUAUCUACCACUAAAAUUAUAAUUUUUGAAACCCUUUAAUCAUUAAGCUAAUGAUGUCGAAAAGAUUUAAAAUUUGGCUUCUAUACACUUUAAGUGGUAUAGAUCAUGUUCAACGGUGCUGAUCGUCGAUUUGGAGACUUCAUCAUCGAAAAUAAAUAGGUGGCAACGAAACCCGUUUGCUAUCGAUAGCAUUCCAGCUCAUAUAUAUAUAUAUAUAUAUAUAUAUAUAUAUAUAUAUACCACUAAAACCUAAAAAGAUAGACAUUUAAAUUUAGGCUAACCAUCAUCUAGCUGGUCGAUGCCCAGCAUGUCAUUAUCGUCCACCCAUAUACCACCUCCAUCCUUCAUUCUAGUUGAACCCCCUAUAGCAGGGCCCUGUCCAAUGUAAGGCUCAUAAGCAGCAUAGAAAGCAAAAGGGGGGUUGAAACAACUCUCUCGCUAUGAAGAGAAAUUCUACUAUCUGUGAUAGUAGCCNNNNNNNNNNNNNNNNNNNNNNNNNNNNNNNNNNNNNNNNNNNNNNNNNNNNNNNNNNNNNNNNNNNNNNNNNNNNNNNNNNNNNNNNNNNNNNNNNNNNNNNNNNNNNNNNNNNNNNNNNNNNNNNNNNNNNNNNNNNNNNNNNNNNNNNNNNNNNNNNNNNNNNNNNNNNNNNNNNNNNNNNNNNNNNNNNNNNNNNNNNNNNNNNNNNNNNNNNNNNNNNNNNNNNNNNNNNNNNNNNNNNNNNNNNNNNNNNNNNNNNNNNNNNNNNNNNNNNNNNNNNNNNNNNNNNNNNNNNNNNNNNNNNNNNNNNNNNNNNNNNNNNNNNNNNNNNNNNNNNNNNNNNNNNNNNNNNNNNNNNNNNNNNNNNNNNNNNNNNNNNNNNNNNNNNNNNNNNNNNNNNNNNNNNNNNNNNNNNNNNNNNNNNNNNNNNNNNNNNNNNNNNNNNNNNNNNNNNNNNNNNNNNNNNNNNNNNNNNNNNNNNNNNNNNNNNNNNNNNNNNNNNNNNNNNNNNNNNNNNNNNNNNNNNNNNNNNNNNNNNNNNNNNNNNNNNNNNNNNNNNNNNNNNNNNNNNNNNNNNNNNNNNNNNNNNNNNNNNNNNNNNNNNNNNNNNNNNNNNNNNNNNNNNNNNNNNNNNNNNNNNNNNNNNNNNNNNNNNNNNNNNNNNNNNNNNNNNNNNNNNNNNNNNNNNNNNNNNNNNNNNNNNNNNNNNNNNNNNNNNNNNNNNNNNNNNNNNNNNNNNNNNNNNNNNNNNNNNNNNNNNNNNNNNNNNNNNNNNNNNNNNNNNNNNNNNNNNNNNNNNNNNNNNNNNNNNNNNNNNNNNNNNNNNNNNNNNNNNNNNNNNNNNNNNNNNNNNNNNNNNNNNNNNNNNNNNNNNNNNNNNNNNNNNNNNNNNNNNNNNNNNNNNNNNNNNNNNNNNNNNNNNNNNNNNNNNNNNNNNNNNNNNNNNNNNNNNNNNNNNNNNNNNNNNNNNNNNNNNNNNNNNNNNNNNNNNNNNNNNNNNNNNNNNNNNNNNNNNNNNNNNNNNNNNNNNNNNNNNNNNNNNNNNNNNNNNNNNNNNNNNNNNNNNNNNNNNNNNNNNNNNNNNNNNNNNNNNNNNNNNNNNNNNNNNNNNNNNNNNNNNNNNNNNNNNNNNNNNNNNNNNNNNNNNNNNNNNNNNNNNNNNNNNNNNNNNNNNNNNNNNNNNNNNNNNNNNNNNNNNNNNNNNNNNNNNNNNNNNNNNNNNNNNNNNNNNNNNNNNNNNNNNNNNNNNNNNNNNNNNNNNNNNNNNNNNNNNNNNNNNNNNNNNNNNNNNNNNNNNNNNNNNNNNNNNNNNNNNNNNNNNNNNNNNNNNNNNNNNNNNNNNNNNNNNNNNNNNNNNNNNNNNNNNNNNNNNNNNNNNNNNNNNNNNNNNNNNNNNNNNNNNNNNNNNNNNNNNNNNNNNNNNNNNNNNNNNNNNNNNNNNNNNNNNNNNNNNNNNNNNNNNNNNNNNNNNNNNNNNNNNNNNNNNNNNNNNNNNNNNNNNNNNNNNNNNNNNNNNNNNNNNNNNNNNNNNNNNNNNNNNNNNNNNNNNNNNNNNNNNNNNNNNNNNNNNNNNNNNNNNNNNNNNNNNNNNNNNNNNNNNNNNNNNNNNNNNNNNNNNNNNNNNNNNNNNNNNNNNNNNNNNNNNNNNNNNNNNNNNNNNNNNNNNNNNNNNNNNNNNNNNNNNNNNNNNNNNNNNNNNNNNNNNNNNNNNNNNNNNNNNNNNNNNNNNNNNNNNNNNNNNNNNNNNNNNNNNNNNNNNNNNNNNNNNNNNNNNNNNNNNNNNNNNNNNNNNNNNNNNNNNNNNNNNNNNNNNNNNNNNNNNNNNNNNNNNNNNNNNNNNNNNNNNNNNNNNNNNNNNNNNNNNNNNNNNNNNNNNNNNNNNNNNNNNNNNNNNNNNNNNNNNNNNNNNNNNNNNNNNNNNNNNNNNNNNNNNNNNNNNNNNNNNNNNNNNNNNNNNNNNNNNNNNNNNNNNNNNNNNNNNNNNNNNNNNNNNNNNNNNNNNNNNNNNNNNNNNNNNNNNNNNNNNNNNNNNNNNNNNNNNNNNNNNNNNNNNNNNNNNNNNNNNNNNNNNNNNNNNNNNNNNNNNNNNNNNNNNNNNNNNNNNNNNNNNNNNNNNNNNNNNNNNNNNNNNNNNNNNNNNNNNNNNNNNNNNNNNNNNNNNNNNNNNNNNNNNNNNNNNNNNNNNNNNNNNNNNNNNNNNNNNNNNNNNNNNNNNNNNNNNNNNNNNNNNNNNNNNNNNNNNNNNNNNNNNNNNNNNNNNNNNNNNNNNNNNNNNNNNNNNNNNNNNNNNNNNNNNNNNNNNNNNNNNNNNNNNNNNNNNNNNNNNNNNNNNNNNNNNNNNNNNNNNNNNNNNNNNNNNNNNNNNNNNNNNNNNNNNNNNNNNNNNNNNNNNNNNNNNNNNNNNNNNNNNNNNNNNNNNNNNNNNNNNNNNNNNNNNNNNNNNNNNNNNNNNNNNNNNNNNNNNNNNNNNNNNNNNNNNNNNNNNNNNNNNNNNNNNNNNNNNNNNNNNNNNNNNNNNNNNNNNNNNNNNNNNNNNNNNNNNNNNNNNNNNNNNNUAUAUAUAUAUAUAUAUAUAUAUAUAUAUAUAUAAAGUCCGGCUGCUAUGCUAUCGAUAGCACCAAGCACUUGGUGCUAUCAAGUUUUCUGUCGUUAGAUUAAUUCUUUUGAUUAUUUUUACCCGUUAGAUUAUACUAUUCAACCAACCAUCCACUCAACCCUAGAGGGCCCACAUUAUCCUAACGGUAUAUUUCUCAAUUCAAGGACUAAAAAAUCAAUAGCACCAACACUUGGUGCUAUUGAUAGUAUUCCAGCCCAGUUCGAUAUAUAGAGUCCGGCUGCUAUGCUACCGAUAGCACCAAGCACUUAGUGCUAUCAAGUUUUCUGCCACUAGAUUAAUUCCUUCGAUUAUUUUUACCCGUUAGAUUAUACUAUUCAACCAACUACCCACUCAAUCCUAAGCCAUUUUCGAUGAUGGAGCUUUCGAAUCGAUGAUUGGCUCCGUUAAACUUGAUCUAGCAUAUUUGAAAUAUCUAGAAAAUAAAUUUUACGGUUUUCGAUAUUAUUUACCUAGUGAUCGAAAGAGUUCAAAAUCAACGGCUGAAAAUAAAAAUCUCACAAAAAGUGGUAAUAUAGCACUAAAAUUUUCGAUCAGAGACAUUGAUCUUGCUGUAAAUAGUAUAAAGAAAUUUCUAUCAAAAUUUCAUCUGAUUUGAAUACUUCUACACCAUUAAACUUGCAAACGGUAUACAUCAACCAUUAAAAAUUGUUGAUUUUAAACCUUUUCGAUCACUAGGUAAAUAAUAUCGAAAAACCGUAAAAUUUAUUUUCUAGAUACUUUAAAUACGCUAGAUCAAGUCUAACGGAGCAGAUCGUCGAUUCGAAAGCUCCAUCAUCGAAAACGGCUUAGGAGCACAGAGGCCUCCGUGCUCCUAAUAGCACACAAGACCUAUAUAUAUAUAGUCCGGCUACUAUGCUAUUAAUAGCACGAAGCACUCGGUGCUACCAAGUUUUCCACCGUUAGAUCUACCAUUUUGAUCAUUUUUAUCCGUUAGAUCAUACUAUUCAACCAACCACCCACUCAGCCCUAGGAGGCCCACAUCAUCCUAACCGCACAUCUCUUAAUCCAAUGGCCAAAAACUUGGUAGCACCAAUGACUUGGUGCUAUUAAUAGUAUAUUAGCCUAGUUAUAUAUAUAUAUAUAUAUAUAUAUAUAUAUAUAUAUAUAUAUAUAUAUAUAUAUAUAAAACUAAGUCCAACAUUUAGUUGUCUAAUUGUUGUACAAUUUUUUAAAGUUUUAGUUCAGAGAAGUUUAUAACAUCAAUUUUUUAUUAUUUUUUCCCCUUUUCAAUUUUUUUUUACAAUUAUUUUUUCAGGAAAUAGAGUCAAAUCCCUUAUCUGUGUCUCUCAUGCCUAGAGCCCCAAAACCUGUUUAUUUAUCAACUCUUUAUACAAAGAUUUAACUAAGAACAUAAAUUUAAAUUUAGAUUUUUCUUUUCUAUUUUGCUAAUUCAAGUAUCACAUCCUAUAACAUUUUAGUGCACAAAACUACAAAUAGACCUCAAAUUAAUGACUUAUAAUUGCCGAUUUGGCUUUUUUUUCAUCAACAAGAUAAUUACCAAAUAUAAACUAAAUGCUUGUGUUUAAUUAAUUCUUAUGAUGAGAUCUUUUUUUUUUUUCUAAUGGUAUCUUGUACUUAAUGAAACACAUGACUAAGCUUGAUACAAGGAACCAAGUAAAAUAACAAUGAAUUGUACAACGUGGGAUGUGAGAUUCUCCCUUGUGCAACACAAUGGCAAUAACUAAGUACAAAUCAAAAUCAUGUGUGAAUCACAUUUUACAAUUAAAUAUCUUAAUUAAGGACGGCGUUUAUUGCAAUUGUUUCAACAUCAAAAUAAGCUAAGAGGGGGGGUCCUGAAAAAAGAAAAAUAAAUUUAUCGCCUGCCCACGUGAAUUGUAUGAAUUGCUGGUGCCAACUACCGUAAAAUCUCUAAAUGACAGAAAGAGACGACCGAUUCACUUAAAGUAUGUAGAAACAUCGUUAACGAGCCUCGAUUACAAUUUCGCUCAAUCUAAUCUCCGCUUGGUAGACAGAUUAUCAACCUAUGUGUCAAUAUAUCUGUAUAUUCUUACACUAUAUAACCAAUUCACUUAAAACAUAUAGAAAGUGUUAACGAGCCAUGAAUAUGAUUUCACUCAAUCUAACCUCCGCUAGAUGGACAGGAUACCGGUCUAUGUACGAUACAUCUGUAUAUCCCUGCACCGUGCGUCCGCCGCUAUCCGUUCCCGUAUUUCAAUUGCUAUUGUGCAUUUAAGUUGCAAUCUUUUCUCAAUCAUACAAAUUGGUACCAACGAGAAAUGAAGAUGCAUCUUUACCUACACAAUUUUGGCCCAUAAUAGCAAAAAGUAUUAGGGCUUAAUUGGACCCAAUGUGCAUUGCAUUUAUCCCGUUGAUACCCCUAACUACGGCAUAAUAGGAGAUGAGUCCAUGGCAUCCAAAUAUUAUUUGAUUUUUUGGAAUUUUCAACGCAUACAAUGGUAUAACAAUACAAUUCAGAUUAAAUAGUUUGGAGUUUAAAAUUUAGACAUUGUAAUACUAACUAUUCAGAUUGAAUAGUAUGCAUAAGCGGGCGCAUUCUCUUGCAUGUGUAUGACUAAAAAUGCGAAAUUUUCAAUUUCAGAAAAAGUCAGAAACUUCCACAGAUUUGUUUGAAUAAAACACAAUUCGAAAGCUAUAACAAAAGAUACAAAUUAUCGGUUGCAUUUUGACGAGUACAUAGCUGGAAUAGCUCAAGAAGUAAAUUUACUCUAAUUCUUGUUUUUCUUUCAAUUCAUAACUUUAUUGCAAAGUUAGUAACCUAAGUUCAACAUAACAAACAGAAACAAAGCUGAGCACAUGAGUUACAUUUAACCAAAUAUCUCACCUGAUACUAACAACAUCAUCAUCAUCAUCAUCAUCACAAUACACCGCAGACCGAUAAACGGUACUCCAAUCAGGUAGCAUAACUAUUUCAACAAAAUAAAAGCCACACUCAGGAGUAUCUACACCGCCCGACGGGGGCGAAAAUUGGGCUGCAGAGGGUUAAAAAAAACAGAGAGAAAAAAAAAAAUAGAGAAAGGAAAAAAAAGGAUUCAGCAAUGCACCCGAUUAGGUAAGAAGCAAAGGGUGAAGACUGAUAGCAAAAAGGAAAUUAUUAGAAUGUACACUAUGGUAAAUUUACUGCAACAAUCUAUCGACACACAUUGCGACCGUUGCUCGAGCGAAUAUGGACCCAACUGGUCAGUAUAUUUCUUUGUUUUUUUUUUUUUUUUUUUUUUUUUUUUUUUUUUCUUUUCCUCCGUUUUUUUGGGUCUCACUUCUUCCUGUAAUGGUUCCGCCUCCCAUGUGUGAAAUUUCUCCACUUCUCUCACCCCGAUAAAGGAGGGAAGUCACCGUCGUCUUUGAGCUGAUACGGCUGCGCUGACCUGCAAAUUUCAUAUUAUGAAACUUUGAGAAGACGACGGGCGCCAUUAGAUAAGAGCGACAAAUUCUACGAUUUAAAUGGACAGCACUAUACAGAGUUUUAAAAUGUCAGUAAAGAAACAGGGAGAAAAGGAUUGUGAACUAGUUUGUCAUAGGGAUAAAGGGAGAAUAAGAUUUUUCAUCUAGUAGGGCAACUAUGAAGGUUCUGAACUGGUGUCCCAAACUGUAGCAUGGAAACAAAUAAGUAUUUAAUCAUCAUUAGCAAAUGCUUGUUUUCCCACCCAUGCGAUAUAAUAUAACACCCAUCAUGUCGAAAUGCCAGCCAAUUUCAUUAAGACCUGUUUUGUUCAGAUGGAGCCUCUGCAAAAGUGCUGUUUGAAUAGAGCGCUUUAGAUAAACACUAACAGGUUUUUUGUCGCCUACUUUUGGGGCAAAAACACCUUCGCUGCUUCGCACACACAAAAGCUCCAGGCUUUUUAUAUGCCACAUGCUUGGUUUCUCCUCUACGGCACAAAGAAGCAGCUUAAACAAGCUAGCCCAAUGUUGUGCUUCGGCUAUUGGUAAAAAAACCUUUUUAAACAAGUUCAAAUUUGUCAAGCUUACGAGGAAAGAGCUAUCAUGGGCACCUUAGAUGUUUCAGCUUGAUGUUGACACUUCCAAAGUUUCUUCUUUGGUCACUACUGGUUCUAGAAUCAGUAACAAAAUACAGACCUUCCUGAGCUCUAACGUUUUUUUGAAAUGUAUACCUGACCUUCAAAAAUUCUGAUAUUCCUACCUAACCUUGAAAUUGUAUUGAUGCAAGUACUUUUUAACUUUCUUAUAGGAUAUUCUGUUACUAGACAGAAUAUUUCGUAGAUUUUCUGAAAAUCAAAAUAACUGUGAUAUUUGUUAAGAAAAUUUAAAAUAUUUAAUAUUCAGGUAUCCAUAUAAGAAUUCGCUGUUAGUUCAGAGAAGGUCUGUGCACUCUUUACCUAAAAUGUGAGAAAUUUUCUUCUAACUUGUUUACCUUUCACGAUUGGAGUUUAUUCCAACUCUUUGCAUAGGGCUCGCAGGGCCAGAGGCCUGAGUGUGAGGGUGUACAGAGUCUGGUCGAUUGCCGUGUUCUGGCAAGGCAACUCCAACUUGAACAGGACCAAAGGACCCGAACUCAAGUUUGCUCUCUUGUGGAUGCACAACACCAUUUCCAUGCAAGACACCCCUCGGGCUAUGGCGAGAAGAGUGUGGUAUCUCUUGAAAAGUAGGUCUUCCAUGGCCAUUUCUGGCUGGAACUUGAGCUUGUAUUGGUGGAAGCUCGGGACCCGCUUCUUCCGAAGAGAUGGUGUCUAUAUGCAUGUCCGCUCGGCCAUUGUACCGCGAUUUUAGCUGAUGAUUUGAAGCCAACGAGUUCUUUCCUCUUCCAGGGGACAGUCUCUCCUUAUAUGACCGGGAAUUCUACAAAAAUAGAGGUCAGAGAUUUGCUUGGGUUAGCCAACAUACAUAUAUAAGCAAAACAAUUAACCUUAUAUACUGUAGCAUUCCAAAAGAACCAACAAGUUGAAUCUGCACAUGCAUCAGACUAUCAAAACCAGAACUCACGAGGAUCCUUAGCUUCAAAAUUUGACAACUAUGUCCUUGGAAGUCGACAGGCUAUCCUAAACACUAUUUUACGUCUAAAGAAGUAAUGUCUGUUUGAGCAUGUAGUAGAAACGUUACCACACUUAUGCAGAAUUAUGAUGCAGGAAAAUAAAACAAAAGCUUACGAGUGACAAAAUGUGCCCCUUGAUUUCUCUCAUCAUUUCACAAAAUAAUUUCUCUUCUCCAUUAUGUGUUUGAAUAUCUGUUAUAUCCAUUCACAUAAAAUAGCAACCUAAUUGUUAAAUUUUAAAGGUUAAAGAUCUAAGUGCAAUCACAUGAAGUUCUAGGAAGGGCAUUGCACUUAAGGCAAAAUAAACCAACACAGGCAAGCUACAGUAGACUCCAUGUUCAAUCCAACUUGCGCUGCGGAAGAUCUGCUUACAGAUAAUGCACAACAAGCACACAAAAAUAUUAGCUCACAAGAACACCAUAUAAAAGCUUGAGUAUAACAUACCGUGUUCGGAAAGUAUGUGCCUGUUCCCCUUGGCUUAGGAAGAUCUUCAGUGCCAUAAGCACUGGAUAGUAUAGGGUGAUUCACAUAAUAAUAGCCAGGUGGAUAUGGCACCCCAGGAAUCAUUCCAUUUGGUGCAGCAGGUGGAUACAUAUUCCGCCGAUGUAGCCCAUUCCACGAGUGCUUGUUCUGGAAUGGCACAUGGGCCGGUCGAUGAUAUGGAACAAAGACCGCCGGGCCCACCACAUAAUCUUGGCUCCUCUGAGCAUACAAAAGAUUUGUAAAAUGGAGGUCAUAAUCUCCACUGAGAUCCGACAAAUUGUUGAACUUAGGGCUUUCACUUCCCUCUCCCUCUUUUCUCACUAUCAAGUCUAAGGGGUAUGAUUCUUCUGAUAAACAAGUAUUCCGACUUGAUGUUGUGGGCCCAUCAAAUGAGCCUAUUGAAGAACUAAAACUUCUCGGCGAUUCAAUCUCAUAGCUAAGCAGUUCAUUCUUUGUACUAUACUUCGGAUUGAAAAAGAGAUGGGGUGUGCAAUAAGCCAUUCCAGAUGGUGACGGUAUUCCAGAUGGUGACAUCACUGUUUCACCAGUUGAAGGCGAAGCCCUAGAAGUUUCAUCACCAAUUCUUGAAUUAGAAGCUCCCUUGGUUGUGAAAUCUCUGGCAUCACCCGCCAAACAAUUGCCUGAAACGACAAUUCCUUCCACUAUACCAUUUGGUUCAAAUUUUGUAGGUUCAAUGGAGAGGUCCUUCCCCAAACUUGAGAUGCUUAAGUUAUUCAGCUGCUCAUAAAGCACUUCAUGGGAAUCACUGGUUGGGGAAGUUAAAACCGAUUUAUCUCGAAAGCCCCUGUCGCCGUUGAAAUCUGAUGAAUUAAAGCCUAUCCAGCUGUGAUUGAUUGAUGUAAUGUUCGGACGAAACGGAAGGGCACCUUGUACAUCUGGUCUUUCUCCACUUCCAUGCCUCUCCAAUGUGUUUUUAAAGAACGUAUUGACUUCAAUGUUGAUUCUCUCAGCAGGUAAUUCAAGUAUGUUCGCAAGCUUUCGAGCACCAAAUACAAAUGCGCUACGUAUACGGAAGAAGUUACCUGUAUGUUAUAUUGUUGCCCAUAAGAAAAAGAAAAUUGGACUUGUACCAAUAUAAGUCAGGCUAAACAUCAGGUAAAUCUUAUGUGUUUAAUUGUUUUCGAAACAAAUGUUGGCGAUAACAACUGUGAGUUAAUGCUUAUGACUGCAAAUAAUAUAAGGGCUCUCUUUAUAACAUAUAGAACUUUUAAUAAAAAUGUGAUUUUUUUGGCAAAACUCAAUGGUUAUGCAUUUACAAGUCAAGUGUUAGGGCAUAUUUUUCAGUUAAAAUCAGGUUAGGGUCCAUCUCAGUCUGGGAUUAAUAUUCAACCAACUUGACCUAACAUUGAGAUUAGAAAUCCAAACACAACUUCCAGAAAUUUUCAAUUCAGGUACACGUCAGAUCAAUACCACUUUGCACUUGCAGCCAUAAAUGGCAUGACACCCACAAAAUUAUAAACAAAGAAAAAACAAACCUUUGCUGACACUGCGACCCAGAUUAUUACUCUGUUUCAGUGGAUCAACUAUGUUAAGAUGCUUCUGGGGAAAUAUCCGAGAAUUAAUCUCAUAUCCCUCAGAGGAGACAGAGUACUUCUUCACACAGUUCCUGAGAAACUCAUCGGUGAGGAGUAAAUCACUCUCCUGAGUUUCGGGCGGCUCAGCUGUAAACGCCAAAAUAACAGUCACUAACUUUACCCACUCCAUCCAUAUAAAUUGUCUAGAAAUUAACUUACCAACUAGUUCAGGUAGAGAAGAAAGGGCUACAGGACCAUUCAAAGUGACACAAUACUUCUCCCAGUCGAAUUUGCUAUAAUAGUCCAAAAACCUAUAAAGGACCUACAUAAAGGAAACCGCUCUCAUAAAACUUAUGUAUCUGAAAUUCUCACAGCAAUUUAUUGAAUAGUUUAUGGUUUUUGAUGCUUAGAUCUAUCAGAAUACUCACCACCAAAGGGCCAUCCAAAGAUUUAUGGAAGAGAUGGAAGAUAUACAACACCAGAGUCUCUAAUGCAUAUGUCGAAAUUAAACCAUGAUGAGCACCAAGAAUGCGGCUUUCAUAAUAACACCAAGCUUUUAUCAACAUUAUGCUUCUCUUGAAAAGAUGGUCCUUCCCAAUUAGUUGAUCAACCUAGAGAAGCAGAUAGAAUGUAAACUAAUUAAAAGAGGAGUAUAAAAAAAUAUUGCAAAGAAAAGUGCAUUCUUUAUCAAGGUAUGUUUCAGGCUUUCAAGCAUUUAGAGGAAGACAGACAAGCUCAAAAACUUAAAGAGAUGUCUAGCCGCAAUACCUCCUCAAGAAAGCAAAGUGUGCAGAGUCCACCAAUCUGAUUGAAUGAGAUAUCGACAACAAUAUUUUGGACAAGACAUUUAACAAGCUUGACCUGUUGUGAGAAAUCGUAUUAAAAGAAAGCACAACAACUCAAAUAUGAUAAGCAUCAACUUAAGAAUGAAUGAAGUAACAAAUACAUAUAAUAAAAAAUCGCUGUAAAUUAACCAAUCAAACUCGGCAAACCAAUCAAACUCGGCAAUUGUUUUAACCAGACAUGCUGUGAUAUAUUGAAAUUCCAAAUGCAAUGAGUAAUGCAAGAUGAAUUUAAUCGGUUAAAUAAGGAAAACAGUAAAUUUUGCAGAGAAUACUAUAUCCGCUGCACAAGUAUAUAAUUAAUGGGAGUUCCUAUUUAUUGAAUAUGCACAAUCUCAUAAUUCAACAUGUCAUUACUAACCACUAUGGGUGUUUAGCGGCCUACUUUGAAUGUUACUAAUGUUUAUGUGAAAGAUCAUCAACAGAUAAUACCAAAACAUUUCAACGGUACUUCCCAAUGAAUAACUACGUCUUACGUUCUCCAACUAUUUAUCAAAUAAGCAUGUGGUCAAUAUAAAGAGCCAAAAAUUUCAAGCCACAAAAUGCUCGAAGAUAAAAAAUAGAAUAAGAUAAGAUCAAACACGAAAAGAAGUAUUAAAUCUGUUGGACAAGCAUCCACUUUCUUGAAGCCCUAAAAUCUAUUGCCAUGAGACAAGUAGACCUCCAAAAUUAAAAUUGUCCUACUUCCUAUUAAAUAUGUGAAAAAUAAUCCGCGUGCUCAACAUUCAUUUAGUGAUUCAGUGAAUGAAGGCUGGCUAAUUAUUUGUCCUGGGAGAAAAAGUUAACAAUGAUGCAACAUAAGAAGACAAAAUGGAAACAAACUUAUUAUCAGCAGCUUGACAACCUCUCAAAUAACCAAAAAUAAAGUGAAAUCCAGUAGAACAGAAGAACCUCAGCAUGAAUGUAUUGCACAUCCUUCACUUCAAACUCGGCGUCUUUGUUCUGUUCUUCAAAUUCGAGAACAGAACGUACACUGUUCGCCAAGCUAUCUUCUGAAUUUGGGACACCAACUGCAGUAAGGUCAAUAUCUCCAUCAGGAAGAUACGUCUUCAACGGUACUGAUCCAAAUGGAAAAACCUAUUAAAAAAAAUUGUGAAAAGUCAAAAUUGUCAGUUUUAUGGUCCAAUAAAAGGAUAGGAACAUUAAGCACAUACACAUAUAAUAAAUAUAACCACAAAUGAUUAUCCAAUUCGAGUUGGGCACUUCAUAAUCAGAUGUAAAGCCUUUGAGAAGAUUUUAAUUUACUCGUUUAAAUCAAUUUCAGGAGCAUCAUAGCUACUGUUCACAGACCAGUAGUCUUAAAUGCAUAGGUCGCAUACAAGUAACAAUUUUCAGAUUUUUGAUUUAUUCAGUUAGAAAAACUUCAGGAGCAUCCUACUGAUGGGCUUUGAAGAGGAAUCUGCCUUCUAAUAGCAUUUACAUACAAAACCAAAUAUCUCUUUCUUUCGCCCUUUUGAAUUAUUUGUGAGAGCAUAAUGCAAUGUAACUCUUUAGAUUAUGCAAGAGCUUACUGAUCCUUUGACCAGAUCAAAAGUUAAUUGGAUUGAACUAACAGGUAGCGAGAACAAUUCAAUGUCACAAUCUAACAGCUACUGAACAUAAAGAAAUGACCGUUAGGCUUAAACACUCUAAGCAUGAUUAUGGAGAAAAUAAGAGAAGUGGAACUGGAUCCUGUUUGAGUAUAUGAGCACCUUUGGUGAUAAAUGGUGCAAGAAUCCAAUCAUUUCAACUUUGACUAAAACAAAAGAUGUAAAGAAUUCUCAGAAGAACAACAAGGAAUACUGAUUAAAGGAGGCAUAAGAAAUUCCUGCAGCUACCAUAUAAUAUUCAUCUCUAUUUGGUGAUAAAUAAACCAUCUGUGGCUCUUUUUCUUUUUGUUUCUCAGAUAUUUCAUGAAAUAGACUAAAAUCUCCAAUGACCAAUCGUCGACAUGAAUACCAAAGGAUCCAGUACGUCCAACAUUGAUUCCUUCAGACAUGUCGAUUGGAGAAAAACAUAGCGGUUAGGAAGGAUAUCUAGUAUCAGACAACCAGCAGUUAAAGAAAACUAAGAUAAAUUUGUAAAAAAGGCAUUAUUUGAAGACACAGCUUAAACUGACUCAAUUAAAAACAGAAAAUACAGCGAAAUAAUUAUUGCAGUUAAGCCAAUUAAUGUUUUUAAGACAACAGCAGAAGCAACACGUCUCAUUCUCAGAUUUACUGAUCAUUCAGUUGAACCUUUUCAUCAAUAUACUGAAAGUAGCCUAUCAUGAAGGGAAGAAACAGAAAAUGAUUGAGCAAGCGCAUUAAUCAUGGCAAGAUCAAAUUACAAAAACAGUUAGCGAAGAGAUGCUUGUUUAACUUUCAAUACGACAACAAUAUUGCAAAGAAAAAGGAAAAGCAGAUACGAAAGAUAAUAGUCAAAAACCCUCUAAUAUAAUGAACCAGCCCGUAGUAUAGGUUACUCAAAAUAUAGAACAUCAAAGAAGGAAAGGAAAGAAGCUUAAAAAAAAAAAAAGAGGAAAAGAUGGAUGAACAAAGAGAUCAUUAUAAUGAGUUCUUGAAAAAAAAAAAAACUAAAACAACUACUCUCUUUAUGGGAAAGACUCAUAGGAUGAAAAGAACAUGCAACAUUUAAUAGAGAAAAUAUCUUGUAAAACUCUUCCACUAAAAGUACUCAAUAGGAGCAAUAAAUACCUUAACUCUUCCACUAAAAGUACUCAAUAGGAGCAAUAAAUUCCUUAUGAAUCUCACAAGAAAUCCAUGAGAUCCAUGAUGCGACAAGUCACCACACAAUGCUAACGUAAAGAAAUCAAGAGAAAGUACACAUCACAAAAAGUGGGUUAGAGACCAAGGAAUAUACCAUUCACAACACAAUAACACCAUGCAUGAACAUAUUAUAUUCAAAUUAAAUUGCAAGCAAGGAGUGGAGCAAAGCACAUGCUAUAACACAUCCAUACAUAAUACAACAAGUUGAAUCUAAAGUAGAGCGAAAUAAAGAACAAUACAAUCACAUUACAACACCUGAAACGAUAUAAUGCACAAUAAAUUGUAGUACGAAAAUAGAAGUAAAUUUGAGAAAGAGCAUGGACUCAGAGAAUCACCUCACUCCCAAUUUUCUCUCUGAUCAGCUUCUGAACGUGCUCGACAACGGCUCUCCUCCGCUGCUCGGACACGACGGUGGGCUGUAUAUGCUGUAUAACCUCUCUGGUGGCCUCCUCGGCUCGAUUCCACACAUCGGCGCCGACCGCGGCGGGGUCGGGGUUCGGCCGAUGGCUCUGCUGCUGCUGCUGCGGCGGCGGCGGCGGCGGCGGAUGCGGCGGAUUCGAGUGCCCUAGUUCGCCAUUAGCGUGCAACGGCCAGGCCUGGAGAUCGCCCAUGGCGAAGAAUCGGGCCCGGGGGGGGAGGGAGAGCGCAAAGAAGGGAUCUUUCCACAAACCCAAGGCUCAAAUCCGCGAGGCAUGCAUCUGGGGACCGAGGAAUCGACAAACUGGGAGCAAAAUCUCAUCUGGGCCGCAAAUCCACGGCAUGGGCGGCGCGGGAUCGGUUAAAGAUCGCUUGAAAACCGUAAAAAGGAGGGUUUUUUCGUGGAGUGGAAGGGAGAAUUGGGGGUUGGCGGGGAGGAUAAGAACGGAGGGAUUGGGGGAAAAGGGGUUUUCUUUUAUGGUGGGGAGUGAGGAUUGGAUCGAUCGCUAGGGCUUCUACAAAAACCCUUCAAGGGUUUGCUUCUUUCGCUUCUUCGUCUCUGAGAAUUUGGGGAGAGGAGAGAGAGAGAGAGAGAGAGAGAUGUAGUGAGAAAAGGGGUAGAGAGAGAGAGAGAUAGAGAGGAGAGAGAGAGAGGGGAAAAGGGUUAGUGUUUUGGGUAAGUGCGUUUUGUUGUUAAGACGGCGAAAAUGAGACGUUUUUGUUUUUUUUGUUUUUUUUUUUUUUUGGGUAAACUUCUUCGAAUACCACCCUAUAGUUUUGUACUUUCUAACUUUACUCCUUUAUAAUUUAAAAUAUAUCAAUGUAGUACCCUAUGAUUUAAUUUUUCUCUUUUCGUCGAUACUUUCGUUAACUUUUUGUUAAAUUAUAUAUAAAAAACUUCAUAUGUUCCACCUAUAGUUUAUCGAAUGUCCACUUUAGUACCCUUUAGUUUUAACUUUCUCACCGAUUUAACGAAAAAAAUUAGUGGAGUAGAUAACAAAAAAAAAUAAAAUAAAAUUAUAGGGUACGAAAGUGAUACACUUUAAAUUAUAGGGUAUUAAAGCAAAAAAUUACGAAAUCAUAUUUAAAGUUUUUCUCUUUUCCGGGGGAUAAAUGUACAGAGCGCCCCUAAACUUUAGCUAAAUUGUAAAGAGAGGUCUGAACUUUCAAAUUUGUUCAAAGUUUAUAAAUUAGUUUAAUAGACCCAUCUUUUUAAUAAAGUUAUUAAUUUUAAAGCCAUUUUAGUUGUCCGUCUUGCAUAUCAUCUAUAAAUCUUUAAAGCAGUAAAAAUUUUUUUUUUUUCUAUUUUAUUAUAAUAUAUAUAAAUCUCCAUGUAUUGUUAUCAGAAUUGAAGGAUAAAUAAAAUUCUUUAUAUUUGAAAUAUUUUCUGAUUAGGUGCAUGAUAAUCCACUACAAUGGUUGUUUAAUUUAUAACUUCAAUUGAAAAUAAAAAAACUAUCAAAAUAUUUGGCAAAAGUUAUCAGAACUAUCUGUUAUAAUUAAAAGUUCAGAUGUUUGCUUAUAAAAGAAUUGUAUAUAAAUCCCCAAUUUCUAUUUAUCCAAAAAUAAGUAAUUUUCAUUAAAAAAUUAGAAAAUUUGUAGGUUUAUUAGUAAAUUUAUCAAAUUCGAUAAUUUUAAUUAUAUUUUAGUAAAUAAAACUAGACUACUUAAUAAUUAAUUAUAACUAAUCAAAUUAUUAAACUAGAAAAGGACAAAGAAUCAAUGGGCCACUUCAAAGUGCCAUAUAUUUGAGGGGGUUCCGUAUUUUUUUUACUUAUUAAAAUGACCUUUAACUCCCUGCUCUUGUUAUUUUUGGGCAGGUGUUAAAUGGACAAAAGUGGGGGCAAUUGAAAAUAUAUACCCCAAAAAUGUUAUAUAUUUAAUUUUUAAAAAUUUUAAAAUUUUGUCUAUAUAUUUUUAAACUAGUUAGAAGUAACUGUAUUUUUAUUUUAUGACUCUUUUCAUAAUAAAAACUAUAUUUAAAUCAAAUUAGUACAAUUUAGCCGAUACACUAAAUUAUUAUUUUUGUAAUUGGUCAGAAAGAAAGGGUUUAAAUAAAAAGUACGAGCACAAAAGUCGCAAUAUUGGUAUAGUACAAGGUUUAUCAUGCAUUUUUAGUCAUUUUGUAGUAAUAAUAGAAAUUAAAUUGAUUAAUAAUUGUGUUUAAAUAUAGAAGUUUUUAGAUACACUUAUAACUCUUACUAUAUGAAAAAAAAAUUAAUUAAAAGGAUAAAGAUUUAAUCAAAAUCUUUGGUACAAUUUUGGUAAGCAGCUAAGUUUAUGGUGCUUUUCUGAUUUUGAACGGUGGUGGUGGUGGUGUUAUUGUGAUAGGUGAUUUUAGGACCGUUGGAUAGAUGAUGAGUAGAAGCUUCGGUACAACUAUUGUACCGAAACAUAUAUCAUCAAUCAAUCAAUAUUUAUAAGCAAGAUCUUGUGAAGCAUUAAAGUGAAUCAAAUUAUUUAUAACUCAAAAUAUAUAGUAAUUAAUAGUUAAAAAAAUUCCCACUUUCAAAAUUUUACAAUUUCAAGCGUAGUGAUCACGCGAUCGUCUUUUACCGGUUCUCUUUAACUAAUUCAUAAUUAUCAUUUUAUUCAUAAGUUGUACUCCUUUUUUUUUUUCUGAAUCGAAUCAAUGGUUAAGUUAAAAUUCUCUCUAGUUACCGUGUUAGUAAAUAAUUAUAGAUCAUGUUUGAAUAAAUCAAUGUUUAGUUUGGCGACAAGGGAAAAAAAAAAAAGUGCAAAGAGUGAAGGGUCUAUUUCUAAAGAAAAAACAAAGUUGAAGGGGGUUUUUCAAAAUGGCUGAUAGUUGAGGGGUCUCAACAUAUUUGUACCUAUUCUUUUUUUUAUUUUUUUUUUAGUUUAGCAUAUUAUUUCUUUUUUAUUUUUUAUUUUUUUUAUUUUGUUUAAUUUUGUCUCACUCUUAUUUCUUCCUUAUAUAUCCUUUCCCUUUCAAAGUGGUCCAUAGAUUCCCUCCUACUCCAUGAGCCCUUUUUUUCCAAAAAAAAAAAAAAAAAAAAAAAAAANAAAAAAAAAAACACAAGUAAGGUAUGAAUUUUAAGGUAAAUAUUUUUUUUAUAGGGUUUGUUUCUACUCAAAGGAGUUCAACUCCUUUUCUUUUUAUUUUCAUUGCACCUAAUCGGGGCAUUUUAUUGAUUAAAGUAAAAUUACUCAUCAGUUGUUAGAGAUAUUUUCAUCCACUAAUAAAACUACUUGUUAGAAAAAAAAGAAAAAGAAAAAAUGUACUAUCUCAAUAAUAUGGAGACCAUGUACAUUUUAAAAUAUAAACAGGAUUCAAACCGGAGAAUUAGUUGUUCAAUGAAAAGGAUAUUAAUUAAUCAACUAUUUUAAGCAACGGUACAAUAGUAAAAGAAGUAGGUUUUAGACUUUUUUUAGCUGACGCAUAGUGUUUAUAUCUACAGUUAAAAACUAUCAUGUUUAGAUAUCUGUACUGCAUAAAUACGCAAAUUUGCAUAAAGAUUUCUGCAAGAUUAGUGUUCGAACAUGUGCCGCUGAAAAUCAGAGGUAUACAUGUCAUAAUUGUUAUCUUUUUUUGUUGUUGUUCGCCGAGGAUGGCAGUGUGCGGCGACUUUGUUCAUAUUUUUUAAAAAUGAGCUUAGUUGAAGAUACAAAGAAACUAGACUUCAAACAUAUGACCUCAGAUACAAACAAUCAAUUUCAUUGCUAUUUGCGCUAACGCUGAUUGAUAUCUUAUACAAAUGGUUGGAUAGGAGCACAUGUGAUAAGGUUUUAAAGGACACAUAAAUAAUUGAACACCAUUUUUGCAAAAAUAUUUGCACACUGUAUAUAUAUGAGGAUGCACAUAGAAAUUUUUACAUGGUAAAACUAGGGGUGUUGACCAGGACAUUGCAUGACCUAACCCUAAUCCUCUUUUUCCUUGAUUAUCUUAUUAUGUACUUAUUGCUAAGCUUCUUCAAACUUUUCAACAUCUUUUAACGUAACUAAACCUCUACUAGGACUAAUUCAAGAUUAUCUUUUCAUUCUCCAAUCACAAGUUAAAGAAAAGAUAAAAGGAAGUGGUAUUAGAAGUGGUAUUAAAUCAUGCUAAAUGAGUUAGUUAAAUUAAGUAUUACUUGUUGGACAAACAAGCCCCAUAUAUAAACCCAGUCAUAUAGCUUGAACAAGGACUUUUCAUAAAUAAGCUAAUUAAAAUAUUUAAGUUAUAUUCUUCACUAUGCUAAGUUAGCCUAGCCUAAAAACCUAAAUUAGUUUAAUGCUACAUUUUUUAUAGCUCUACCAAAUCCUAAGUUACUUGACGUUUAUUAUCUUAUCUGAAGCUUCUAUACAACAUGUUUGAAUAGAUCUGUUUAAAAAAGCGGGAACAAUGUUUAUUUUGUCUUUUUGUCGCAUCAGACAAUUCUAGAUUUUUAAGUAUAUUCUUUACUUUAAGAAUACUUGUUAAAUCGUAAGUUACUACUUAAGAUCUGUUUAGCUUGUCUAGAGUUUUCGUAUGAUAUGUUUAAAUAGAGUUGUUUGAAGAAAUAAAGAUAAAGUUUAAUUUUUACAUUUUACGGUAUUCGCGCAUUUCAGAUAAACAUACGUAACUUUUACUUUACUUCUCAGGUAUAUAUAAAAUAUUUCUAGAAUUGGGGAAAAGAGGCACUUAAUUAAUUAAUUAUGCUGUGAUUAUGCUUAUAAUUAGACCAGAUAAUGAAGCAAUUAAUUUGGUACUGUUAUGUGUCACCAUCAAUGAUAGAAACACCUAUUAAAUAAUGUUGAUUAUUACGAGAAAGGAACAUUUCAUAAUUUUCAUUAAUGAUCUGCAUAUUAUUAAGCUCUUGUGAUCUCCAAGGAAUUGACAAAAUCUUUCAAUUAAACUCUCUUGUGCUCUUUAGAGAUAUAUCUAUUUGUCUCUAACAUUUUCAUCACAAUCAUUUAGGGCCUGUUUGUUUCGAGGGAAGUGGGGUGGAAGUGGGACGGGAAAAAUAAUUUUCGGUAAAAACUCACCACUUCCGCCGUUUGGUUCACGGUAAUUUUAUUACGCACGAAAGUCCAGUUCAUCUAAAAUAAUGAACUUGACUUCGCCCUCCCAUGGAGCGAAAUUAAUUACGGUGAAGUGAAAAAAAGACAAGAAUGGAUUAAUGUAUUAGGGUUACCUCUUCUAAAAUAUGAUCAAAUUUGAUUAAAUAAACUUUAAUAUAUUUUUUGUUUAAUUUGUAUAUUUAGAAAAUGAUGAAAAAUGAAUUUGUUAAAUGUUAAUAAUUUUUUAACUUUAGAAUUUUAUUUGUUGCAUUAUUAUAAUUUAUAUGCAAACAAAUAAUAUAAUUUUUUAAAAAUUUAUUUUAUAAUUAUACAUAUAUAUAAUUAUAUACAUAUAUAAUUAUAUUAAUUUUUAUUUAUUAUAAUUUAUUAUUCACUAUAAGUUACAAAUAGACAAUGAUAUCACUUUGAAGGUAAAUAUACCGAGGGUGGAGAGCUACACUUUUUACGUCAUCUACUUUCUACCAAACAAACAACAGAACUCGCAGAACUGCACUUCCACAGUUAAAAACAAAUAGCAAAAGUGAACUAAUUUUCACUCCAACUCCACUUCAACUCAAAGUCCACUUCUACCCAAAGUCUACUUACGUUGAAACAAACAUACCCUUAGUUUUUUUGGUCUCUCUCUCUCUCCUUUUCUUCCGUCGGAACCACAGACUUUAUGAAUAUUUUUCGAAUUAGGAUUUGGCAGAUUCCGAUAGAAAUAUUUUCCACAGGGCCGCCAAGAUUUGGAAGAAAACAAAGUCGACCUGAGAGUGAUUGUUUUUGUCUAUAACAUUUUUUAUUUUUUAUUCUGUUUUAUGAGAUUUUAAAGUUUAUGAACUUAGAUUCAUUUGUUAGCGGAUAUUUAUGUUUGGGUAUUGAUUAAUGUAUCUUUUUUUUUUCUUUUUUUUUUCUUUUUCUUAGGUUGGGAGACUGUCAUUUAUAUUUUUUGUUUUUCUAGUUCUAAAAAUACUUAUAUUAUUCUUGUGCAUGGAAAUGUGCUUAUAUUACUACCCAAUUUUGUAUAAUAAUGUUGUAAUUAAACUCUAAUUUUUAAUAUAUUCUACUGAUUUUGAACAUAAAACAAUGAGAUUUUUAUUAUUAUUUUUUUUAUUUCGAGGAUUGGGGCUUAACCUCCUAUGCACCUUUUCUGAGUUUCGUGACUUAGAACUCAAACUGUGGACCUUUUUCUAUCAAUAUUACAUGACUAGAAUAUUAAUAUUAUUGACAUUUACACGGUUUGUAUUUAGGAUUUGUCAGGUAAGCCUAAGAAGAUUUUUAAAAUUAAGCAUAAAAUUAGACUCUUUCAAAUAGGAAUGUAAAUGGAUUCAGAUUAACUAAGAUUUUAUCCCGAUCUGUCCCGAAUUGAAUUGUAAUUGAAGGCAGAAAAAAAAAAAAAAAAAAAAAAAAAAAAAAAAACUCACCUCUAAUCCGCCUCAAUCUGCUCCAGAAAUAAAGCAAUUAGAAGAAAACUGCUUGGUUUUCUUGACCCAUCUCAAUUCAUCAAAAACACACUCCCGUCUCGACCAAUUCCAAAUAAAUCUAUAAAUAAACAUAAAAUAAAAUAAAAUAGUUUUUAAAAAAUAAUUUGUCGCGAUCUGCAAAAAAAUGAAGUGGAAAGGUGAGGGCCAUGCCCCCUUACAUCCACACACAGAGGUGGUGUUAAAUAUAUAUAAUGGUUUUUUGGCCUAUAUAUGUGCUGUAAAUUGCGUGCAACGCAUGUAACAAUUAACAGUGACAUAUUUUAUAUUCGGACAAAAUUGUACUAAGAUAUAUUAUAUUAGGUAGAGCGUGUCUUUUAUCCAUUUACCAAAAAUAAUGCUCAAAUUCAUGCAAAAAGCAACUAAUUCUGUGUCUUUUCAUUUUAGUCUAAGUUGAAAAAGCAAAUAAUUUUGUGUCUUUCCAUUUUAAUCUGUGUCUUGCCGUUGCCUACCUCUCCUCUAUGCCCAUCUCGAUUUUCUCCCUACUGUCGCCGAAAUGGAGAGGCGACGAGGGUGCAGGAGGAGAAGAGGAGCAGGUGGAGAAAAAAAUAAAGACGAACUAUGGCUGAUCGAAGCGCAAAAAAUGGAAAGAGAAAAGACGGCGGAUGAACAAGAUGAGGGAGAAAACGAAAAUGGUAAGGAACAAAUUGAUCAUUUUGUCAUCACAAUUAACACCGUACCCUUCUGUAAGCAUUUUUUUAUUUUAUAAAAAUGCAAAGUGUAAAUUUUUAUAUGACAUGAAAGAAAAAUAAAAAAGUGGAUAUUCAUAGAAAAAUUUUAUGUAAUUUAGCUUUUAAAAAAAAAAGCCAUUGUAGGGGUUAAGAAAAUGUGUAAAACUAGUAGUAAAAUUAGUCUCUUUCUACAUACAAGGGUUGCAUUAAAUAGGAUGGUUUUUUGGAUGUGCUCUAUAGUGUGCAACACAUGUAACAAUAGACAUUUUAUAUUCGGACAAAUUGUACUAAGAUAUAGAGACAUAGCAUUAGCUUGAACAUGUCUCUUAUCCAUUCACUGAAAAAUAUAACAUUUAAAAGUGCAUUCACAAAUAUAUCCAUGCAAAACAGGUAUACACUAAAAUUUUUUUUUCUACAUGUUUAUUUUAUUAUAAUAUCUAAAUUUUACAAUCCACCAAUUAAGAAAACUUAGUAAAUAAAUAUGAACCUUUGAAUGAUUAUGAUAUAAGAUUUACACUCUAUACAGGUGUAAAGAUAAUAUUGCUCGAAGAGAAAAUUAUGUGUCUGUUCAGUUUGGAUUACUUUAAUGAUUUUUAUUAAAUAAUUAUUGUGGUCGAAUUAUAGCCGAUCGUCGACCAAAAGUUUGGAAAUUCGAUCUCCUAUAUACGCCUAUAUUAAAAAGGGCGAUUUAAUUCUCAGCUGCUUGAAAAUUUUAAAAAAACUGUAAUUUGCCUUUGAGAAUUCUUGGGAGUAGAGUUUAUAUAUUUGUUAGAAAAAAAAUUAUUAUAUCCUUGUAAGAUAUUUAUGUACUAGAAGAAUCAUCCUAUCCUAAGUAUUUGCAAUAGAAAUUUAUAAUCAGCAUUUGUGUAUGUUUUUUCUGGUUCUAAUUCCAAUUAAUCUAUUAAAUAUCUUGUAGUUAUUGGUGUGCAUGAGUGGUGCAACUUUUUCCAGCUUUACUAAAAUUCUAUUCAGCAUCUAACAUAUUAGAUUGAUUUAUUUCGGAUACAUCACAUUCAAAUCAUGCAAAAUUUUGAUCCAUUUGGACUAAAGUACAUUAUAUUUUGACCUUUCGAGUCGAUUAAGUCAAUUAUCUGUUACAUCACAUGCAAAUGAUGGCAAAGUUUGAUCCAUUUGGAUAAAAUUACAUCAUAUUAUGUCCUCUCAAUUAGGCUCAUUUGAAAUUGUAAGGCCAAUUUGUAUAAAAAUUCCGCUAGUUUUGCGCUUUUGCAAAAGUGGACCACCUUUUUUUUAAUUUUAUAGAUUCGAGCCAAAUUUUUAAUAAACUGACCAAAUAUUCUUAUAUCUUUUUCUCUCACUUUUUUUUUUCUCGCGUUCUUUUUUUUUUAUCGCCGAAGAAGGCGAUGGAGGCGAAGGCGGAAACGGCCCCCAUCGUCUCUGCACCUCAUGCCUUCACUUCCACCCUCGCCUGCGCCCCCCUCGGCCUACUCGCCUCCGACCCCGUUGAAGUCGCGCUGCGACCCUCUUUUUUUUUUUUUUUUUUUUUUCUCUCCGACCCUCCUCUACCACCUUCGCGGUCCUCCGCGACGAUAACGAGAACGGUAACGCGUCCUCUUCCUCCGCCUCCACUCUCUACCUGCACUGCAGCGGAUUUUCUAUCCGCCAAACAAACCCGCCAUCCCCACUGCUGCUACUGGCUAGGAAGAGAAAGUGCUUCUCGGGGCCGAGAAGCUCGCCGGCGAGAGAAGGGGCACGCGGCCCACCCACCUACCCUAGAGGGCAGCGGCAAGCGUAACCUCGACGGUGUCGGAGGCGAGCGAGAAACGCACGGGAAAAUCUCUGGAUUAGCUAUUUUGUUUGUUUAAAAUAAAAAAAAAUAAUUAAAAGGCCAAAAACUAGAUAAUAAUAAAAAAAACAAUAGAAAAUGAAGAAAAUGAUAAAUUUGCACUGUUAAGAUUAAAUUGCACUGUUUUAAAAGAAUGUUAUACUAUUAUGAAUGUAAGUUGAACUCUUUUAAAUAUAAACUGCAACAUUUAAAAUGAAAGUUAUACUCUUUAAACGAAAGUUGCACUAUUUGAGAGAUAUUUAUAUUAUUUCUCCUCUUGUUGCAAUCUUUAAGAUGAGAUAUUUACACUAUUUCUUUUCUUGUUGCACUAUUUCUCUCUUCAUGUGUUGAUGUGUAAACUUCAUCCUUUAAUAAGAGAAAUAGUGCAACAAGAGGAGAAAUAGUGUAACAAGAAAAAAAAUAGUGUAAAUAUCUCCUCUUAAAGAGUGCACCAAGAGGAGAAACAAUAUAAAUAUCUAUCAAAGAUUGCAAUUUUUAUUUAAAGAGUGUAACUUUCAUCUUAAAGGACAGUUUAUAUUUAAAAGAGUGCAACUUACAUCCAUAAUAGUGCAACGUUUUUGUAAAACAAUGUCAGUGCAAUUUAAUCUUAACAGUGCAAAUUCUUCUUCUUCUUCUCUGGUUUUCUUUAUUAUUCUCUAGUGUUUUACCUUUUAGUUAUUUUUUUUUUUAUUUUAAACAAACAAAAGUGUUAAUCCAGAGAUGCUCCUGUGCAUUUCUCGCCCUUCUUGCCUCCGACACCGUCGAGGCCCCGCUCGUUGCCGCCCUCUGGGGUAGACGGGGUGCCGCGUGCCCCGUCCCUCACCGGCGAGCUUCUUGACGCUGAGAAGUGCUUUCUCUUUAUCGUCGACAGUGGUGGUGGGAACGCGAAUUCCCAGAAGUGGGUUUGGUUGGUGCAAAAUCCGCUGCAGUAUUGGUGGAGGGCGAAGGCGGAGGAAGAGGAUGCGUUACCGUCCUCGUUAUCGUUGUAGAGGGCCGUGGAGGCGGUGGAGAAGGGUCGGAGAGAAAAAAAAAGAGGGUUGCAGCGCGGCCUCGGCGGGGUCGGAGGCGAGUAGGGCAAGGGGGGCGCAGGCGAGAGUGAGGGUGAGGGCGUGAGGUGCAGAGAUGAUAAGGGUUGUUUCCGCCUUCGCCUCCGUCGCCUUCUUCAGCGAGAAAAAAAAUGAACACUAGAAAAAAAAAAAAUAAGAGAGAAAAAUGUAUAAGGGUAUUUUGGUCAGUUUACAAAAAAUUCGGUCCAAAUCCGCAAAAUCGAAAAAUGUGACCCACUUUUGCAAAAGCGCAAAACUAGUGAAUUUUUUAUGCAAAUUGGCCAAAUUGUAAUUAUCCCCUUUUUUGUUUGUUUUGAUAAACAUUUUCACACAAUCCAAUAUCAGGAUUAAAAAAAUUACAUUAGUUAUUUUUUUAGGUUUUUUUCUAUCUAUUCUUCUUUCAUAGUUGGCUUUGACAAUCUCCAAAACAAAAUCAAUUUACAAUGUGUGAAAAAUGUGGACUUACAAAAGAAUUUAACUUAUGAUGCACCAAAAAAUAACACGCGUUUACAAUAAAAAAUAACUUUACUCUCCUCCACUUUAUAUGAAAUAAAUAAAUCAAAGAGCUAAGCCAGCGAGACCGGAUUCUCAACUAUAUUAAAAUUUUACUAUUAAAUAUAAAUAUUAAAAGUAUUAUUUUUUAUUAUUUUUAGAUUUUUGGACUGUGUUUGGUAAUUGAGAAAAAUUUAAAAGAAUUAGUAUAUUUAUUUUUGAGAUAAUCUAUUAUUCUAGGAUAUAGAGAAAUAAAAAAAAAUUGUGUUUAGUUUGAUAUUUUUUAUUCUGUAGUGUGAAAAAAUUUUGUAUGAUUAUUUUAUUAAGAAAUAAUGAAGAAUAGUGGAAAACGUUGAUUAAUUUUAUUUAUUUAUUUAUUUGGCCAAGAUGGCUUUUGUCCACAUUUCUCGGAUAUAGAAUAUUUAAUAUAUGUACAAUAACACGAGUUCGAGUUAAAAUACUAUUAAUAGUAUUUUAGACUCUUCUACUAUCGAUUUUUUAACAGUUAGAUCUACACUUUAAUCAAUUUCACAUUUUAGAUCAUACUUUCAACCAACCACCCACUAAGACUUAGUUUGGUAUUGAGGUGGAUCUAACGUUAUUAGAUAAAAUGGAGUUGAGAAAAAAUAUAUAUGGAUAUGUUUCUGCGUUCUCCGAUGGGACCGCAGAAAAUAUAUCAUAACCGACUAACCGCAAUAUGCGGAACGUAAUAUCACAUACGGAACAAAUAUAGUAUGCAAUCUCCCUGCAAUUCCAAACGAAACCUAAAUCCUAGAGAAACCACCACUAAACUUUAAAAAGGUUUACUAUCAUCAUUACUCUAUAAUUUUUCAUUCAAAGGUUAAAAAUUUUAUAGUAAAAAAAAUUAAAUACUAUUAAUAAUAUUCAAGUCCAAUUCCAAUACAUAUAAGAAUUAUAUAUUUUGUGAAAUAUACAAUAAUUAAAUUAUUAUAUAAAAUAAUAUUAUAGUCAUAUUAUUUCAUUAAAUACUUUCAAUAAUAUGAACUAGGCUGGAUACUAUUAAUAACACUAGUGACUUGGUGUUAUUAAGUUUUUUACACUUGGAUUAAAAGAUACGCGGUUAUGAAGAUGUGGGUCCCCUAGGGUUGAGUGGGUGGUUAAUUGAAUAGUAUAAUUGGAGGGAUAAAAAUGAUAAAAAAAAUAAAUCUAACGGCAGAAAACUUGAUGAUAUCAAAUACUUCGUACUAUCGAUAGUAUCCCAACUAGACUGCAAUAAUAUUAUAUAACAUAUUUCAAUAAUAAUAUAUAAAAAUAAUAUAAAAAUAAUAUAAAUAAAUAAUUAAAGACUAUAUUUUAAAACAUUAUUUAAUAUAUUUAUUACAGUAUAUAACAUUUUAUUUUAUAUUAUAUGAUAUAUGAUAGAAUAAGAUAUAAUAUAAAUUUAUUAAAAUAAUAAAGAUAAUAUAAUAUAAUAGUACCACUGCUAGUUAUUGCAGUACUACUCAUCAUCAUGACAAUAAUAAAAUAUUUAAAUAUUAUAUUACUAUUAUUGUUAUAAAAUAUUUUAACAUAUCUAAAAUUAAUAUAUAUAGCCUGUGAAUAACUCUAUUACUUCCAGAAUGUGAAAUAAUUGUUCCCAAAUUAUUCUAAGCAAGGUUAUUAUAAAAUUAUCUAAAGUAAUCAGGUUUGACCGGAAUAAUUAUUCUUACCAUUUUUUUAUAUUGUUUGGCGAAAUAACAGAAAUAAUUUUUGUUGCCUCAAUUUAUUUCGAAACCAAACAGGGCCUUGGAGAAGUGCAAUUAUUCUACACAAUUUAACAUGAUAUUCAAGCCACAAGUCCAGAGUUCGAGUCCCACUAUCAAAAAAUCCAGAACAUCUAGAACCCAAGGGCGAAUGAAAGUGUUGGAUAUAAAUAUUAAAAACACCGUUUUCUACCAAAUUAAGUUAGCGAGUGUUUCACCCAAUAUAACAUUUACCACUUCCAUAACAACAUCAAAACAAUAACCCCUGAACUGUUGAAAAGCUUCAUAUAUCAUAAAAAGACAUUCGAAACUAUGCAAGUUUUGUAAGACACUAGUGCUCAAAACAGAGAUGGUAAAACAAAAGAAGAUACACAACAAGGGUAGAACUAGCAUCACGAUAUCCGAAACAAAACCGACUCCUAUGGAAAUAGUUCAAAGACUCUUCAUUAUUAGGGCUGACUAGCGAGAUUGCUCGAUUGAGAAAUAAAAGAGACACAUCACGGGCGCACCGCAGGAGCUCCAGCUGGGCGCGGGCCUUGCCCAGGUCGCGCCGUGUCAUCCUGGAAAACAAACACCAACACAAAUCUCCUUUCAAUAGCCUGCUUUCAUGUACUAGAAUUAAAUGAUUAGCCUUGAGCCGAGGAAUAAACGGGGUUUGAGGAUAAUACUCCAUAACAAUGUGCAGGUCAUUACACAAAUGUAACAGAAAAGCCAGUACUACAUAGAAAAGUGGAGAAAAGCAAACUCAACUUCUAUUUUCAUUUUAAGAAAGUUCUUCACUAAUAGGAAGAUUUUCCUUCUCUUUUGGAAAAUCACUUAUUGAUAUUGCUCGUUAGACAAGUAUACUAGUGACAAAGUGAAGGAGAUCGUUGCAUAUCAGGGGCCAGGCUCAUCCCAUCCAAGAGGCAAGUGUUGGGCCAAUGGGAAACACGCCCAAACCAUAUACAACAAAUAAUUACAGAUUCUCCAACCAAAGAGCCCAAAAACAGAAGAAAUAAAAUACAAUUCAGACUUACAGCUGAAUUCAGUUUGCUUUUGGAACCACAUUUUCAGUGUUCCACUAACACAUAUGGAAAUUGCUAGCUUUUAGAUACAGCUGCCCAUUUUAGUUAGCAUGUCAACAGACGAGUAGUAGAAUAAAAAACUACAUACCGUAACUGUUGAAGGAAAAAGAAUCAACGACUCAAAAGUAACAAAGAUACAAGCAGAAAAAAAAAACGUAGAGAAGAUAAUAAAAAUUGGCCUUUCACUCGUUUAUGCAUACUAAGUUUGCCUUUAGUCAACCGAAGCAACAAAGGCAAAUGAGUACAAGCAAGGAUUGAACAAUAACACCGAAGCAUUGUUCAUUAGCUUCACAGCCCCACAUUGCACCUAGAUGUUAAUUUACGCUUUUGUUGACACAUCCAUUGUAAAAGUAUUCGCAAUGAAUGCAACACCUUGCAAAAGCGAGGAAUAACAAUCAUUUUAACACUAAAACAAGAGAUUACAGAUGCAAGGAACUAGUACACGAAAACCAACUUAAGGCUAUUGGCUACAUUAGAUAAUCUGUAGUAGGAUGUUGUCUUUACACCAUUCAUCAUCAUUUGAAAGAGCCAAAAACAUAAUAAGUAAAUUUCAAAAAAGUCUUCACUGACAUAUAUUUAUUUUAAGUGUGCUUAGGAGCCCAUUAUAGACAUUUCGCGACCUCUAUUUUAAUUGAAAAAAGAGAACUCAAAAUUAUUAUAAUUCAACUACCCACGCGAUAUCUAAAAUUUUGCGGUUCUUCCAAUUACUUGACUGCUGCCAACUCAUGAAGUCCUACUAUCACCUCCUCCACCCAACAAUUGUUUCUUGCAACAUUAAUGACCUUAAGCUUUUUUAUGAAGAUACUGAUGUAUGUACUUUUUUUACAAAAAUACGAAAUUGCUGAGGGUACUGAACAGUGCUUAUGUUUGAAACUCCAGACAAGAACCACUCAUCAUAUACAGGAAUUUAUAGUGUUGAAGGCAUUAAAGUAGCCAUUCAACUAAAACUAGGUCCUAAUCAACUUAGAAUUAGCACCAAUUUGUGCUCGACUGUAUGCAUACAAAGCUAAGCUUGAUGGCAAAUUUACUCUAGAGAUUAACAUUAAGUCGAGAUUAGAUAGAAGCGGCUUCAGAUCAAGUUCAAAUUUUUCGUUAAUCACCACUAGCAUCAUGUCCCGAAGUGAUCUAAUCAGGCAAAACAAUCAUAAUCAUAAUAAUAAGUCCUAAGGAAAAACACAAAAGAACACGAAAUACGUAUGCAAUGAUAAAUAUACAACAAUUCAAGCAACCAUAACACAAGUAUAAAGAGAGUACCCGGCGUCUGAAGCGCUGCGGAGGCUCGCGAAUCCUCCUCGCCUCCCGGGACCGGACUCUCACAACGUGAGAGUGGAUAGCGCAAGAUACACAAUACUGCAUCUUAGCAUACAGCUUCGGAAGAGUGUAACCUGCAAAAUAAAAAACCGAUUUUUCCCUCAAAAAAUCAGAAAAACAUACUCCAAAAUACAUUUUUUUUAAAAAAAAAAAACACAAAUAUAGAAAAAGAUCAUACCAUCAUAGACGCACGCCUCCUGCACAUCUCUUACUGCGGCUUGCUCAACGAUGUUCCUCACGAGAAACCUCUUGAUGGCCUUAUCCUUUUUUUUUAACCACCAAAUAAGGUCGAAUUCGAUCAAAUAUUCAUAGAUCCAUUAGGGAUUGUUUACUUAGUGUUGGAAAAUUUAGGGUUUUCGGAGAAUCGCUUACCUUAGGGCAGCACUUGCCGCAGUUGGAGCAGCGGAUGAACCUGACGUGGCCGCGGCCGUGCUUGUUACGGCCGCCAUUCCUGCGCUUGAAGGUCUGCGGAGAGAAGGAGAAGAAGAAGCGUUAGAGCCAUGGAAAACUGGAAGAGGAAGGGGGAGAGGAGGAGAUGGAAGAGAUCUAGGGUUAGGGUUAGGGUUAGGGUUUUCCGUACCAUGGCGGCGAGUGGAUAGCGGUAGCGCUAAAGGUCGCUGCUUUGAUUCUAGGGUUUUAGUAUUAGAAAGAGACGCGAAGCGAGGAGUAUAUAUCGUCCGAGAUUAGAUUGGGUCCCUAGAGUGGACGGUGUAAACUUAUUGCAUGAACCCGGUGCAUAAUGAUCCGUGCACCUGGUCGACGCCGGGUCCAGGUGAAGUGAAUUCUAAAAAAAAAGAAGGUUAGAUUACUUAUUUCCAUUUUAAAAAAAACCCAAAAAAGCCAUGUUCCCUUUAGAUUUAAAUUUUAGACAUUUAGCUUAGUUUCUUGAAAUUUCAGUUUGUAUAUCACGGUAUAUACAUAAUUUUUUUUAUACAGUAUAACAAAUUUAUAAUCAUUAAAUUAGAAAAUGAUAAAACUUUUCAACACAAUAGAAUGACCGAUGGUACAAUAUAAUUAUUUUAUUAUUUUAUUUAAUAUUGCAGAUAAAAUAUAUUAUUUAUGGCCAAAAACGUUAUGAGUAAAAAAAAUUAUUUGAUUUGAGAGAUUAAUUUUAUUUGUUGUAAAAAAAUUGGAAAAACUUUUUUUUUAAAGAAAGGAAAUUGGAAAAACUUUAAAUAUUAUUUAUGUGGUUUUGCACUUUAUUACUUUAGUGUUCUAUUGUUUAAAAUGUAUCACUUUCAUACUCUGUGGUUUUUUUUUUUUUCGUUAUCCCCUCCAUCAAUUUUUUUGUUAAAUUAGUCGUAAAGUUAAAACCAUAUGAUACUAAAUAAAAAUUUGGUAAACCGCAAGGUACAAAAAUAAAUAUUUGGUGAACCAUAGGUAAAAUAUCUGAAGUUUUUUGUAUAUGAUUUAACAAAGAGUUAAUAAAAGCGUUGACAAAAAAAAAAAACCAAAGUGUAUUAAAGUGAUACACUUUUAACUCAUAGAGUACUAAAAAACCACAUAUAUGACAUUUGAAGUUGACCCAAAAAAUUUAUAUAUCUUUCCUAAAAGUCCCUGAUCUACUUUGUUGGAAGAAGACAUGGGAAGGUCUGUGAACCGCGCUUUGAAUUUUCAUAGACCAGGUAUAUGCUCCUGGUCCAUACGACAGUUCCUCCAUGUUUAAGUUGGCUCCUUUUCCCCUCCUACUCAUGGACUCCUCAAACACGACGACGACCACCACCGCCACCUCUCCCUUCCCCUUCUCCUCCCUCAUCCCGACCAUGUACUCCACCUCAAACCCUAUCCCUAACCCUAACCCCUCACAUCCAUGGCGACUCCUACCCCCCACCUCCUCCUCCGCCGCUCCUCCGCCCCCUUCCACCUCGCCCAAGCCCACGCUGCGCUCCUCAAAGCCGGACUCGCCCACCGCCGACGCUUCCUCUCCAAGCUCGUCUCCCUCCUCGCGCUCUCCCCGCACGGGAGCCUCCCCCACGCGCGCGACCUCUUCGACUCCGCCCCGCCCCGGCUCCAGUCCCCGCCGCUCUUCGCCGCGCUCAUCCGCGCCUACGCCUGCGGCCGCGCCUUCGCCGAGUCCCCGCUCCCCGAUUUCCCCCGUAAGGGCGCCGAGCUCCAUUGCCGCGUCGUCCAUCUAGGGUUUGCGUAUGACCCAUUUGUUCAGAACUCCUUAAUCUUCAUGUACUCGAAAUGCAGUAACCUCCACGACGCGCGGAAGGUGUUCGGCGAAAUGGCCGAGAAAACCCUGGUCUCGUGGAACGCCAUGAUCGCCGCGUACGACCGAAGCGGCGACCGGGCGGCAGCGGAGCGGCUCUUCCGGGAAAUGCCUGAGAGGAAUGUGACGUCGUGGAACAGCAUGAUAGCCCGGCAUGUGCGAGCAGGGGACACGCGUGCCGCGCAGAUGUUGUUCGACGAAAUGCCUGAAAGGGACGCAAUCUCGUGGAACUCCAUGAUCGCGGUGUAUAUUCGCGCUAAGAAUCACAAGCGAGCUCUAGAGCUUUUUCGCCAAAUGCAAGCUAAUAAUAUCAAGCCUACGGAGCUUACGCUUGUUUCAGUUCUUGGGGCUUGUGCCGAGACCGGUGGGUUAGAGAUAGGGAAGGAGAUUCAUAAUUAUUUAGAAAAUAACCACAUUACAAUUGAUGGGUAUGUGGGUAAUGCUUUGAUUGACAUGUACUCAAAGUGUGGUAGCUUGAAGCUCGCAAGAAAGGUGUUUGAUGAGAUGCCUAUGAAGCAUGUUACUUGCUGGAAUUCAAUGAUCACAGGUUUGGCGGUUCACGGCCAUUGCGAAGAGGCAUUUGACCUUUUCGCCUCCAUGGUGAGGGAGCUGAAUGGUGUCGCGGAACCAAACCGUGUCACAUUUCUUGCGGUUUUAAUUGCCUGUACCCACAAGGGUUUGGUGAAGGAGGGGCAAAUUUAUUUCGAUCGAAUGGUUAAUGAGUAUAAGAUAGAGCCUGAUAUAAAGCACUAUGGUUGCAUGGUUGAUUUGCUAAGCCGAUGUGGUAUGGUUGAAGAAGCUUAUCAGAUGAUUAAGGAGAUGCCCGUCAAGGCCAAUUCGGUGAUGUGGAAAACCGUGUUGGCAGCUUGUCGAGUACAUGGGAAUGUGGAGUUGGGAGAGAAAGCAUUUAAGGAGCUUCUUGAAAUGGAUUCCAUGGGAGAUGAUGUAGUUACGAUGUCGAACAUAUAUGCAGAAACUGGCAGAUGGGGUGAUGUCAAGCGUUUGAGAAGUAGGGUGACAGGUUGUAACAUUUGGAAGCAAGCGGCUUGUAGUCAGAUCGAGCUGUUGCAUUGAAGUGGGCCACUCUUAAGGUUGUUUUUCUCUGCUGGAGCUUCUGUAAAAGUGUCGUUUGAGUAGAAUUGCACGAAGAAGUCAUUAUAAUUUCAUUAAUCUCUUUUAAUUGCUUCUUGCUGCAGCUAGAAGCAAAAUCUUCAAAUAUAAGCUUAUGUGUUCUGAGACUAGAAGCUUGUUUCUGCUUCUUACCACGGCUAGGAGCUCUGGGUCAUUAGUUUGGUCAACACCUAGCUUCUGCUUCAUGAAUGAAGCUGUAUAGUUGCACGAGUCAACCACUCCAUGGUACAGAAGACAGUUAUGUAGUUCAUUGGUUCAAGAAACGACUAUACAGAAGACUUUUUAUAAGCAUUUACGAGCAUAUCCUCCCUUGGUGAAUCUAACUCAGGAACCAAUGUUGAGUACUUACGCUUCACGAUACAGGUUGAUGCAGAUCUCUGCUUUUGCGGAAUGGUUUUUUCAGCUUUUGCUAUUUUCUCCAGCUUAACGGCUCUUAAGUGCUGAAGAUGAUUUUGUGGACUAGAGCUGCGAAAGGCGCUUUUCAUUGGAGCUUGUUAAAUCAAUGUAUAUAACUGAUCUGUUUUUGCCAAAUAGUUGGCUUCUUCAAUUGUAUGGAGAAAGAUAGAUCUAUAGACGCAAUAUUUGGCUUAGUUCCUCUGAUAUGAAUCAGUAGAUACCAUCACUGCUUGCAUUGCUUGCUGUAAACUUCCAUUCCAGUGGGAACUAAAGGAUGUGAUGCUGCUGCUUCUGUAGAAUACUAUUGUUUGUGAUUCUAUUGUUUUAUUCGUAUCUUUUCUGCGCAAAUACUAAGAAGAUAUUAUAAUUGAAGAGCGUGAAAACAAAGUCAAGGAGCAUUUUGCCAUUUUCCUUGUGUAUGAACUUUUGACAUUUUCUCAGAAUGUACCCUAGAAUAUGUUCCCCCACUUGGUUAAGUCAUACACAAUGCGACUUUGACCUAGUUUACCCAUCCCAAGCCCUUUUCCUUUUGUUUAUUAAUUAUCAAAUUCAUGAUGUUAUAUUUAUAUUUAUGGGCAACUUAAAACAAAGAGGGAUGAGUUUUAUAUUUGUCCCUAAAUUUUUUUGGGUAAUUUCAGAAAAAAAAAUGUUUUCAACUUUUCUAUCUGUUCAUGUUAAGUCUCUGUGUUUUCACAUUUUUCUUUUGAAAAGUCCCCAGGGAAUAAUGGAAUAUCUUUCAUCAAAAAUCCAAACUGUAUUGUAUCGCAACUUGUACGGUUUUGACUUUUAAAUUUGAUAAAUAUGCAUAUAAAAAAGUUUUUAAAAAUAAAAUAUUGGUCGUAUGUGAUGCUCACAGUAAUAAUAAAUCUACAAAAUUAUGGACAAAAGUUAAGUUAAGAUUGCUAAUAAAUGAAGUCCCCACAUUAGAGGAUGAAGGUCAACGCCGUGAUUUGAGCAAUUAAAAGAAAGUUUCCAAUGCUUUACCGCCGAUUUAAAAUCAGAGGUUAUCUCUUAUGUUCCACCAAAAAUUAUAGGUGCAUUUAAAACAUUAUAAUUUUAUUUAUUUAAUAGUGGAGCUAGGCUGCUGCUGUACUAUCAGUAGUAUAGAAGCUUCUGUACUACCAAGUUGUUUUUAAUGAUGCGGCUUCCGAAUCAACGAUCGUUUUUUUAGAUAUGAUCUACGCUGUUGAAAAUAUUUAGAAAUCAAAUUUUAUUUUUUUUCGACAUUAUUUUACAAGUGAUCAAAAUAUUUCAAAAUUGAUAAUUUUAAUGACUGAUGUGUUGCGUUUAUAAAUUUAACGGUGUAAAACAAUUCAAAUAUGAUGAAAUUUUUAUAGAAAAUUUUCUUUACUAUUUAAAGUAAGAUCAGUACUUCUAAUCUUAAAUUCAAAUCUUUUAUCAUUAUUUUUUAUGAAAUUUUUAUUUUCAAUCGUUUAUUUUUAGACUACUCGUUUAAUAGGUAAAUGAUGUAAAAACUUAUAAAUUUUAGUUUUUUAAUACGUUCAAUAGCGUAGAUCAAGUACAACGUAACCGAUUGUCGAUUUGAAAUUCGCAUCAUCGAAAAUAAAUUGAUAGCAUGAUGGCCUCCGUACUACUGAUAGUAUACUGACUGAAUUCGAAAGUUUAAAGGGUCUCUUGGAAAUUUUCCCCAAAUUACGAGCUUAUCAAAAAAAAAAAAGUAAAAAUUAGUGGACCAAAGUGAAAUUGUAGUGAAAGUUCUAAGUGGUAAUGCAAUUUGACCGGUUAUAGGUCGGCGAGGAAAUUGGAAUGGAAUUUGUUUUCCCCAAAACUUGCGAUGGGGGGACUUAAUUCGGAUCGGGUGGAAUUAAUUCGACCCGGAGAAAGUUGGUGGACGUUCUCACACCCAACGUUGACCAAAGCCCCCGAAAGUUGACUUUUUUUGCCUAAUUAGACUUUAAAAAAAAAACGAAAAUCAUUUCCCUUAAUAUUAGGCUCGAGAUUUAUCGCGGGAUUCGUAGCAUCUCUAUUCCCAAAAAACAAAAAAGAAAUAAAAAAUCAAAUCAAAUCAAAUCAAAUCACACUCCCAUCUCUCUUCUUCUUCUUCUUCUUCUUCUUCUUCUCCAUCUACCCCAACACACACGCCUCGGGUCAAUGCGGUGCGAGGAGCGGUAGAGGAAUCGAGGGCUCUUCGGCCACCGAAUCCACGUUGGGGAAGCGAUUCCCCCGAUCGCGGGGCGGAAAAGCUCGGUUUUGGUGGGAAAAAGGGGGAGGAAAAGCUCGUCUUUUUGAGCUGUCGAUAGCUUCGGAUCCGAGAGCGCGAAGGAGCUUUUUUGGAUGAGGGAUCUCCGACCCCCCGGAUCUACGUACGAGAAGCGCUUCUUUCGGUUGCGGUGUGGAAAGCUCGAUUGAGGUGGGGAAAAGGGGCGAAAAAGCUCGCCUUUUGAGCCUUCCCUUUGCUGGAUCCGAGAAAUUUGAGGUAAAAGAGCUUUUUCAUGGGGUUUUAGGGUUUCUCGGGGGUUUCUGAGAAAACCCAGAUGGGGGCGUGCCCUGAUUGGCGCCUGAUUCGUACUGUUUAGGGUUUCCGAACCCCUCGAUUUAGGGUUUUUGUGGCGUUCAUCUGAUGAGGAUGGAGGAGAAUGCGGCGCUCCACACUAUACAGAGCUCGAUCCAAGCGUUGGGGAGGGGAUUCGACGUCAACCACGACACGAGGCUUCUAUAUUGCAAAGGGAUCGCGGGGUCUCGGCUAAUUGAGGUGGAUGCGCACGCUAGGGAUUUGGCGGUGUUCGAUGGCGUGGUUGUGCCCAAUGUGUCGAGGGAUGUGAAGUGUUCUUAUGAUAGUGGUGGAAGAGAGGGAACUGGUGCUUGUAGUUUCUAUGAGGUGUGGUAUAACUGUUACUAACUAAUUUCCCUUUGCUUUCUCACGUUAAAUUUGGUAUUUAAUUUGCAUUGGAGAUAGUUGUGCUUUCCCUUCGAAUCAGACAUUUGUAGUUUAUUGUGUAGUUGGUGAAAACAAAUUUAUAUUGUUUAAUAUGUGUUGUAGGAGGUUUUAAUUGGUUAUGGUAUCUAGUGAAGGGUGUGAUUGUUAGGGUGAUUAGGGAUUUUAGGUUCUUGAAGAUCGAGAACUGCUUCUCUUGUCCUGGUUGUUGGUUCUCUCAGAUUAAGCUUUUGUAGUGCUUUACAUGGUUAGGUCAGAAUUAACUAUGGAGGUACUUGUGUAUUUUGACCUCUAAACUAUGAGAUCUGAUCGCCCAAACUAGAGUGGAAGUCAUGCACUUAGUGUAUUGAGCGUUUUGCAUGUAUUACAUAUUGUUCUAGUUUGAUUAGAUAUUAUGUAUUUUAGAUUCAUAGAGAGCUAAUUAAACCUCAUUUUAAGUUAUAAGUAUGUGUUAGAUUAUCUAUAAUCCUUGUACUCAUAUUAAAUUGGCUAUUCUACUGGAGUUUUUCUAUUGAAAAAUUAGUCAUCAAUAUGUAGAAAUUUCUACAAACCAUGGAAAUAAUGCUAAAACAUAAUGGUUUUAAGUGUUUACCAUCUCCAUUGUGUGCAAUAUAUCAAUGCAAACUCAUUAUUUUGCUGAGUUUAUGUGACGAUUCGGCUUCUGUGUAUCAAAUCUUAGAGCUCAAAUUGAAGUAGUAAAUUGGAGCAAAUCAAGUUUACUUACAAUACAAGUGCCUGCAGAAAGGAUGUAAUGAAAUAAAUGGAUUUUCAGUGGUUGAUAUUUUAAAGUUGCAGAUUGCUAGUAAGUAGUAAGUAAAACCUAAUCAUAGGAAGCUAUGCUAUUUGUUGCCAUUGAGAUGUAUCGUAUACAAUAUUGAAGUGCAAACAAACUGUAGUUAGGGCAUUUGGGUGCCUCGUAUGAUUUAUUUGACAUAUGGGAUAUUGUUUACUGGUGCUUUUAUGGCAGUAAUAACUUCCUUGCAUUGUCAUAUUACGGGGACCUGUUUGGAUGUCGGAACAAAUUUUAUAGUGCCAAAUUUUCACAAUUAUGGAGAUUUCUUUUGUGACUGCAACCCAAUAGCUUGAUUUUCAAUCCAUUGUGAGCUUCCUUUAAAAUUAUAUCCCUAUGUGCAUUCUAUCAUGAUUCAUAACAAGCUUUAAUUAACAAACCUUGAGAUUGAUUUUAGUUUUUCAGCUGUUAAUUUACUUCUAUCAUUCCAAAAAGAAUCCGGUUUAAUGAUUAUGUUAUUUACUGUUAUAGUAACGCAGGUUUGAUUAUAUAGGUCACCAAUUCUCAUUAUUUUCUCAUUUUUCCCUUGGUAAGCGACCGCAGAUGGCAGAAUAUUUCAAUAGAAAGGCUAAUCUAUCAGGGAACAUCCCCCUUGGAUGCUUCAAUUCUGCAUUUAGCUUCACAGGAUUGAAGAAAACUGAUGCUGCAUCUACGAAGAGCCUCGCCAUGGAUGGGAAGUUCAUCCCUUUAUGUAAAGUUCAGAUUAUAAAGCAAUCCCUAACAUUGAAAGAAGAGGUGAGGCGUGCUGUGCCACUUUCAUGGGACCCAUCAUCUUUAUCAAGGUAAAGAUGCAGAUUUUUCUGCAAAAGUAAGCAAGUUAUGUAAUGGAGCACCUUGAUAAUUUCAACUUGUAUACAGGUUUAUUGAGAAUUAUGGCACUCAUAUUAUUACAUCCAUUACUAUCGGUGGUAAGGAUGUAAUCUAUGUCAAGCAGCACAGUUCGUCGCCUUUGUCAGCCAUGGAAAUUAAAAAUUACGUACAAGACCUCGGAGAGCAGAGGUUCUCUGAAAGCGAGAGCCACACGAGCUCAGGUCCAAUGAAAGUGAAGGAUAAGGCUAGUGCUUUUGUGCUAUUCUCUUGGAAGUUGCUCACGAGCAGUAUAAUUAGCAUAUGUUGCUGUUAUGUCCCUCUGACUAUUUGCUGCUCAUGGUUUGCCAGGCUGUGGAUCCUUUCGUAUUCAACAGCCAGGGAGUAUAUCCGCAACCUCCUAACACGCCGUAUCUUACCGCAAAAGAGGCAAGUGAAACAUCUUCUCUUUUAUUAUCUACUUUUGUGUCUUAAUACUCCAAUGAUUAAAGAAGUGCAAACAAGUCCUACAUGCUGGUUGACAUAUGAGUCUAGAAAUAAGGAAUAUAGGUUGGAGGAGGAGAAUUACUUUUGUUUCUUCAUUUUACCCUCUAUAUUUGAAACCUUACACACAGUUUGGACUAUGAAAUUUCUCUUGGGGGACAUUGGCAAUUUGGUGAUGCUUCCAUUAUUUAACAAUGUUUAUGACUUCUUUCUUAGCUUUGGUCCCUUUUGGAUACAACGCUAAUGAUCAGACAAGAUUACUACAGAUUUGUUUGUAGGCCUAGCUAGAGCAGCUGUAGAAGUGCUGUUUAUGAAGAGUAGCUGCUCGAAAUAGCACUAGCAUCCUUUUCAUUUAAAUAAUAAAAUCUCCGCAACAGCUUAUUGCUGUAGCAGAAGUGAAAACUUCAAAUUGCUGUUUCUGUAUCGCUUCAGCAAAAGCACCAAUUCUUUGGUUUGCCAAAUACCUGGUAGCAGCUAGCUUAUCUGUAUCAGAAGCUAGGUGCGAUGGGCAUUAAGACUGAUAUUCAGCACGGACACUUCUAUAAGCCUCACGUGUCCGUGUCGGACACGUGUCCUAUGUGGACACUUUUCGAACGCCCGUUUAAUAUUUAUUCAUAGUGCAUACAACUAAAAAAAUAUAUACCUAUUUUUAUUUUACUUUUUUUUAUACAUAUGUAAUGUAUGAUAAUAAAUAUUUUAGCUUUUUGAUGAAUACAUAUAUAUAUUUUUUUUGACAAUAUAAAUAAAUUAUCUAUGGUGGAGAAUUUUUUUCCUUAAAAUAUAUGAACUAUCAAUAAAAAUUUUACUAAUUUUCAUUCGUAUGAGAAAUAUAACAAUAUUUUAUCCAAAUUAAUAUUUUAUAUAUAAUAAAAUAUAUUAUUAUAUUAAUAAUAUUAUAUUUUAUUAGCGAUGUUUAUGUCGUGUCCGUGUCCUAAUUGUUUGAAAGUUGCCGAGUCGCGGUGUCUAAGUCAUGUCGUGCCCCGUGUCCCGUGUCAGUGUCCGUGACGCCUAGAUAUUCAGCCAUGAGGCCAGAUGAUAAGAUGCACUACUAAGCAUGGCAGGAAGUAUUUUGCAGUUAAACUAUCCAUUGUAAAGCCCUUCAUAUCAAGUGAUUAAUACAUUAGGACUCUGAGAAUCCUAAUUUACUGAAUUACAUGCUAGGUUUUAUUCAAGUAUUCUAUUUCAAGGAGGAGAUUUUUUUUUUAAUAUAUUUCCUGUUUUCAUGUCAUUGCAAAUUAUGGUCUUGACGAGCAGACAGAAGCAUGUGCAUUGUUUUUGCCCUCCAUCAUUGAAACUCUGCUCGAUACCUCCUGUAAACAGAAGAUACCAUAUCCGAUGAUAGAUUUUAUGGCUUAUAUUAUACUAUCUGCUACUCGCCAUUUGUAUUGGUUUGAUUAUCAAACAAAGUUAUGGUAGGCUGAAUGAGAGACUCCUGUAAAGUUUGCUGUUUUCAUGUUUAGUUUGUUACGAUAUCUAUAUGAAAACAGUUGCUUAAGACGAUAUCUAUAUGAAAACACUUGCUUAAGCCUCUCAACUAAUGAUGCGAUUUUGAAAUGUCCCUAUAUUCUGAUGAAUUUACUUAUGCAGGAUGUAACAGUAAUUUUCAGAAGAAGGGGAGGUGACGAUCUAAUUCAAAGCCACACUCAUUGGGCAAGAACCAUCCGUUCAGCACCCGAUGUUAUUGAUAUGACCUUCUUUCCAAUCACUUCUCUACUUGAAAGGGUGCCUGGAAAGGACCAUCUUAUCCGUGCUAUCAACCUUUACCUCGAAUGUAAUGUACCGCCAUAGUUGAUAUACGCUCUAGAUCAAAAUCUAUAACUAGACUCUGAAUUGUUCUAUUGGAUUCUGCAGAUAAGCCCCCAGUUGAGGAGCUAAGAUACUUCUUAGAGUUUCAGGUUCCUAGAAUAUGGGCCCCAGUUCAAGAUGGGCUUCGAGGACAGCGAAGAAAAGAGCCAGUGUGCCCAUCUUUGCAGUUCAGCAUAAUGGGAAAGAAGCUAUAUAUCAGCCAAGAACAGGUACGCAGCAUCGAGAAUGGAAUGUCGGCCUUGAAAACUGGCUAAUACCUUUUUCUCGAAAUAUAUUUGAGCCAGAGGUGUUUUAUAAGAGACGGCUAUAAAAUCUCAUUAUGAAGAUGAAAUGGCGUAGACAAAGCACAAGUAUCACUUCUUUUAUUGUUUGUCAAUCAUCCGGAGGGCUGAAACGAAAGCACAUGUGAAUGAUAAUGUUGGACUAUUUAUUUGAAAAUUUUGCGCUGUUAGUGACAGAUGUCCUGUAGUAUCAUAAUUUUCGUGUUAGAAAAAAAAUAGCAAAAUUGACCUUCCUUUUCUGGACGUUUCCUAUUGCACUAAAACCUUCAAUAUGUGCAGAAUAUAUAAUGCCGCCACUGUAUUUUGCGGAUUAUUAAUUCUGUACCACAGAAUCAUUAUUAUCUAUUUUUUUUCCUUAGUAAAUCUUCAUUUUGCAUAAUUUACAUGGACUCUGCGGAUUCUUAUUUCCACAUCUAGUCUUAUGCUUCUUUUAUAACUAAAAAAAGUAACUUCUUCAGGUAACAGUUGGGCGAAAACCAGUCACUGGACUAAGACUCUGCUUGGAAGGCCCAAAACAGAACCGACUAUGCAUACAAGUGCAGCACUUAUCGACCCUACCCAAGAUCUUCCAACCCUACUGGGAUGCCCAUGUGGCGAUUGGCGCACCAAAAUGGCAAGGACCCGAGGAACAAGACAGCCGAUGGUUCGAGCCUGUUAAGUGGAAGAACUUCUCCCAUGUCAGCACGGCUCCGGUUGAAUACCACGAGUCCUUCAUCGGCAACACCUCCGGCGUAUACGUAGUCACCGGGGCUCAGCUUGGAGUGUGGGAUUUCGGUGCAAAGAAUGUCCUUUACAUGAAAUUGUUAUAUUCUAAAGUACCUGGAUGCACUAUUAGGAGAUCAUUAUGGGACCAUAGCCCUACUGCUGCUGCUGCUACACCUACAAUUACCUUGGACGACAAACCUGAAUCUGGCGACUCGAGCUCGAGCUCGAGUUCAGCGGAUGCGGGCAGGUUGCUGAAGUUUGUGGACAUGUCGGAGAUGUAUAAAGGGCCGGACGAUAUACCCGGGCACUGGUUGGUGACGGGCGGGAAGCUCGGUGUUGAGAAAGGGAAGGUUGUUUUGAGAGUUAAGUAUUCUUUGUUGAACUACUGAAACCAGUUUGUUUUACGGGUGUUGACGGUUGUUGUGCAUUUUGCAUGUAUAUUAUGGAAAAAUUUGCUUCGAUUAAAUUUAGUGAGUCGAAGAUUUGAUUUUCCCCACAAGCAUUUCUCAUAGUUAGUUGAUCAAGCUUCCUUUUCUGGAGUGCUCAGCAAGGCCUAGGGAAGUUGAGGUUCCUGAAUAAUUUAUUUCCUGUAGGAGUUAUGGUACAAGUACCUCACAAGGGACAUCAAAAUUCAGUUCCUGACAAGUAGUUGGUUCAGCUUUUAAGUUUCCCACAUGGCGCAUAACAAGGACAUCGAUUUGGAAAAAGCUAAACCUGUCACUUUUGCUACGUGCGCAAUAUUGAUUCAUCAAUUAUAUUUUGAAGUGCUUUUCGACUGUACUGGUGCCAUUACUCUUCUGGUGAAGUAUGUUGAUUCAGAUUCAGCGAGAGGCUACCGACACUUUAGCAGUAAUCCAUGGUCCUCAAAGUCCUUGCCUUAAACUGUAUAAUAUCUCUGUGCCAUAGUUUCAAACUAGGUUAAUUGUUGUUCCUGUAGGUUUCACAUCUUAUCUUUUUAGUUUGCAGUAUUUUGUUAGUGUUCUAAACCAGCUGAGAAUAAGUUCUGUUAUAGUAAAUUAUACAGUUAGUCUCUGACCUUUUGGACGAAUUAAAAUUUGAUUUCUGAUCUCUAAGUUGAACCGAUUAAUUCGUGAUCCUAGUCUUUCUCCAUGAUUAGAGAUGAACUGUAAGCUCUAAUUUGUCCUGUUAGGGACCAAAUUAAAGCAAUUAGGCCUGAUAUCUAGUUAUCUAUGGAGGGCCCUGUUAUUUUCAUUCUGAUGUUUUAGGUCUAUAUUUGACCCAGCAACUGCUUCCAUAGAAAGUGAUGCUUGGAUAGAGUUUCUCAAAAAGUCCAAUGUUACAGUUGGAUCUACCAAACUGCUUGCUGUUAAGCUGGAAGAGCAACAGCUUAGGCAUUCAAAGUUAGAGAUUUUGUUUUCAAGACUCCAUUUCGCCCGACAACUCGAAUCUUUGUUUGCAGAACGCAUUAUUUUUACUUCUUAUAUACAAAACACAUUUUACAAAAUGUAACAUACACCGAUAUGAAGUGAGGAAAAAGUUUUUAUCAGGCACAUUUUUUUCACUAGCACUCAUCCCUACUGUAAGAUAUUAAUCUGGCAGCGGAAAGGAAUGCGUCUAAUAAAGAUGCAUCUGGAGAUUUUGCUUUGCAAACUCAAUUCAUCCGACCAUUCAGAACAUUAUCUCUCAAAUAUUUUGCUUUUUGCUUCUUAUAUACGAAAGACAUUUUGCAUAUCGAACAACUAAACAAAUACCUAAGUUUUUAAUCAGAAUCAUUGUUUUUCACAAGCAUCCCGUCCUACUGCAAGAUAUUAAUCUGGCAAUAGAAAGGAAUGCACUUAUUAGAGAGACAAGUGCUUUUCACCAUGUAUUUUACCACUGUGGGAGACAAAGCAAACCAAAAUGGCAUCUCACACCCAUAUUUACAUCAACACCUUUUAAUAGAAGAAUCAUAUACAUAUAACAUAUUCAAAUAUUCCAAUUAAAAUAGAACUCUCACACCCCACAAAAGUACUACAACACCAUCAUAUCCCCACAAGCAUCUCUCACCCAUGUGAUGAGAAGUGGGGGAGCUACAAACAAUGACUAAAAUAAAAUCUAAUAAUAAGAUGUCCUUGGCACCUUCACCAAAAACCAAAUAUAUAUAAUACACCCGUCUAAUUAUAUUAAUACAUCCAUAUAAUUUUAUGUUUGUAUUAAUAUAAUCUCCCUACUAAUUAAUUAUGGUUUGUAGAGAGGGACUUAGCGGGUGCUAAAAGUGGAGCAACCUCUGCAUAGCCAAAUUCCUCUCUCUCCCUCUCUCUCUAAAAUGAGGAAAAAGAAAAUGUACACAUAUAUAUAUGUAUAUUGCAAACUAGCUAGCCAGUAGUAAAUAAAUAUAAUUAAUUUUUUAUUUAAAAUUGGCCGCCCUCGAAGGUCUGGCCGAAUUGCCAGUUGGCCGGGGCGACGUUGUAGCUGGUGAUGGUGCGGCCGUCGCUGGCGGUGACCUGGAAGGAGAGGGACUGGCCGUCGAGGUACGAGUUGCUCUGCCAGUUCUGGCCCCAGUUGCGGGACAUCGGCUGCCACCCCGUGUUCGACCCCUUGAUCGACACAGCGUGCACGUCGCCCGCGCCCGCCACGUUCGUGAUCAGCACCAGGUUGAAGUACGAGUGACCGUUGACGGUGAAUCGGACACCGCCUUUCUUUACGCAGGGCACCCUGCAGUCCCAGAAUUACAAAAGUUAUAAAAAGAGUGGAUUUUGUGACAGAUAUCUGGGCCCAAGAAGAUCACCACAUCCCCAUGUUGAGUCCGGGCCAGAAGUGGACCCAAACCUAGACUAGGACUUGGUCCCACUUAACUACAAAUUUAUGGUACAAAAGAUGUAGUUUAAUAUUUGACAUGAAGCUAGUUUAAUCCAAACCGAGCUAAUUUAGAUUGGGUUCGAGCCAUGGGCUAGCUAAAUAAGUCAACGUAUAUGAUAGUAAAUCUCACCUUCUGUAGGCCACGGGUACGAUUCCCGCACGGUACUGAGCAAUUUGGAGGAAUGCCGGCUCGGCCAUGUCGAAGUGCGGGCGGGGAGGGUUGCACCACCCGCCGUCGUCACUCGGGAGGCCGUAAUUCGGGGGGCAGAAGUUCGUAGCGGUCACUAUGAUCGAGCCAGGCAGGCACCACUGCGGGUCAUCGUCGCACCGCAUCUCGUAGCACGACCCGCAGCUAAGGCCGUCAUUGAACAGCGCGGUGCUCAGGGCUGCGGUGUUCGUCCCGUACCCCUGGCUGUACAAGUUUCCGUACCCGCAAGCCCCUCCUGCAUGAUGCGACAAAUAAAAUCAACACACUUUUCAAAAAAAAAAAAAAAGAAAAAAUAAAGUUACAAGUGUAUUCGUCUUCAGAUGCACGGGGAAUUCUGUCACUGAGGAAUGUCAGAACUAAGAUGUGCAAUUAUAUUUCUGGUCGAAAAUGUUUAAAGAAAUUACCCAUCGUGGCCGGACUCACACCUGGCGCCAGUAAAAUGUCGCGGUGCGCGCCCUGCCUAAAUCGCAAAGAUCCCAAAGCUACCUCAAGAGGAAGAGAAAUGAAGGGAAGAAGAAACAAGAAAAGCCAUAGAAGGAACCAUGACUGUCCAGUUGAGGAUAACUAACAGAGAGAAAGAGCGUUAUAAAGAGGGGGGGCGGGGGGGGGGGGGGGGGGAGGAUUGAAAUUGUGUGGUGUGGGGUUUAGGGCUACUUGGUAGAGGAGAAAAAGAUGAAGGAGAGGGUGCUAGUAAUUGAUAGAAAAGAGAGUGUGGCGGUAGCAGUAUACAUCAGUUUCUAAAAAUAAAAAAAAUUUCCUCUUUUUUUUUCUUUGCUUUUUAAAUAAUUUGUUAUUUUAUUUUUAUUUGUUAUUUUUCAUUUUUAUUUUGUAGAAAAUAGAAGAGACAACUUGGGUGUUCCACAUUGUUGAAAGGGAUUGGAGUAAAUGGGGACAAAAGGGGGAGCACAUGCAAAUGUUUUGGGGGGGUUGGGAGUACCAACCACUAAGGACCCUCAUGUGGGGCCCACUACCUCCCCUCACCCACAUGCACUCUUUCAACAUUUUCCUUUUUUAUUUUAUUUUGUUAUUUUAUUUUAUUUUUUGAAAAAGAAUUAUAGUUUUCUUUUUCUUUUUAAGAUUGAAUAAAAGUUCUCCUCUUGUGUUAUUCACCCAAAUGUGUGAGGGGUUAAGAGUAACUCACAAUGAAGGAGAACUUUUUCCAUUAGUUCAAAAUGUAUCAUCUAGUUUUCGACAGAAAUUAAUAUAAGAUUAUUUUAUAAACAACAAGCUGAUAAGAACAAAUUACAUGGUAGUAAAAUAUUUUAGAAUUUUACUGCGAUAUAGUUUAUAUAAGAGAGUACUGAAUUAUCCUAUCUAUCAAGCGAUUUCUAUCGAAAAAAUUUAAAAAAAAAUUCUGCCUAUGAGACAAAGUCUUUGUUUACUUUGAAUCAAAAGGCAAGUGAAAUUUGCAAAAGCAUUAUGUUGACUAGGGCUUUUUGGAGGUUUUCAUAUAAUUUCGUAAAAAAUAAAAAAUAUAAUACAGUUAGUAAAAACAUAUUUCUUUCAUAAAUGUGAUCAUAAGUUAAUUCUAUGCCUAGUGGAAUAGACUUUAAAUUUUAUUUCAGUCAACUGAAUAUCCACGCUGCUGACUGUUUAAAAAAAAAAGGAGAAGAAAAAUAUUAAAAAAAACUAUAUAUAUGCAAAAUAAUGAAUACACUUUUAUUUUCACUACUAAUUGCCACCAAUUAAGAUCAAUAUCACCAAAAUCUCCAAAUUAUUUACAUUAAUAAUGUGGUCUCAAUUUUCUCUUGCUUUUUUUCAUUUAUAAUAACCCAAUAAAUUGAGGUCCUUGCNCACAAAUAAAAAAAAAAAAAAAAAAAAAAAAAAAGGUUUCAUACACUUGUGAAAUAUUUCCAUCAAAAGUCCUUGUGAGUUGGUUACUCAUGUACUACAUAUACUACCAUUGACUUUGUUUAUAUUAAAGAGUACUAUAUAUGUCAAUAUAUAUACUACAAAUUACAAUAAAAGAACUUUGUUGAAACCGUAUAUGAAUAUCUUUUGGUGAUUCUUUAUCAUAAAUCCAUCCAAAAUAAUUUGUAGUAUUUACACAUUGUAAUUAAUGUAUCUAGCUACAAAAUCUUUAUAUGUUUAUAAAUAUGAAAGAUUUAUAUUUAUUUCAAAUAUUAUUGGCGUGCCAUAUUUGUACAAUUAAUUAAUGAUGUAUUGUACAUUAAUAAACCCUUCUUUUCAAUAAUAUAUAUAUAUAUAGUAAUGUAGAUGCAGUACUUUUUACAGUAAUGUUACUAACUUUUUGUUUUAGAUUAGAAAUGCCUGUAAGUUUUUAUCUUUUUAUAUGAUUUUUAAAACUUUUUUUUUCAAAAAAUACCUUUUGGUGCAUUUUCUACAAAAAUCUAAGAAUAUUUUGGCAGCAAUUUUAACAUUUAUUGUCUUUUUCUUUAAAUAAAAUAUUUCGAGAUUCUACUAAAAGAUGAUAAACACAUUUUCAGUCACAAAACUGUUUUUUGAGAUAUUUUUUAGAAAAAUAAAUUUCUAGUGAAAAAGAAUUUUCACCGGUUUGACUUUUUAGAAAAUAUCUUAGAAAUUAGUUUUCUGGCUGAAAAAAAAAAAAUUGUUUGUCCAGAUUCGAGAAAAAAUAGUUUUCUUAAAAAAUUUUUAGAAAAGUUUUAUUUCUUUUUCUUAUUUUUUAUAUGAAAAACGAAAGCUAUGGAAAAAAUGGUUUUUGUGAUUUUUUUUUUCAGACAAUAAUUUUUCACUAUUUUUUGGAGGAACCAAACAAACCCUAAAUAGACACAUUCUUUUAUCAUACAGUAUGAAUUCUUUUAAAUGUACUUCUUCUUUUUUUUUUUUAAAUCUCUCUCUUAAUUUUCAAACUAUUAUUAUACAUAAUACAAAAGAAUUAGGGGCAUGGUGAUGAGAUCGUGAUUAAUGGACGGCCAUAAAUGGUUGUUGGUUCAAUUAGGUAGUGGCUCACAUGAAGCAAGGGUUUAUUUGGUGGGCAGGUGAUGGGUGCAUGGGAGGUUUGACGAGUAAAUGUGCACUUCAAGCACCAAAUCACUAUUACCCAUUUGCGCUAUAAUUUAGGAUUCGAGCUUUCGACUUUGGGUUUACUUUAUAUAAGUUUCUGGGGGUGUUCGGUGGCCGAUUUUGAGGUAAGAGUUCGAACCUCAGAAUGUGCUAGACUUUGGAAUUGCAAGCACCAAAUCCCUAGUGUCGUAUAAUUUGGGAUUCGAGCUUUCGUUGGGUUUAGUUUAUAUGAGUUUCUGGAGGUGUUCGGUGGCCGAGUUUGAGGUCGGAGUUCGAACCUUAGUAUAUAUGUGCUAAGCUUUAGAAUUUCAAGCCCCAAAUCACGAGUACUCAUUUGUGCUAUAAUUUAAGAUUCGAGUCUUCGACUUUGGGUUUUCUUUAUAUAAGUUUUUCGGGGUGUUCAGUGGUUGAUUUUGACGUAGGAGUUCGAACCUCAUUAUGUGCUGAACUUUGAAAUUUCAAGCGCUAAAUCACUAGUACUCAUUUGUCCUGUACUUCGGAAUUCCAGCUUUCGUUGGGUUCAGUUUAUAUGAGCUUUUUGGAGUGUUCAGUGGCCGAUCUUGAGGUCGGAGUUCGAACCUCAGUACGUGCUAAACUUUAGAAUUUCAAGUGCCAAAUCACGAGUACUCAUUUGUGCUAUAAUUUGGGAUUCGAGUCUUUGACUUUGGGUUUACUUUAUAUUAAGUUUUUGGGACUGCUCAAUGAGCGACCUUGAGGCUGGAGUUCAAACCUCUGUGUGCGCCAAAAUUUGGAAUUUUAAGCGUCCAAAUCACUAGUACCCAUCUGUGUUAAGAUUUGGGAUAUUGAGUCUUUGACUUUGGGUUUGGUUUAUAUACGCUUUUGAAGAUGAUCCGUGACCAAUCUUGAGGUCAGAGUUUGAACCUCCGUGCAUGCUAAAAUUUGGAAUUUGAAGCGUCCAAAUCACUAGUACUCAUCUAUACUAUAAUUUGGGAUUUUGAGUCUUCGACUUUUGAAUUUGAUUUAUAAACAUUUUUGGGAGGCAGACGUUGAGAUCUGAAUUCGAACCUCAGAGUUUGAACCUCCGUGCGUGCUAACAUUUCGAAUUUCGAGCACCAAAUCACUAAUACUCGUCUCUGUUAAAUCUAGGAGUUCGUACCUCGGAGUUCGUACCUCCUACGUUGGGUUUAGUUUAUGCCACUCUUGAUGUCAGAGUUCGAGCCUUCGUAUCUACUAAAAUUUGAAAAUUUUGAGCCUCAAAAUUCAAACUUAUUUUACAUAGGUGGUUGGAAGUGUAUGGGGCCUAUGAGCAGAGUAAAAAGAAAAAAGAAAAUACUAAAUAUAAUUUAGCGUUAGGUGAGUUUUGGGAGUACCAUAUAUGUGUUUAUAUAUGCACGGUACCUGUCCUUUUUCGAUUGAGUCCUCACAACUUUUAAUUAUAAAUAUCAAAUAAUUUUACUCAAAAAAGAUAAAAAAUUUUAUUAAAUACAUUGGUAUGAUUUCAUCAAAUUUAACCCCCCCAAAAUUUCUUUUCUUUUCUUUUUUCUCUUCCCUUAGAGUUGCCGGUAACAGGAUCGCUCAACUAGUACCACCAACGUAGUGCUCCACCAAUCUCCCUGCGCACUAAUGCCUGCGAACAGCAGCGCGGUGCACCGUUUGAGCUAGGUGCAAUAUUAAAAAAUUAAUUAUUUUAAUAUAUGUUAUUAAAUAAUUAAAUCCUUUUUUUCAUUCCACUUUUACAUACCUCUUGGGGAGUUGAUAUCCUCAAAACCCUUUAUCUGGGGAAUCGAAAUUCAACAAUANNUAUAUAUAUAUAUAUAUAUUUAAAACCAUAGUAAAAAAUUUAAAUUGGCGAAUUAAACCUCAUUAAUAAGUCAAAAUCAUCACCAAAAUAUUUACAGUACAUAAUUCAAACUUUUUAGACCAAAAAAUAAUUUUUAAUAUAAAACAGUUUUUAAUGUAUCCCCUUCUAAGUUCUAAUUAAUUAAUUUGGGGACAACAUUAUGAUUUGCAGGAAUAAAACUGGGAGAACCUUAACAUAAUCAGAUGAAUAGUCCACAUCUAACUCCCGCCCCACAAUUAAAUAAUAAAUAAUAAAUAAAUACACACUUGAUUUAUUUUCAAAUUUUAUUUUAUUAUAAAUUUCCCAUUCAAAGUAUUUUAUAUUGUUAAAAUUAAGUCACAAAAGCACAAUUUAAUCGACUAAAUAGUGAUGUGUCGCUAGUGUGAAGGUUACGCGACAGUGUUGUGAUUAAUAACGUGACAAUUGAAACUUAUAAUAAAUUAAAUUUUAGGGUAAACUUUAAAUACCACUUAGGUGGUUUCGCACUUCUCACUUUAGUAUCCUAUUGUUUUCUCUGUUAAUGUUUCGUUAAAUUAUAUAAAAAAAAACUUCAGAUAUCCUGCCUAAGUUUAUCAAAUAUUUAUUUUAGUACUUUUUAAUUUUAACUUUGUCACUAAUUAAAUGAAAAGAAAUUAGUGCAGGAGACAAUAAAAAGAGAAAAAUAAAAUCACGAAGUACUAAAUCGAUACAUUUUAAAUUACAGGAUAUUAAAAUAAAAAAGUGCGAAAACACACGGGUGAAAUAUCUUGCGCUUCAUAGUUUGAGGAACAAGAAGUGUAAUUUAAUAUUUUAAUAUAAAUCAAUAAAUAAAUUUAAUUUAUUUAUCCAUGAAAAUGGUGGGCCCAUGCGAUGGUUAGGUGCACAUGGGGUCCUGGACUUUGUGGCCAAUCGAGCUAUCAACUGGUCUAUUUUUUUUUGGGUAUUUUGGAUGUAACCUAAUUUCUACAAAAUCAACCCCCACAUGCAUAUGAAUUGCAAAAUCUUAGGGGUGGAGUGUUUUAUGUGCAUGUAUAUUUAUUAUUAUAAUUGUGACACAAGGAGAUAUACUUAUGUGUUAUGUCCAAAUGCAUAUAAUCCUGCAUAAGACAAAAGGAGAUGCCAUGUGCAAGAGGAAUACAAUCAACAGGGCCCCCGUAAUGCUGCUUUCAGAAGCUCGGUGACGUGUUGGCAUUAAUAAUAAGGCAUAAUUCGUGUGUGACUCAGCUCAAAAGUAUUAAAACUUUUUCUGGACGUACUAUUUUCUAUAAGAUUGAUCUUUUAAGUUAAUGGUAUAUAAGUUUGAGAGAAGCUGGGUGACGUGUUGGCAUUAAUAAUAUGGCAUACUUCGUACGUGAUUAAGCUCAAAAGUAUUAAAACUCUUUCUGAACUAUUUUUUAUAAUAUCGAUCUUUCAGAUUAAUGGUAUAUAAGUUUGAGCUAGGCUUGUGUGCUUUUAAAAACAUCGGGGAUAUUCGUGCUAUCAAAUCAUUUUUGAUACUAAGGCUUCCGAAUCGAUGAUCAGCUCAGUAGGCUUGAUACAGAGUAUUUGAAAUAGUUAGAAAAUAAAUUUCGUAAUUUUUUUAUAUUAUUUCACGUAGUCAUUGAAAGGAGUCCAAAAUCAACAAUUUUAAUGGUUGUGGUGAGCCGUUUGCAAGUCUAAUAAUAUAAAAAUAUUCAAAUCGCAUAAAAUUUUAAUUAAAAUUUUUUUAUACUAUAUAAAACAAAGAUCAAUAUAUAUAUUUCAUCAAAAAUUUUAGUGUCAUAUGAUAACUUUUUUGUGAGAUUUUUAUUUUCAACUAUCGAUUUUAAACUCCUUCGUUCAUUAAGUAAAUGAUAUCAAGAACUGAUAAAAUUUAUUUUCUAGAUGUUUCAAGGAGACUCUCGUGCUUCUAAAAAUACACGAGCCAAACUUUGUAACUCUUUUCAAUUUUUAUUUUAUGGUAUAAAUCAUAUUAGUAUUAUGUUUUUUUAAAAAUUUUUGCAUGUGACAUAAUUCAACUUAUCGUCAAUAUUUAACAACAUAUAUUUCCCUAUUAAUAAUAUAUAAGAGCAAUAUUUUGAAAAAUGCACAGCAUAUGUUUCCGCAAAAGCAAUGGAAAUAGAGAAUAGAUUACACAAGAUCUUCCAAUGAUGGGACGUGGUGUGAUAAUUAUUCUUUCCACUAGAUUAUAGAAAAUCUCCAAAAGGGUACGAAUAUUCUUGGACUUUUACCCAUUAUUUGUUGAGUUAUUGUUUAUAUUAUCUUGUAAUUUAAUAAUUGGCUCAAGUUCAAUGAAGCGUAGACAAAGUGAUUAGUAAAAUCUUUGUCCUUGUAAUAUAUUUAAUUCUCCUCGAAAAGAUAAAACUAUUGAUCUUUUGUUUAUUGUUAAUUUAAUUUCCAAAAACCAAUAUAUACCAUUUUGUUGAGUUCCUUGUAUUGGCACCAAAGCACGGUUUUGGUUGACAAAUAAAAAAUUAGAUAAUUUUGAUAUAAAAACUCUAAUUUAAUACUUUUAUUCUGCUUUAGAACAAACAAACAUGUUUAAACAUUAUUAAUUAGAGAUGUUAAUGGUUUUGACUUAUGACUGAUUUCAAAACUCCGGACCCGAAAGAAAUUACUUCGAUCUUUACCAUAUUUCGAAACAUAUCAUACGUACACAAAUUAAAAUUUAAAGCAAAUUCAAUUUUCUUAUAUUACAUAAUAGAAAACCAGUUUGGGUUUGAAUUCUGGUUCGGAUUGAGUGCAAACAAAAAUAUAUCAUACCCGAAUCCGAACCCGAACGUGAUGGGUUUUCGUUAUCUAUAUCCAUAAUUGAAAUAAUAUUUGUUUAGAAUUGAUAACUCAUUGUGUUCAGAUUCAAGUUUGGAUAAAAUUUCACGCAUCUGUUUCCGCUUAUUCAUCAUUCACAAAAUAACACUGCACAAAAAGAAGAAAAAUAAUUCAGGUGGCCCCAAUUUCAUGCAAGUGAUUAUGGACAUGCAAACCGUCGACGUCCCAAAGUUGAAGUCAUUAACUCUAUAAUAAAUUGGUUGAAAAAGAGGCCAACAAAUUAGGCAAUGUGUUACAUCAAAAGAUUACCACUUUUUGAAGCUUUGGUACUUAAUUUUGAUCUUUUCCCUUUUUCCCCCUCACCUUUUUCCUUUUUCUUUUUCUUUUUCACUUUAGUUAUUGUAAGUCAAUGUGAUGAAAGAUCAAGAAUUAGGUUAGAAAAGUAUUAGUGAUUCUGCGUUCUUUGUCUCCUUUUUUUUUCGCUCAAAAUUGACUGGCACAGUAUAUUAAAAGUUGAACUCAGUACCUCUCAGAGAGCGAAUGAGACCAUCAAGAUAACUUAUUUAGUGGUCUCUCAUAUUUGCUGUACUAACUUGUAGUGUUAGUGCUGAAGAAUUAUUGCACGUGUCUGAUUCCUGAAAAAAGCAUGGAAUACUGUUUUCGAAAAAAAAAUUAUGAAAAAUAUAUACUAUUUUUUCACCGUUUUUAUUUUCAGGAUAAAAAAUUUGAAAACAAAUAUACUACGUUUUCUAAAUCUAGGAAAAAUUUUUUUUUCUAAAAAAACUAUUUUUCCCUAGGAACCAGGUGGAUGAAAACUGCUUUCCGGACAGAAAACUGUUUUCCAGAAUAUUUUUCCAGAAGCCAAACACCCACUAAAGGAUAUCAUUUUAACGCAUUAAAUGUGUUUGAAAUUCUUAAUUAGUAAAACAAACAAUUUUUGCCAAAAUUACUGAUCUUCUCAUUGAUCUUUGGCAUAAUUGUGCUCAUUACAUGUUCUUGCACUCUAGAUAUGUGACACCUUAUUUGGUUAUAAAUAUGUUUUGCUGUGCCAAAAGAGACCAAUCUUAGACAUAUAAAAUUAAAUUGGAUGUAGCAUUGCUCUUUUCCAAAUAGUGUGCAACUAACUUAGGCAUCAUACAUGUAAAAAGAAACUUAAUUUGAAGUUUUUAUGAAGAGUAAUAUCAUUAUAUAUUUUAUAUACAAAAUCCCUAUGUUUUCACCAAUCCACAUAUAUAUAAGCCUAUUUUUCCAUUACAUUUUCUUGAUCUCUCUUCAACUUCUUGCAACUUACGUUAUCAAAUUUAAUUCUUGUUGCAAUAAAACCAAAAGGAAUUACAAAGGGAUCGAGCUCAUGACUAGGAAGAACAUAAAACAUUAUAUGCAGUUCAAAUUAAAAGGAAAAAAGUGGCCUAGCCCUUGAAAUUUAUUGUCAAAAUGCCCAAGCACACUUGGAUGCAACAUUUUUAAUAUGCAUGGGCCAUCUAAAAAUCCAUUCAAUCAAGAGAACACCUCACCCGCAAGGCAUGUGGAUUCUAUCCAUCAACCCUAUGUGUUGGUUAGGAGAAAAUUAUUCCCUCGACUUCGUCCGUCACGUCAGCUGUGAACCGCCCAGCUAUCUGCCAUUCAUCGCACCGCUCUUCAUAAGUCGCAACCGUUCGAUGACUGAUGUGGCGGACCAGGUCCGGGUGAUAACUUCGCGUCGGUUAGAGUCUAAGGACACAUGCAAUGCCCCCUUUGAAAGGGCCACUCAGUUCAAAAUGGUCCCUCCUGAGCAGGGUUCUGGAGUUGGAGCUAUUCAAAUGAGUGGUUCUGAUCCCUUGCUUUCAAUGAACAUUGGCUAGAGGACGGGGCAAGUGCAAAACGUAGGCAAAUGUUGCCUCCAUUGCUAGGGUUUUUGUGUCCAAACACCCAUGUGGUGGUGGGGCUAUCCAUGACAUUGGCUACAAAUAGUUGGGUGGAGAGGCCCAUCCACAUUAGUAUUUGAUUUGAUCACUCUCACUUGGAGAGAUCGUCUAUGCGUGGUGCGUUUUUGAGAGAGACAGAGAGAAAGGCAGCAAACUAUUUGCUUCGUUUAUUUUUUUAGAAAUGAGCCGAGCAGCCCGAAAUAUGAAGCAAAUAAACUUUGGAUUUGAAAUCUCGAAUACCGAUCAUCAAGUUCUUAGCCAACUGCGAUAGAUAGUUUGCCUCUCUAGCUCUCUCUACUAUUACUAAUGGACCGGCCAUGUGAUCUCUAUGUAGAAUGUAUGGUACACACCUUAAUUUUCUUAGGUUCUUGGAAAGGUGCUUCUCACCUCCCAUUAAUUGUGAGGAGGCUUCAAAGAAGCAUGAGCACGACAAAAAGGGGGGAGGAGGGAAAAGAAAUUGGAAAGUUAGAUAGGGACAGCAAUGAGGGUCACCUACUUGGUUUGCCCCAAUGAAGAGCAAAUUGUUUUGUGCCAUUGAUUCAUAUCAUGUGUUUGUUGGCUAUUUAUUAUUAACUAAAAGAGGACCAAUUUUUUGGCCUGCGAUAAUAUGCCCAAAAGACUAAAGGUUGAGUUGGGUAAGUCUAAUAAGUUAAGUGCGGCUGCAGUCCACAAUAGACCUAACGGCAAGAGACCCGACCUAGCAUCCAGAUGGUUGAGUUUGGUUAAAGCCCGUGAGGGCUAGCGCGGCUGAACUCUUAAGUGCGAUAAGUUCGCCCUUCUUAUCAGCACGUAUUUUUUGGAUGGUUGGUUUGCGCUUACGAUCCACAGUAUUUUCGUAACAAUCUUAUGCUUAUUUGUAUAAUUUGAAAUAGCCUAGAUAAAUUUUGUGAUCUACUAUUAAUGAUAUCAGACAUUAUUUCUAAAUAGUUUAAAUAGUUUAGAUCAUGUUCAACGAUAUCGAUCAUCGAUGGAAGCUCGAUUAUCAAAAAAAUUUGAUAGUAAUCCGAGUCGUUUAUUAUAUAUUUCAAAUGCUUCAGAUCAAAUCUAACGGAUUCAAUCGUCGAUUUGGAAGUGCUGGCAUCGAAAAUGACUUGAUAACACUGACGUCAUUGUACUUCUAAAAGUACACAUGUUUAGCUCUCUGGCUGGGGUGCUUUUACAAGCACCAAGGUAUUGGUGCUAUAUAAUUUUUGGAGGCUUCAUCGAAAACAACAAAUCGGUAAUAAUACAGUUCGUUUGUUAUCAAUAGUAUUUUAGUCCAACUACAUACAUAUAUACAUAUAUAUCACUAUAUUCUUUGAAGUCGUUAAAAUAGCAAACCGAAAUUUUUAAUCUGCAGCAUAACUGGGCUCGACGAUAUCUGUAAUUGUUAGAAUAGUUCCAGGAAGAGUGAUGCAACAAGUACAUAAAAUGAGUUAAACAUAACCAUAAACAUUUUACUGUCUAAACUUUUUUGUGCAAAGUUCACAUAAGCUAAUUAAAAACAUACAUCAAUUAUCAAAUUUGAACAAUAUAAAGUCAAGGAUCCAAAUAAGUUGAUUCGGUUCGAUUUUACAUAUAAUUCCGUUCGGUUCGACUCUAAAAGUAAAAAACCAAAAGAACUGAAUAAAUCGAAUAGAUCAAAAUUUUAAUAACUCAAUAAGUAUUAAUCUUUAAUUAUAAAAAAAAAAGAAAGAACUUUAAAUACUAUCUAUGUGGUUUCGCACUUUUUCACUUUAGUAUCCUAUGGUUUAAAGUGUAUCAAUUUAGAAUCCUAUGAUUUUAUUUUUCUCUUUUUAUUAUUCAUUACACUAAUUAUUUUUCGUUAAACCAGUGACAAAGUUAAAACUAAAGCGUAUUAAAAUAAAUAUUCGAUAAAUCUAGAUUGGGUAUCUGAAGUUUUUUAUAUACAAUUUAACAAAAUAUUAACAGAGGAGCUGACAAAAGAGAAAAAUGAAACCACAUGGUACUAACUUGAUACACUUUAAACCACAGGAUACUAAAGUGAGAAACGACGAAACCGCAGGGAUGGUAUUUGAAGUUUACCCAAAAAAAUAUGUACUAAUUUUACAUAAUAAUUAAAUAAUUAGAGAUAUUAAUUAUUCUUAUCUUAGAUUAAUAAUUUUCAACAUAAAAUUAGUUAUGAAUAUAUCUUAUUUUUAGUAGGCUAAAAAGAUUUAAACUAAAUGAAGAUAAUUUACUUAAUUAAAUCAAAUAAAUCGAAUCUAACCUUCGGUUCAGUUUGUGCCUCUAAUUCGGUUCAGUCCGAUAUCUUAAAAAACUGUAAAAAUUAAACCGAACCGAACCGAACCGAACCGACCGAUGCUCACCCCUAAGACUAGUGCCAAUCAAUUCACUGAGCUCAUGAAGCUCAUUACACUCAUCUCCUUUUAAGUUCCAAAAACAACAAAUUCUCUAACUACAAUAAAUUUCUUUGAUAUCAUUAUGACAAUGAAAGGGCAAUGAAACUAAUCCCGGACAAAGUGAUGUGGUUCAUUCCCCUCCUCACCUUUUGCCUCUGCAACAAAAUAGUGUUCAAAGUGGGUACAACCCCGUGCGUAAGAUUCGCUACGCACCGGAUUGAUUUUGACGGACUUUAUUAUAAAAUAAUUCUUUAAAAUUUAUAAUUUACGAAAUAAUUCUGCCAAAUUUAUAUUUAGCAAAUUAAUCCUCUUUUCGUCGUGUAGCAACCACGUGGGAUUAUUUUUCGAAAAGCGGUGAAUCGUUUACCGUGUUUUUCCAUGUCUUUUAAAGGCGGUGAAUCGUUACUUGCAUUGUCCAUUUUUUUUAAAAUGCGGUGAAUCAUUCACCGUUGUCUUCUAUUUCUUAGGCUGUUAAAAUUAUAUGAAAUUAUAUGGAUAAAUUAUUAGAAUUUUCAGGCUGUUAAAAUUAUAUGUGAUUUGUUAAAAUUUUUAUGUGAUUGUUAGUAUUAUAUAUGAGAUAUAGAAAGAAACAAUAAAUAAGUGAAAGGUGGUGAAUGAUUCAGCAUCUUUGUGAAAAAUUAAGAAGGCGAUGAAUAAUUCACCGUCUUCAAAAAAAAUCUUCACCCUGGCGCCUACAUACCAAAAGGAAGGUUAGGAUUAUUUUGCAAAUUAUCAAAUUUUAGAGAAUUGUUUUGUAAAAAAAAUCUGAUUCUGAUGCUGAAUUUUAGUAGAAUUAAUCUGCACCGUCUAUAUCGAAUCGUACAGAUUAAUCAUACUAAAAUUCACCAGCUGAACAAACAGAGUUGUAUGAAAUUUAAUAAAAUCUUGCGUGUAUAUUACAAAAGACUCUUUUCUCUCUCUCUCUCUCUCUCUCUCUUAUUUUUCUAAUUAAAUAUAUAAUUGCUGUGCCAAAAAGUACAAUAUAAAAUCUAUCACUUCAUUGAGAGGGAUGUAUCAAGCUUAGAGUCCAACAUCACAUUUAAACACAGGUACUGUGUAGGCUAGGGUGUAUUUGAGCUGUCUUAUUUAACAUGAAAACUCCUUAAAAAGAGCCAUAAAAUAAAAUAUAGGUUAAAUUACAUAAAACUCUCUGUAACUAUUUCACUUUUUAUUUUUUCUUUCGGAGUUUCAAAACUUUAUAUUUUGUCUCUUUAAAAUUGUAAAAAAUAUUUUCAGAGGGUUACCAUAUUAAUAGAGAGGGCAAAAUGAUCAAAUUAUUAUUAUUUUUAUAUAAGAAAAAAAUAAUUUUUAAUAUAUUUUAUUAUUUUAGAGAAUAUUUUCGGUAUAAAUUAUAAAAAAAAAAAGAUAGAAUAGUGAUAGAAUCCUAAGGGAGGAGGCUAAAUGAAAUAACUUGAAAUGUUAAGGUGUAAAAAUGUAGAUUUUUUGAAAAUUUAAGAGAAAAGGUACAAAAAAAAAGAUACUUAUCAAAAAUUUACAAGCAAUAUAUAUAUAUAUAUAUAUAUAUAUAUAUAAUUGAGCUCCUAUGCUUUUAAAAGUACCAAGCACUUGAUACUUGGUACAGCUGGAAUACUAUCGAUAGUAUAAAGUGUUUGGUGCGAGUUUUCCGCCGUUAGAUUUAACCCUUUGAUUAUUUUCAUCCGUUAGAUUAUAUUAUUUAACCAAUAACUCACUUAACCCUAGGGGGACUCACAUUAUUCUAACUGUAUAUUUUCUCAUUCAUAAAUCGAAAACCUAAUAACACUAAUAAUUUGAUGCUAUUAAUAGUAUUCCAGCCUAGUUCUAUAUAUAUAUAGAGUUGGACUGGGCUACUAUUAGUAGCAAAAUUUCAUUAUUGCUAUCAGUUUUUUAGCCUUUGGAUCAACUCUUUUCAUCAUUUCUAACCAUUGGAUUAAAUACUAUAACCCAGUAGGGACCACUCAACCCUAGGGGGACCACUCAACUCUAACUGACUAAUAUCAACCUAACCUUACAAUUUUUUAUCCAAGGGUUAAAAACUUGAUAGCAAAAAAAGUGUUUUACUAGUAAUAGUAUUCCAGCUUAAUUAUAUAUAUAUAUAUAUUAUAACAUAUUGAUUUCUGUUUGUUAUAGAUAUAAUGACAAAUUUCACUUACAAAGUGAUUUUUCUUAUUUCCAAAAAAUAAACUUAUAUACAUAAUGAAUACGCUACUAGUAUCUAUUAUAAACUUAAUUUCGAUGUGGAGACAGGGUCUUAAUGAAUGUACAAAUCAUGUGACCCUGUGUGUGCUUCAUGUCUAGCUAACACAGCACUACUAUUUUGUGGUUCUCAUAUGCUGUGCAAUGAAUUGUUCCUACUUUUUUAAAAAAAAUACUCUUUUCAUUCUUAAUGAGAAUGAAUUAAAUCUUGGUCAAAUAAAGAGGCUUAUUGUGCAUAUUGUAGCAAAAUUCACAUGGGCCUGCAGUGUGUACAGCUACAACAAUAACAUCGUGACAAUGGCAAUAAUAAUAUUAAGUUUAUAUAAUUAAUGCUACUGCUCUGUUCAUUAAGCUAUGAAUUAAUGCAUGAGGGUUUAUUUAUUGUUACUUUGGUGGCUACAUGGGGAAAAGAGAAAAGUAAUUAAAGAACAAAAAGUAUUCAAACAAUCUCUAUGCCCCUUCCUUUUUCAUUUUUUUCUUAAAAACGAACUCUGCUAAAAUUAUAAAGUAAUUGAGUUUCAAACUUAAAAUAUCAUAUACCAGCCAUUAAGUUCUUACUCAAUUUAUAUGGUUGGUGUGUAUAUAUAUAUAUUCGAAAUUGGAGACAUGAUUUUGGUGUGUAUAAUGAAAAAUCUAAGAUGUUUGGGGCUCGUAUUGCUUUAUCGGGAAAUUAGCUUUAUAUGGAUAUUGUGAGAUAGGUUCGAUCGAGAGAUCAAAUUGGCGGUUUGACUUGACUCAAGAUGAAUUUUUCGGCGAGCUUUUAGACAACUAAGCAAAAGAACAACUACUUAACUAGCUAUUACUUUUCUAGCCACCAUUUUACGACAUAAGAAGAGCAAAGUUGAUCGACAGUAGAGAUAUUUUGACGGCUUCAACCAUCAUAUUAUAGUCUUAGAAAGAGAAGCUCUGAAACACAUUCGUGCUAUUCCAAACCUUCUACAGCAUCACUGAAACUCCACCAUUUUACAGUACUAAUAAAUGAGGCCUAAAUACACCGCUCGUAGACAACUUCGAUGGAGAAUGGAGGCCCACUUACUUAUAAGGCCUUGUAUAGUUGCGCUCGCCUUUUUUUUUACUUGAUCAUGCAAAAUUUGAAUAUAUAAAAACUACAUAACCAAAACCAAAUUGGGCUUGCAUUUUAGGGCCUCAUAUGGGCCUAGUAACCAAAAUUUGGGCCAAAAGCCGACCCACAACGAAGCCCAUUAUGAUGGGCUUAACUAACCAAACAUUUUUUUAUGUGGUAGAUGAACCAACGAAGUAGUUGCUGCUAACACUAUUUCUGAGUCAUUUCUCGCAUAAUUGAUUUUUCAGAAAAUGUGGUCUUAGUGCAGAUCCUAGUCCUAAGCUCCCAACAUCAAUUUUUCUUUUUUUUUAAUUUGAUUAGAAUGAACAAUUUUGCGCUAAGUAAUAAAGCAAAGUGACAGCUAAAGAUAGUCGCAAAAGAUCAUUAAGUUACAUAUAAAGGUGGUUGAACCAAAUAUAUUGUGAGAUCAUAUAGAAAAUCAAAAAUUUUGUGGUGAUAUGCAUUGUGUAAACACCCUAUACUUGGUUUUUUCACAGUAAAAAAUAAAUAAAUAAAAUGUGAGUUGCACAUGAGCUACAAGUCUUUUGAGAUCAAUGCCUGUCCCUUAGAGGAAGUUCAUGGUUUCUAAAGGGCUCAAACCAAUCCAUAACUCAAGCUCAUGGUUUGGUUUGAGUCCUUAAUAAAAGUUUAGAAUGACAUCUAAGCUUGGUUAACACUUUCGUCUAUUUUCAAACUCAAUUGCUUCCCUUUCAGCGCUAUGUCAGUCCAGUUUUAUUCGGUUCUUGUCCGUUUCUUCUUAAGGUCAUAUCUAAAUGUCGGAAUAACUUAUUCCGUAUAUAUAAAAAAGAAAAUCAAUAUGAUUGAAAGGAGCCCCGGCUACUAUACUCUUAUGAGUACGAUCAUCUUUAUACUCAUGAGUUGUUUUUUGUGAUAGAGCUUCCGAAUCGACGAUCCAUUCCGUUAAACAUUAUCUAGAGUAUUUAAAACUUCUAGAAAUCAAAUUUUAUAAUUUUUCGAUAUCAUUUGCCUUACGAUCAAAAGCUCACAAAAUUGACAAUUUUUAACGACCAGUGUGGAAUAUUUGCUAGUUUAACAAUGUAAAAGAAUCGGAAUAGAUUGAAUAUUUGAUAGAAAAUUCUAUUCACUACCUAAAUAAAGAUUAAUAACCCCGAUCUUAAAUUGAAGGAUCUGAUUAUCUAUUCUUAGGAGGUCGUUCGAUUUUGACCGUUCAUUUUAUACCCGCUUGAUGGGCUUUAUAAUGAUUUCAAAAAUUUACGAAAUUUAUUUUCUAAAAGUUUCAAAUAUUCUAGAUUAUAUUUAACAGUGUGGAUCGUCGAUUCGAAAACCCCAACAUCAAAAAUAACUUAUGAGUACAAAGGACUCUAUACUAAUAAAAGUAUAAUAGUCCUACUCGAUUGAAAGUAAGAAGUUUAAGUUUUACUUUUUUAAAAACCUUGUUAUUUAUAAUUUGAUAGGAUAGUAUAUUAAUAGGAUAGUAUAUUUCACCUAUAAGGUAUUUUUUCUUUUUCGAAAAACUAACUUAAAUGCCGAAUUGAUCACAAUCCUUAUUAAUCAAAUAUACAAAUUUCUCAAAAGAAUUAAGAAGAUAUAUCGAAAAACAUAUUCAUGCAUUCCGACGGAGCCUAGUUCUUACAUAACCACACUGAGCUUGUCUAGCAUGUCAAUAAGGCCUAGAACACCAUAAAAAGAAUAUUAGUACCGAUUAAAAACGAAAAUAAGUGUGAGACGUACCUCAGAUAGUUCUAUAUAUAAAUAUAAUAUAAUAUAAUAGAGCUACAUUUUUAACUUGGCUUAAGUAUUUUGGGUGAUAAUUAGGGUCAAGAGGUUAAGAGAGUUAAGCGUAUUAGGAGCAUAGUAGUCCUAGCUAUGAUGGAUAACUUCCUAGAAAGUUGGGGCGUCACAGUUGGUAUCAGAACCAAUUACCAGCCGGAAGUGUGAGAUGAGUCUCGGCUGAGUUAGGAAGACUAGCAAGAGGAGUCUCAAAUCGCCUGAUACUUGUGAGUCUGAGCCUGACGAGAACGUCAGGAUUUAAAGGAAGGGAGAUUGUGAGACCCCAGAUAAUUCUAUAUAUAAGAUAUAAUAGGGCUAAACUCUUAAUCCUACUCAAGCAUUUUGGGUAGUAGCUAGGUUUAAGAGAUUAAGAGAGUUAAGCGUGUUAGGGCGAAAGUAGUCUAAAAUUAGGGCGUCACAGUCAGUCUCUCCUGUGGUCCUUCUUGUGCAGAUUUUAAGAUAGCAAGCAUUACUGGCACAAUUAUGUGUUCUUGAAAUGUGUCGGAGCACCAUGCAUGAUACCUGAUCAACAAGCAUUUAUUGGAGAUUAGGAUCCAUCCCAUCGACUCGGUCCACCGCAUAAUAUUGCUCUUACUGGUUGCUGACGCUCGAUGUACAUAACAUAAAAGAUUUUAAUCCGUUAAACCGCACACAGAUAUAUAUGUUAUAUAUGAUUGCUCGCACAUUAGUGGCCUUAUGUUAAGAGUUUACACAUAAAUUCUCCCCGCAUCAGAUAAUCAUAAAAGUACUAGAGGAUAUAAAUCUAAUAGACAUAAAGCUUUUAGAUUGAAUGAGUUUUACUAGAUAUAUAGCAUCUUUGGACUCAAUGUGGGACUUGGGAGUCCCACACUGAACCACCGUGCAUGAGUGAGUAGUCCUUCGUCUUCACUCCUUUAAUGGAGCUACUGCCGACAUGCAUGUUCAAAUUGAAUGCGGAUGCUGAGAACCAAUUCAGAGGUACAAAAACAAUAACUUUUUUUAAAAAAAGUUAUUGUCCGGCGCAUCUAAUUCAGAUACAAUUUAUUUGAAUCUCAAAAUAGCAUUUAUGCUAUUCAACGGUAGUGAGAGUUGCGUCUAACCAUUUUUUUUUCUCUCAAUUCUAAGCCAACAUGUGGCACAUCUUCUUUACUGGAUGUUAAUAAGCUCGAUUAAGUUCUUAAUGAGCCCACCAGUUAGAUCUUAUAUCUUAUUAACCAUUAACAACCUCAAAGUUCUAAAUUGGAUCACGUAGUAUUCGUGUUGAUUAAUCUAGUCUAACAGAGCUGAUCGUCGAUUUAGAAGCCGCAUCAUUGAAAACAACUUGGUAAUGCGGAGGUCUCAAUACUACCGAUAGCAUACCAGUCUAGCUCUCUCUCUCUCUCUCUCUCUCUCUCUCUCUCUCUCUUUAUAUAUAUAGAGAGAGAGAGAGAGUUGAGUUGGAAUACUAUCGGUAGCAAACGGACUCCUUUGCCACCCAUUUGUUUUCGAUGAUGGAGCCUUCAAAUCGACGAUCUACACCGUUGAACAUGAUCUAUACCCCUUAAAGUAUCUAGAAACUAAAUUACAAAUCUUUUCAACAUCAUUUACCUAAUAAUCAACGGGUUUCAAAUUUUAUAAUUUUAGUGGUAAAUAUAAGGCGUUUUCUCAUUUAACGGUAUAAACUUAUCCAAAUCAAUUGAAUUUUGGUUAGAAAAUUCUUUAAACUAUUUAGAACAAGAUCUAUACUAUCGAUCUUAAUUAUAAAAUUUCUAUCCUCUCUUUUUAGAGGAUAUUUAUUUUCAGCCGUUCAUUUUUACGCCCACUUGAUGGAUAAGAGAACAAUAUAGAAAAAGUAUGAAAUUUGAAUUCUAGAUACUUCAAAUGGUAUAGAUUAUUUUCAACGGUGCCGAUCGUCGAUUUGGAGGUUCCAUCAUCGAAAACAAAUGGGUGGAAACGGAGCCUGUUUGCUACCGAUAGUAUUGCAGCUCAACUCUCUCUCUCUCUCUCUCUCUCUCUAUAUAUAUAUAUAUAUAUAUAUAUGCUACUAUACUAUCGAUAGUACCAAGUGAUUAGUGCUAUCGACUUUUCAGUCGUUGGAUGAAAUGAUGUGCAGUUAAGAUGAUUGCGAUCCCUUAGGGUCGACUUUUCAGUCGUUGGAUGAAAUGAUGUGCGGUUAAGAUGAUUGCGAUCCCUUAGGGUUGAGUGGGUGAUUAGUUGAAUAGUAUAAUCUAACGGAUGAAAAUGAUCAAAGGAUAGAUGUAAUGGCAGAAAAAUCGAUAGUACUAAGAGUUUGGUACUAUCGAUAGUAUAGCAGUAGUACUCUAUAUAUUAUGAUUAAAUGGUAGAUUUAACGAUAGAAAAUUCGAUAGUGCCGCUUUUAAUACUAUCGAAUUUUUUACCAUUAUAUCUACCAUUUAAUCAUUUUUAUCAAUUAAAUUAUACUAUUCAAUCAACUGCUCACUCUUUUGGAUGCAAUUUACGAGAAGCUAUAAAUGGGGGGAAGUGAGGUGGAAGUAGGCUUAUCCUACACUCCUGGCCCAUGCUCAUUUAUGGUCGCAAUAAAUUUUGUAGCAGAUUGUCAGAUUAAUCAGUCUCCUACGUACUAUUCUCUGCAUUUUAUUUAACUCAGGUGAGACCAUACAUCAAUCUAGUAAGAAAUAAUUCUGAGACAAUAAAAAUACAAUAAACAAUCUAACUCGAUACCUCUAGAUCAAUCUAGUAAAAAAAAAUUCCGAAGCAAUAGAACUACAGCAAAUAUUCAAACUGGAAACCUCUUGAAACAGGAGGAACUAACAACUGCUGCCUAUGUUACCAUAUUAAUUGCUCAAGAAAUUGAUCUGAUAUAAAAAUAAUUCAGAAUUAGUUUUAACCGAAGUGGUUGAUAAGAACGUAAAUAUGAAUAGUUUUACGUCAAAUAAUGAUUCAAAUGCACUAGGAGAUCCAAAUUUAAUAAAAUUUAAUGUCAGGACUUAGAAAUUUUUUUUAAGAUUUGUCUUUGUAAUCACUCAAAUUUCAAACCAGAUAUCUAUUGAAGAUUUUGCCUUGAUCUUCUAAAAGCAUCUCUGUGAAUUUCGGAAAGCUCGUAGCCUUUCUUUUUCGCUUGUAUUUUCAUGCCGCUUGACAUCUUUCUGUUUCCUUUAUGAGCGGUGAUUGAUCUUUAAAUAAAUGUGGCUCCACCCCCUCUCAAUUCAAAAUCUUGAUUUGUAAUCCUCUACUUUUUUCUUUUUUUGAGAGAGAGAGACAGGUGGCACGCUACCUCCGCUUCAUUUAUUUCAUUUAGAAAUAAACUUAGCUAGAAAUGUAAAUCAAUUAGAAUUCGAACUUGGGACCUCGAGUACCAAUCAUCAAGCCCUUACCACUUGCGCUAGGAACGGUCGGUGUAAUCCUCUACUUCAAAGUAAUAAAAGAACUUUUUUUUCUCUCUCUCUCUCUUGUUCUUAUUUAAGAACGAAUAGAUCCUAACUUAGCAAGUAUAGAGAUAAGUUUGCUCACUUUACGAAAAAAGGCGAGCAUCGCACGGACUGAACAAGCGAUUUAGCUUAAGUCCAUGACAUUAAACUCUAUAUUGAAUGGUAUUAGAGUUGGUGGUGUGGUCCGAUCUGAGUUAACCAGGUUCAAAUUGAACAUGUUUUUGAGCUAACAUUUUAGGCAACACACCUGUCACAUUUUUGCUCUUCAAUUAGUAGUUAAACGCAUUAAUAUUUUAGGUAACACACACUUCUCAGUUCUCACUUAGCUCUUCCAUAAAUUGGUGGUAGCUACACUCACUUAUUGCUCUUCCAACCUGUUCCUCUCCAGUAAUAUUCAUUCGCUCUUUUGCUACGUUUCCCUGUAGAUCCAUGUGACCAUGUCACUCAAUACUUGGUCCCAAUUCGACUACGUACUCCAAAACUGUACCUAACGCAGUCGGCUAAAAAUUUUAAUGAUCGGUAUCUGAGAUCUUAAGUUAAAAUUCUAAUUGUUUUAUGUUUCUAGCUCAGUUCGUUCUUAAAAAUGAACGAAAUUGAUAGGUUACUACUGUCUUUCUUUCUCGUGAAAGAAAAUUCGUGCAUGAAAUAUCUGAUUUCUCAAAAAAAGUAUAGAAAAUUAUUUUCUCGACAUUAUAUAUUUUUUUUGUUCCUUGGAUACAAAGUUAAAAAAUGAAAUAAUAUCUAGAAUUUUUUUAAAAAAUAAUUUUUAAAAAAAUGAAAAAGAGGAAAAAUAUGGUUUCAUUCAAAAAAGUUAUAUUUUACAGUAUUUUUGGAAAAAUAAACACUCCGUAACUAUGCAUCAAUUAAUGCACUGCACACACCACGAAUCCCUUGUCCCCAACUCCCAACUACUUUUCGUCCUUCUUUAAAAAUAGGGUGUUCACAUAACAUUUAUUUUCACACACUAGAGAAUUUAGAAAUUUCAAAAAUGUUUUUUAAGUUUUUUUUUUAAAAUCUUUUAGUAACUUUAAAAUGAUAGGUAGAUUUAUCAUUAGAAAAGUAUUAGGUUCAAAUACUUAUCUCGAUCAAAUUUUUAUUAUUAUUAUUAUUUUAUAAUAUUAGAUGAGAGGAAAUUAAUGUAAAGUGUUUUAAUUAAUUCUAUGUCGUAAGCAUUUUGAACAAUGCAUUCGCAAAUUAAGCUGUAUAUUUCUACUCAGAUAGUUUAAAAAUGAUCUGAAUAAGUCUUAUGUUAGAGAUGAAUAAAUCAUAUCAUGUGUAAUAAAGAUAUAAAUAAUCAACGUGACGCGUAUUAUAUGACAUAGAUUUCGGCUAAGACAAAGAGUGCACUAAUUAAUUAACAAACUAUUACCUAAAUCAGAUCUCAAACUAACUUGGAUUGUAAAUGCGGAUCAGUUGUAGAAUCAAUUUUUUUACUAAUCGGAUCGCAAAUUUACAUUAGUUAGAAGAGUAGUAAGAGAAUUUAAAAAAAGUACGAAAAAUAAUAUAUAUAUAUAUAUAUAUAUAUAUAUAUAUAUAUAUAUAUAUAUAUAUAUAUAUAUAUAUAUGAGAGCCUUCGCGGAAUGAUUUGUUAGGAGUUGAGCUAGAAUACUAUCGGUAGUAAACGAGCCGUUUUAUUACCGAUUUGUUUUCGAUGAUAGAGCUUCAAAAUUGACGAUCGGCUCCGUUAAAUAUGAUCUAAACCAUUUAAACUACCUAGAAAUCAAAUUUCACGCACUUUUGAUAUUGUUCUUUUAUCCAUCAAGUGAAUAGAAAAAUAAAUGACUGAAAAUAAAUACUCUUUAAAAAAUGAUGAUAGGAGUCUUGUAAUUAAGAUCAAGAGUAUAGAUCUUGUUUUAAAUAGUUUAAAGAAUUUUCUAACAAAAAUUCAAUUAAUUUGGAUAUCUUUAUGCCGGUAAAUAAGAAAACGCCUCUUAUCGACCAUUAAAAUUACAAAUUUUGAAACCCUUUGAUCAUUAGACAAAUGAUGUCGAAAAGAUUUGAAAUUUAAUUUCUAAACAUUUCAAGUGGUAUAGAUCAUGUUCAACGGAGCCGAUCGUCAAUUUGAAAGCUCUAUCAUCGAAAAUAAAUCGGUCGUAAAACGGCUCGUUUACUACCGAUAGUAUUCUAGCUCAACUCGAUAUGUUAGUGUAUAUAUGCUUUUCACGUGAGGUGAAAUAUAAGGCGCUGUCACUUUUUUAGUUUUUUUUUUAAUUUUAAUUUUUGUAUAAUUUGAUAUAUGGAAUAAAUUUUUUCUCUUAUUAUUAUUAUUAUUAUUAUUAUUAUUGGUUAGGUUACUAAGCGCUCUGUCCAAGUGAAAGUGAUAACUUAUUUAAAAACUAUUUUAGAAGUAGAAAAAAAUUAUUUUUAAAUUUUUAUUUUUUAUUGUCGAAUAAAUAUUUUAGAUUUAA
This 102651-nucleotide long non-coding RNA is filed under the name Ananas comosus (pineapple). RNAcentral's name for it is "long non-coding RNA (ACOM_LNC020570)". Lineage: Eukaryota; Viridiplantae; Streptophyta; Magnoliopsida; Poales; Bromeliaceae. The record is from RNAcentral.